This 135722-nucleotide long non-coding RNA is filed under the name Lactuca sativa (garden lettuce). Its description in RNAcentral is "long non-coding RNA (LSAT_LNC004544)". Lineage: Eukaryota; Viridiplantae; Streptophyta; Magnoliopsida; Asterales; Asteraceae. The record is from RNAcentral.
UUGUAGAAUCUAUUGUGCAGUCUCUAUGUGCUUUUAGGAUAGAGAACUAAUAGACUAAGAACUAAUAGUAUAGUAAUUAUGUGGUUAAGUAGAGAAGAAAGUAUAAAUAUACCUAUACUAGUAGAAUCUAUAGUACAAUCUUUAUGUGCACAGUUUUCGUAAUUUAUUUAGGGUUGAUAGUAGAACUACAAAAGUAUAAGAGCCUAUACACCCAUAUAGAUUUAGUUAGGGUUGAUACUAGAAUGACCAAAGUAUGGGAGCCUACAUACCCGUACAAAUUUAGUUAUGGUUAAUGAUGGAACAACCAAAGUACAAGAGCCUAUAGACCCAUGUAGGUUUAGUUAGGGUUGAUGGCGGAAUGACCAAAGGAAGGGAGCCAUUGUCCGUAUGCUUGUAUAUGCUUUGUGGUAUACGAUAUUUUAGGGAACUCAUUAAGCUUCGUGCUUACCUUGUUGAUUAUAAAUGUUUUUAGGUACUCCAUUGACUCGUAAGAACGGCAAAGUUCGACUGCACACGUGCAUAUUCAAAACAUGUUGUCGCAUAAUGGAAUUACACUCUGAUAUAUUUUAAUAAAAAAAUGAAAAAUUAGUGUUGAAAACGAGGACAAUACAAAAACAAUCUUUAUUGGUUAUUCGGAGUUGUAAUGCCAAUUAUAGUUAGCGACUUAUCUAAGUGGUGGACUCUUGGUUUAGAGUGUCUAUAGUCCUAACUAAAUUGGUAUAAUUUUGAUGAAUGAAAGUAAAUUCCUUUUUGGGUUGCCCUAAUAACCAUAAAAUGACUUUGAUUUGUCAAAGGAGAGAGAUAAAUGAUUUUUUAAUGUAUUAUAUGAUUAGUAUAUUAAUUAGAAAUAUUAGUAUUUAAUCAAGAAUUAAUCAGAAUUAAUUUGGAAUUAAUCUUUGAUCAGUCAGAAUUAAUUAAAAGUUCAAGGGCUAAGAUGCACUUGUUCAAUAGUUGAAUAAAAGAGAGGAUCUAGUACCUCCCUGGUGUAUGGACGGUUUUAGAGGCACUUGAUAGGGUUUCUGGAAUUCUCCAACUUACAAUAGGAUACUAGAUAAUUAUUGAUUUGAAAUUUUACUAUUUAAGUUCUAAUCUAGGGUCUCUAGGUUUAUCAAGCAUCUAUAUAAAUGGGUUUCGCUCUUGUACUUUCUACUACUCCUUCACUACAAGAGAAUUCCAAAAAUUCUCUAUCAUCUGCCCCUUUCCUUAAAUCCUAGGGUUUCUUGAGUUUUGUGUGUAACACAUUAGAGGAUACCUUUCUUUUGGAGCUAGAUAUCCAAGGAGACUACAAAUGUUUGGUUAGCUUGUUUCGAUUAAAGCACAAGGUAUGUGAUUCUAUUCAUUAAUCUGAUUUCAUAGGUUUUAUAGUUUUUAUUUCAUAUGUAUGUUGCUAUUAAUAGUGAAAAGACAUAGAUCCAUUUUAUGUUGCACAUACCCUUAUGAGUUAAGUGAAAUUCCAUAGUUACAAUUGAAUUGUGACCUAAAAACCCUAAUACCAACUUGCUAGUGCUCAUCUGGUUACUCUUCUGUAAAUAUUUACUACUGAUUAGCAAAUAUUAGAUUAACAUUAAGUACCAGCUACUUGUGUGUUAUAUGAAAAGUAUAAGUUCGAUCUAAUAGUAACCUGAAGUAUUAGUCCCUCUAGAAUUUCUUCUCAUAUAAGGAGUAGUUCCUCCUUCAGUGUCAUGUGUCUUCAUAAAAGAAACAAGAUCCAUCUAUGUGGGCCUUGUUUGAUUUUUUGGGGCUAAAGGUAUAAAUUCCAUUAACUAUGCGCUUCUUAAAACACAUAGAGUGGCUCUUCUAAACCUUGCAAUAUUCCAUUAUUUUCUGAACUGGAUGAAAACAAAUAUCAUUGUAUUGUUCAAAUGUAUGCUUAACCUGUCAGAACAUCUGAUAUUCAUCUAAAUUAUCCAGACUUCCUAGACCCCAGGAAUAACUAUUCCUAGUUAUAAUGUUAGAAAUAUCUUCAGCAUCAUAGUGUUGACACCAUGUAUCAUGUUCACAUUUUUGGCUCAAAGCAAGUGGUCUAGGAAUAGGACCUUUAGGAAAUGUUACUAUUUGUCGCCAAAUUCAAUUAUCAACUUUUUAUUCAAAUCAAAAUAAUAGGCAGAUAAAGCACCAAGAUUGAGCUGCAAGUCGGAGAUUUGUUUUGAUUUAUGUUCAUUUUCUUUCUCGAGCUCUGAAAUUCUAACGUCUAGAGUUCCAAUCAAAUAAUCUUUUUUAAUAAGUUUUUGAUUUAAGACUCCGAUAUCCUCCUUGAUCUUGAGCAUCGUCGCGUCUUCUUUAUCAGGGCACUCUGCACCUAUCAAUAUUCCUAUGCCCCUAGGUAUAGGGACAUCACCUUCACAAGACAAAAACCUGACAAGCCAUUCGGAGGCUACAUCGGGCAUAGGUUGAGGAGUCGAGGAGCCACCAUGAUCUGAAGAGUUCUCAACUUCAUAAGAUUGGCGAACAAUGUUGGGCUCCCCAUGUAUCAUUUGGCUGUUAUAAUGCCUUUGUUGGCUUCGGGUAACAAUUUCAGUAGAUUGUUGAGCGGGCUGAGCCAGUUCCAUAAUGAGAACUCCCGGCCUUGGAUCUGUUCUUCUUGUUUUAAGUGGAGGUUGGGAGGCUUGUGUCUCUUGUGGAUUACUCUCAAAUGGAAUAAUAGUUGGAGUAGCAACUUCUUGGGGAUGAAUCCUCACAGUUGAAUCCAAAUCAGUAAUAAAGUCGCCCGUCUGAUCGGGUGAAUGUUGUGGCAGCUUGAGAAUAUUUUCUUCUCUCUAAGUCUUCGUUGGAAAAAUCCAACAUUAACGACAUUAUCAAAGAACGAACCGAGGUCUUCAUCAUUUGGCUCAAAAUCAAGGUAUACAUAAUCAUCAUCAAAACCUAAUAAAUCACCUUCUUGACCUAUUACAGCUACGUCAUCAUCCCUAUCAUCAUCAAAUCCAAGGGUAUUAGUGUUGGGUUUUGGUAUAAUACAACAUCCUAUGGUGUACACACAACCCUAAAUACCUUGGAUCUAUGUUUUCACUAAUUAUACAUGCAAAUGGUUUCCAAGGUAUUAAUCUUACAACUAGCAUGCAUUUAACAUAAAAACAUAAUAUACUAGUUAGCAUGACAUAGCUUUUGAUGGAGCUUGAAGUCUUGAUGUAUUUGGCCUUAAAGAGCUUAGCCCCAAUAGUGUGGAAGCCUCAAAUGGAAUCACAACACAUCAUGUACAAAGGUAGGACUUGAGAGAGAAUUCCAUGCACCAAAAACCUCCAUAUUUCACUAAGAAAAGAAGUGUGUACGUUUUGGUCAUGAAGUAGCACAUUUAUAUGUUGGAUUCCAAGAGUCAUGGGCAUAACCCAAAUCCAUAACCAUGGGUGUUAUGAUCCAUGGUCCAUGUGGCCCAACUCUUCAUGUAUCCAUACAUAAACUUGGUCCAACAUGGAUCAUAAGCCCAACACAUAUAAAUAUAACUAAUUACCAUAAUUGGUCCCCAUAGAUUUAAUUAGUCUCUUUUGACCACUAAAUUAAUUCCAAAUUAAUUUUUGAUCAACACUAAUUAAAAAAUAUGAUUUCAUAUUAAUAAAUUAUAACUUAUAAUAUAUUAAUAAACCAUAAUUAACCUUCUCUCAAAAGUCCAUACUAACAAAUUGUCAUGAUGAUAUGCAACCCAAAUGGACCAUGCUACUCUCGGGUCGGAUACAUACCAAUAAUAGUUAUGGGCUUAGACACAUAAUCCAACAGUCUCCCACUUGGAUAAGUCUAAAACUAUUAUUCAAGUAUGUCUCCAAGAUCCCGACUAGCAAUCGUAGCUCUUAAAAGUCGCUGUCGAACUCUGAACAAAUUAAUGACAUGUCCAUUAGAUAAGGGAUCAUAUAUUCCUCCANACAUGGAUUAUAAUCAUUCUCUUUGUCCAUUUGUUGUUUCCCAAUUUCUAAUUUAUAACGACUGACUAAUUGAACAUAUCAAAUCAGUCCAGGCCCGGCCGAGCACUUAUGUUUGUCAUCAGCAAAUCAUCGAGGGGCCCACAAAUAUCGAUUUUAUCCCGAAGGUAAAAAUAAUGGAUAAACUUCGACUCAUAUGGCUUGUUCUACUACUUGUUGAAUCAUACACAAAGGCACGUUUUAUAACAUCGAGUUAUCGAAUGCGUUUUCGUGCAAUCAAUGUACAACCAACUCAUAGUAACAACUCAUAUCUCUAGGUUUGAAGAAUAUAAGAUAUUAUCGUCUCAUGAUCACUCGUGAUAAAAUCCAUGAAGUGAUUCNCUUGGACAUCUACAAACCCGAUUCAUGACAGUCUUGCCUUAAUACCUACUUCCAACGUAUUAUCGACUGUGUAUGGUUUGAAUAACUUAGUCAUUCGGAAAGAAUAACCUAGCUAUUCUGGAAGUCAAAACAUGCAAAGUGAAAUACAAGAAUAAUACUAAUCCUCUAUGGUCCCAAGCAUCUUUGAGAGUAAAUAAAACACCUUUUAUUUAAACACCAUAUUAAUUACUCAUUAUUCAUUGUAUAAUGUUUCAAAUAAUCAUCUUUAUACUUAAAUUAAAACAAUAGUUGUCCCAUGCUCCAAGCAUGUAAACUAAGUUUUCUAAACACUAGUCAUGCCAUACAUCAAGUACGCACACUAUGUUUAUCUAUGAUCUUUACUUUGUGAAAUAGAUCAAUUGAACAUGAUUCCAAUGAUGCUCAUUUCACAAUCCCAAAUCUUUAUCAUAAAUGUAAGAAUUCCAAAUUCCUACCAUUUAACGAAAUCUGUUAGAUUGUAAACUUAUAUGCAUUGAUCCUCUCGUAAUGACUAUGCACAAAGUCACAAAGACUUGUCAACAGAUAUUACAGAAUAUUCCAAUGGAGAUCAAUUCCAUGGAAAUAAAGUCUCAAAUCCAAAGUACAUUACUCUGAACAUCCUUCUUUCAUCAAGCUUUCUAAUCUUACACAGAUUUGAAAGAAAAACUUCCACCUACGUAAACCUUUCCAGAUUCCCAUUUUGACUAUCACUUCUGAACAAAAAUUACCUCUUUUCAGAAUAUGUCAAUGUGGUCCUUCCAAAAUUAACACUUAUACUUCCAACUGUCCAUUAGCAACCAAUCUUUGGUAAACCUCAGAUUGUCCUCGACAAUUGCUUAAUCAUUUUGGUCAUAUCCAAUUCUAGACUUUUCCCUUCUUAAUGCCCUGAGGAUUUGGAAGAUUUAGAAAAGAUGAAUAUUGCAGCACAUGCAAUCGAUCCAAUUCAUGAUGUCUUACAUAAAGACAUGAUACUACACAAAUCUUUUGCUAGAAUAUGUUUUUUUUUUAUUUUCCAUGUUUUCAAAAUUUGACUAUGAAGAGGGAUGCCGUAAUCACUACUAGAAAAAUAGCCUUUUACGACGCGCAAAUUACGACACUCAUUAAUAUAUGUUAUGCAAACGAGAGUGACAUUAAAAAAGUGUCAUCUCUUCAGAAAAUUUAAGGAUUUAGGUCACGCAUUAUUGCGUGCCUUUAAAUUAGUGUCAAAAGAAAAAAAAAAUUAAAAACACGGAGGGCGCUGUACCUUAAAUGCGUGCCCUCUAUAUGUGUCGCUUUAUAAUUUUAAUGAACGCGCGUUCCUUAGUUACAAGCGGGAAAAGAAAAGCCAAAAAAUUAGAAAAGCCCGCUACCCUCCCUGCCCUAAGCAUUUUCACGCAUCUUUCAUUCUCCUCACACUGUUGUGCAACUUCUCAAUCAAAGAUCGAAGGUUACGAUUUCAUCUCCAUCUCUCGACUUCAUCAUCUCAAUCAAGAAAAAGGGCUUCUGAUUUCCAUUCAUCUACUUCAUCGUUGCUGUAAUUUCACCUUCUUCAUCUCUCUGCUGUUAUUGAGAAUACUCGCCAAUAGUUUUCUUAUUCCCCACUCGAUGUUGAAAUUUUCAGAAAAAGCCCUAAUUAAGUAUUAUACUCUCAAGUCUCAAUAUUAGAAUCCAAAUAUUAAUUCUCGUUUGUUUCUUAUUCCCCACAGAUAAAAAGAAAAAGGGGAAUUAGAAUGACGAAGGUAGCGGGAGUUUUGGUCCGGUGGUCGUGGUUCAUCUAUCGAGAAAGGAAGAUGGGAACGCAAGCAGCCAUGGUGGCUCGAUGAUGGAAAUCAAUCGAGAAAGGGGAAGCACCUCUGGUGCGGGAUCGAUUUGACAAAAGGAGAAGGGAGAAGCAGCGACGCUUCUCUUGUCUGCCACAGCUUGGGGGGGGGGGGGCUCCGGCGGUCUCCUUGGCUGUUCUUCCUUGUCGCCAGCAGAUUACAUGUAGGGAGGGGACUCAACUAGUCCGAUGGAGUAGGGCAANUUGUCAAGGGUUUUCUGAUAUGGUACUCUCCUGUAAAUAUAUAGUGACAAUAGAUAUUUCUUUUGUCUAAUUUUUUCAUUGAUAUGUGGUAUUGCAGGUUAUAUCACUGGACAACAUGGUUGAUAGGCUUUCUGAUGUUAAGCUUCAGCCAACUAAGGUACUGACUGCUAUAUGUGGCCUGAUUAUGUUUCUCCAUUUUCCAGGUCAAAUUUUAGUGUAAAAUUGGUGGUGUUAUUUAAGGAUAAGGUCGUUAAAGCCAAUGAGGUUUUAGCUGCUGGUCAUCAACCACGCCCUAUCAUGGAAACCAUCAUUGUAACCCUUUUGUAUCUUGCCCUGCAUAGUGAGAAAAUUGAGUUGGAGGUAUUUAAAUUCUUUUAAAUUUUAUAGAACGUCAUUUCUUGUGAAAAAUAUUCACCACAUGUUCUUUUUUCUUAUCUGACUGAUUUAAUUUUUAGUGAGGCACUACAAAGGCAAAUUUGUGUAGAAGAUGUGUAAUAGUUAUCAAGUUUUUGGACUGAUUUUUCUUUGGUGGGGAUAUGUAUGCUACUGUUGACCUUUUAAAUUUCAUGCAAGUUGUUUUUAUGAUCUGUGUUAUUGCUGCUAUUGAUUCCUCCCAGAGGUACUAUUCUUGUACUUAUUUGCCGACCAACCAAAGCCUUUAUACUUAUUGCAAUCACUUUACUGCAGGGAGCUGGUUGCUGCUGUACUUGACAACCUUUCUAAAAAACUACAAUACAACUCCAGAUCAGAGGUUUUUUUUUUCAGUUUAUCUUUAAUCCUCUCACUAGCUUAUAAUACAGAUUGAUAUUGAUUGUGUCAUUGAGGGACAAAACUGAGCUAUCUAGACUUUUUUUUUUUUGUGAAUAACUAGAAGUAGUUGUUUAUGAGGUUAUUAUACAUCAAGGUGAUUGAAUUUAGCUGUUUUGUAGUACAUUGAAGAGCUUAUUGCAUCAAUUAUUUUCUUCUGGGUCUAGUGUGGUGUAAGCUUGGCUGCAUUAGUUGAGGUAAUAUUAACACAACUAUUUAAUGGAAGACAUUGUUGGAUGUACAUUUAAUCUCAUUUGGUCUUUGCAGACACGUGAACUUUUUGUUCUCAAUGUGGAAGCUAGUAAUUUCAUGGAAGACAUUGUGGUGGGCAAGAAAAAAACAACCAGUUGAAGGGUAAAAAUGUCAAAAAGGCUCCCAAAAGUUUCCAAAACAGAAUACCAGUUGCCCUUCAUCAUCCUGAUGAGGUACAUAUCCAUUUCUAUGAAUAUUCUCAAUUUUGUUUUAUCGAGUAAAUUAAAUGUUUGGUCUCUGAAUAUGGCUUAUUUUUUCAAUUUGGUCCCAAAAGUUUUCUCUUGCAGUUUUGGUCAUCCUUUGAGGUUCUUAUAACUUUUUUGAUCCUUGUUCCAAGUAAUACCUGAUUGUUUUCAACUUUGGCCCUAAAAAUAUAGUCAUUUUCUUGAAACAGAUACCAAAAACUUCAAAUAAGACCAAAAUUGCAAAAAUUAGGGGACCAAAAAUAUAAUUAAUUGUUGUUUGUUUUGUUAUUAAAUGCAUUUCAGGGGGAUUUGGGGUAUAUAUACCUUGAUUUAAAUUGUAGACAGGGGAAGUAUCCUGGUUGUGCUCAUUUUGCCAUAAGAGGAGGGCGUACAAUUUCCAAAACAGAAUACCAGUUGCCAGUAAGUUGUUAUUACAGUAUAUUUUGUUUUGUUCAUCAAGGGCAAAUUGCAGGAAUUAUUAUUGUAUUCCAUUACCAAGAAUAGAAAAAAAGUGAUGAAAUGUUUUUGUUGAUUAUUAUUGUGAAGGUGAUUGUCGUUGUUUGCAACUUCUCAAAGCCCCAUAAUUCAUCAAUCGUGAGACUUAACCACUCUGAUGUGGAUACCCUUUUCCAUGAAUUUGGGCAUGCUCUUCAUUCCUUGCUUUCAUGAACAGUAAGUGUUGCACCAUUUUUUAAAGACUUGAUUAAAUUAAUCAAUCUUUGGUACUAUUUUUAUUGUAUUAUGAAUUGGUUGAUCAAAAACUGUAUAGUGAUAGAUUGAAAAGCUUGUUUAUCCAUUUCAAAAUUUCACCAAAAUUGACAUGAAAUUCUAUAACUCUCGAGAUAUUAAUUGUGGUACAUAGGGAAAUUCUUGAUUUUAAUUGAUAACAAAUGCAUAUACAUUAAGGCUGAAUGCAAGAAACACAACGUACAUAGGGAAAUUCUUGAUUUUAUAAAAUGUGUGUUGUCUCAUCAGGCACUUGUUGUGUUGGUUCAUGAUAUGGGUCCAACCGGGAGCUUAUAAGUGAUGCCAUUAACAGCACUUUGCAAUUCAAGGUAACUAUCAUAUCUGUUGUGUUGUGUUGGUUCAUGAUGUACAUCAUUCAACCCCAGACCGUAUUUCAAGUUAUUCAUUAAUUGGUUAUAUUGAACUUUGGAUUCUUGGAAAAAUGUAUGUUACUACAUGUGUAUUAAAUUUUAAUAUUUUAUAACAUAGAUUGAUGAUGCUUGAAGCCUUUCUGAAUACUAAUGUGUUGACGAUGAAAAUAGGUAUCAUGCGGAAACAGAAACAUAACAAUAAGAAGUAGAAAGAAGAAGGUGUUCCUUAAUAACAAUGUAGUAUUAGGUUAUAUAGUUAGGAAAACCUCUUUCCAUGGAACGAUUAUUUGUAUGACAUUAAAUUGAUGCAAUGGAUUCUAUUUUUUGUAUAUUAUAUUUUAAUUUCUAUUAUGAAACAUUAAAUACAAAUUUAAUUUGAAAAUAAGUAAAUCUAUAAAUAAUAUUUUUUUUNNNNNNNNNNNNNNNNNNNNNNNNNNNNNNNNNNNNNNNNNNNNNNNNNNNNNNNNNNNNNNNNNNNNNNNNNNNNNNNNNNNNNNNNNNNNNNNNNNNNNNNNNNNNNNNNNNNNNNNNNNNNNNNNNNNNNNNNNNNNNNNNNNNNNNNNNNNNNNNNNNNNNNNNNNNNNNNNNNNNNNNNNNNNNNNNNNNNNNNNNNNNNNNNNNNNNNNNNNNNNNNNNNNNNNNNNNNNNNNNNNNNNNNNNNNNNNNNNNNNNNNNNNNNNNNNNNNNNNNNNNNNNNNNNNNNNNNNNNNNNNNNNNNNNNNNNNNNNNNNNNNNNNNNNNNNNNNNNNNNNNNNNNNNNNNNNNNNNNNNNNNNNNNNNNNNNNNNNNNNNNNNNNNNNNNNNNNNNNNNNNNNNNNNNNNNNNNNNNNNNNNNNNNNNNNNNNNNNNNNNNNNNNNNNNNNNNNNNNNNNNNNNNNNNNNNNNNNNNNNNNNNNNNNNNNNNNNNNNNNNNNNNNNNNNNNNNNNNNNNNNNNNNNNNNNNNNNNNNNNNNNNNNNNNNNNNNNNNNNNNNNNNNNNNNNNNNNNNNNNNNNNNNNNNNNNNNNNNNNNNNNNNNNNNNNNNNNNNNNNNNNNNNNNNNNNNNNNNNNNNNNNNNNNNNNNNNNNNNNNNNNNNNNNNNNNNNNNNNNNNNNNNNNNNNNNNNNNNNNNNNNNNNNNNNNNNNNNNNNNNNNNNNNNNNNNNNNNNNNNNNNNNNNNNNNNNNNNNNNNNNNNNNNNNNNNNNNNNNNNNNNNNNNNNNNNNNNNNNNNNNNNNNNNNNNNNNNNNNNNNNNNNNNNNNNNNNNNNNNNNNNNNNNNNNNNNNNNNNNNNNNNNNNNNNNNNNNNNNNNNNNNNNNNNNNNNNNNNNNNNNNNNNNNNNNNNNNNNNNNNNNNNNNNNNNNNNNNNNNNNNNNNNNNNNNNNNNNNNNNNNNNNNNNNNNNNNNNNNNNNNNNNNNNNNNNNNNNNNNNNNNNNNNNNNNNNNNNNNNNNNNNNNNNNNNNNNNNNNNNNNNNNNNNNNNNNNNNNNNNNNNNNNNNNNNNNNNNNNNNNNNNNNNNNNNNNNNNNNNNNNNNNNNNNNNNNNNNNNNNNNNNNNNNNNNNNNNNNNNNNNNNNNNNNNNNNNNNNNNNNNNNNNNNNNNNNNNNNNNNNNNNNNNNNNNNNNNNNNNNNNNNNNNNNNNNNNNNNNNNNNNNNNNNNNNNNNNNNNNNNNNNNNNNNNNNNNNNNNNNNNNNNNNNNNNNNNNNNNNNNNNNNNNNNNNNNNNNNNNNNNNNNNNNNNNNNNNNNNNNNNNNNNNNNNNNNNNNNNNNNNNNNNNNNNNNNNNNNNNNNNNNNNNNNNNNNNNNNNNNNNNNNNNNNNNNNNNNNNNNNNNNNNNNNNNNNNNNNNNNNNNNNNNNNNNNNNNNNNNNNNNNNNNNNNNNNNNNNNNNNNNNNNNNNUAUAUAUAUAUAUAUAUAUAUAUAUAUAUAUAUAAUUUCCUUAAGUCGAACCAUUCCAACAUAAAAUUCAUAUAUAUACUUGACUAAACAUGAUUAAAAUCUCACUAUCUAAGAUGACUUGAAAUGAAUUAUAAUUUUUUCUCACUUAAUUAUAGCAAAACAAUUUUUCAAUCCCUGCAACUUCAUGAAUUGAAACUUUUGUUUUCUAUUAACAAUUAACAUAAUAAUCAUGCUCCCACUAUCAUGAUAAUUAUUAGCAUAACACUUAUGCUUCCACUAGGUUUGACAUGUACUCAGAAAACAUCUGGACUUCUAGAAAUAAAUACUUUAUUGAGUCUCUUACCAAAGUUCAGAUUUCUGAUACUAGAUGCUUUGAUAAAACUUUAUCACAAUCAUACACCUUUCCUUAGAUAGCCUACAUGUGUACCUAAACAAUUUUUUACAACUAUGAAAAGGGAUGCCAUAAUCAUAGUCUCAAUUGUUUAGACCUUUGCCAUUUCUCACAAGUCUAUGUUAGUGUGUCGGUUACCCACACACGCUCCACUAACGACUUUGAGAAUGCAAAUGUCACAAUUGCUAUCUACUAAAAAUCUACUUAGUGAAAGUGUUUCCUCACCAUCAUUUUCAUGAAUCGGAGAGAAACCUUAUGACACUUAGAUUUUAUGGUGUAUGUGUUCCUUUCCAUGUGAAUUUUGUCAAAACCAUAGUCAUAAGACAAGGUUAGUGACAAUUUCAAAUUCAUAUGGACUGAACUUGUGCAAUCUUAACUUCUUGCCAUCUGGCAGCACAAGGGCCUACCAUUGCUUCCAAGUUGUUAUGAAAUCAAUUGAGAACUCUCAGAACUCCUAUGCAAAGCCAACUUUAACUGGAAUGGACACAGAAAUGUCAACACGAUAGAUUAUAAACCUCAAGUCGUGUGCUAGUGAAGAACUAUAAGUUUUAUCCUUGAUUAGUUCUUGAAACUUUCAAGACCAUUAAGAAUCCCACUGUCCUCUUGACAUAUAAGACUCUCUUGUUAAGAACCAUUGCUUGACAAAAGAAAUAUUCAAAGGAUGGUGCGGAUUCUUAUCAAGACUAACACUUCACACAAUUGGCCUAAUUUGAUCUCUGUUUUAUCCAAAACAUCACAACUUACCAAUUUCAAAUGUACAAGAGUAGAAAACAUUUUACUCUUACAUUUGACUAGUGUUAAUAAACCUUCUUCAAGAUAUGUCACUAGUGUUAAUCUUGGAGUAUGACUCUAAGACUUUGUUUUUGAAACGAAGUAUGACUCAUCUUCUUGAUUUAACCAUUCCAACAAUUCAUGACUUCUCUUUCUUAGCCAUAAGAAUGCACUAAGAUGUCCUUAGAGGAUCAAUUGUGAUAUGGUAUCUUAAUCAUUAAGAUGAUCAUAAAACAUGAUACCAAAGUACUCUCCCAUCUUUUUAGAUUUGAGAAACUUUUAUCUUUCUGCCUAAUUUGAUUCUUCAUAUUUACUAAACUUUAGUAAAUCAUGACGAAUAGUCUUUGGGGUGGACCUGAUCAGCGCACACCCAAGUGUACCCAAUCCCUUUGUCCUUCACUUGACUCACAUAUACAAAGCUGAUAAUUCUCAUUCAUCACACUAUACAACUUGCAUGAUUCCAAGUUUCGGUCCAAUUGAAACUUGGGUGAUGAGAAUCUUUCCUUAUUUGGUAAAUUAUGACACUACCACAACCGAAAGAAUCAAAUCAAUUUUCCAAUAUUGCUAUCAAUGGAAUCUUAUAAACAACCAUUUUUCACAAAUGCCACUAUAAGGAUAUUUAAAAUAAAUAAAAUAAAACCUUAUCUUUUAUUUAAAACUUGCGGAAAAACUUAUGCUUACAAUGCAAAUGCAUAUGAAAUAUUUGUUGUUAUCUAUUCCUAAACAAUAUAUCAUAACUCUUAAGCAACAACUCACAAUUCUGAUCACCGAACCAUGCAAUCGAAAUACAUCUUCGUGAUCAGAAUCAACAUAUACUUCCUUUAAGCUUCCUCUCUUCGAUUCUACAAAACAUCAAAAUGUGAUCUGGUCACACCAUGUAUAAGAAUCUCAAAUAUGAACUUAAUAGAGUUAGAUAGUGCACUUUACCCGAAGUAGAGUCAAACUCUUUGACUUUACCAACCUUAUGAUUGUUCAAGUAAAUUAGGCUGCUUUGCAACCAAUGCCCCAUCCUUUGGCAAUAGAAGGUUUGGGAAGUUGAUCUUCUAAUCAAAUUUGCUUUACUAAUCCUCAAAUCAUUUCUGAUUCAGCAGCACCAAGCAAAUAGGUAAGAUCAUUAAGGGUCAAGUCAUGGUCUAUCACAUAGUAGUCACAAAACUACUCACUAUAUGACUUAGAAAGUGAUUGAACAUCCAACUUUCUCAAGACUUUGACACCCAACUCUCCCGGCUUGUCAAUAUGUGACUUCAUCUCCAAGAUGUGAUCACACAUAGACCUUGCUUGCCAAUAAGGCUUGAGUGACCUUGAACUUGUGGGUUAGGGAGAAUAAUUGGAGGGGGUAGAGGAAGUGAAAUUCCAAGAGAUUUGGGAAGAUCAUAGAUGUAUAAACUAGAUAUCUACAAUGGGAGAUAUUCAAGUUAGUCGAUUUUUAAGUCCUUAAUAUAACACCCAAUAUGAAAUAUUAAGGCCAGGACCCAACACAAUAUAUUAUAACAUGGAAGAGGGAUGCCGUAAUCCAAGCUAUAAGAUAUUUGAAGGUAGGCGACUGAUGAUUCACCAAUUUCCACCAUCAAAAAUGAAAUAAUUUAUUAGGUUUUAAUUGGAUCUGAAACUCCUAGAUCUUUUGAGAUUCAUUAAACUUUUCAAUGGCAUGUUUCAAUAUCGAGUGUGCCCUCUCAAAUUUUGUGACUGGGAUGCCGAGGAUCACAAAACAAGAUGUGAAUAACCAUGCAAACUCACUUGGUACCCUUAAUAUUAUCACCUAAUCGAUGUGCCGGUUACCCACAUGCGCUCCACCGAUCUAUGAUAAACAUUAAGUCACCCUUUGUUAUCCUUACUAGUACAAGUUAUUGUGCCGGUUACCCACACACGCUCCACCAACGACUUGGUAAGGUACAAAGUGUGAAUUUCAUGGGUCAGCACCAAAUUCACAUUUUCCUAAGUAACUAAGAUUGGGAAUUUAAUAAGUGUUUAGUUACUUAGUAUUUAUCAUUAUACUUUUAAUGAAGGGAGAAUUAUAGUCCUUGUCCUACCCGUUCGGCGAACGACCCUCAACCAGUCAAGGAAGCGGUGGGUGAGAGUGGACACCCAUUAAACUGCCAUUUUAUAGGCAGUAACCUUAUGCCCCCCUUAUAUACCGGCUUCGUGAAUGAGGUCUACUAACGGUAAGAUUGACUUUACUCUUAUACGUAUAUAUAAUCAUUAACUUUUAAUAUUAUAAUAGUAUAAGGGUGUAUUUGAAACAUUUACAAUACUUGGUGGUUUAAUCUAUUAAUUAAACUAUACUCUUAAUUUAAUUAAAAUUAAACCAUGUCUUUAUGGAAUUAUUAACUCUUUUAAUUAAACACUUUAAUUAAUUUAAUGAAGUCCAUAAAGUUUGAACUUUAACUUUUAAAAUUCUAGAGUUUGGAAUUAAAGUGUAUAUGGGGGUGACUUUACAAAUUCCAAAACUUGAGGACAAGUUUUGAACAAUUCAAAAACUUAUGGUUUCCAUAACUUAUGAGUUUUAAAGUGGUUUAAAAAGCAUUUAAAAAAUGUGACUCUUCAUUUUUUCAUAACUUAUGGAAAAUUUAUGAGUUAAAAAAUUCAUAAAUGUGACUUUUCAAGUAACUUGAGGACAAGUUACAAAAACACAUAUUAUUUCCAACUUCUAGAUUAAUUUGGAUUGAAAACAACUAUCUCAUAAUUUUUUCUAUUAAUCUAAACAAACUCAUAAACAUGAACAUUCAUAAUCAACAAUUUUCAAGCAUCAUAUAAACAUGUAUAAAACUUGAAACUUUGAUUAUUAUCAUUUAUUUGGAUGCAAAUAAACUUUACCAUCGUAUCAAAAAACAAAUUUUAUGAACAAAAACACUUUGUGGUAAUGAUUCUAAUCCAAAACAUACCAAAAAACACGAAUAUAUGCUGUCAGGGGGUCCAACUUGUCGAGUGCAUGAACCAACUCGACGAGUUGGAUGAAUUUGUUCAUGGACUCGUUGAGUCUGCAGUCCAGACAGCAAAAAAUUUGUUUUUUUCCAGCUAUUUGCAUCAAGUAUAAUUGAAAACAACCCAUGGCUUUGAUACCACUAUUGGGUUUUGGUAUAAUACAACAUUAUAUGGUGCACAUACAACCCUAAAUACCUUGGAUCUAUGUUUUCACUAUAUAUACAUGCAAAUGGUUUCCAAGGUAUUAAUCUUACAACUAGCAUGCAUUUAACAUAAAAGCAUAAGAUACAAGUUAGCAUGACAUACCUUUUGAUGGAGCUUGAAGUCUUGGUGUAUUUGGCCUUAAAGAGCUUUGCCCCAAUAGUGUGGAAGCCUCAAAUGACGUCACAACAGAUCAUGGACAAAGGUAGGGCUUGAGAGAGAAUUCCAUGCACCAAAAACCUCCAUAUGUCACUAAGAAAAGAAGUGUGUACGUUUUGGUCAUGAAGUAGCACAUUUAUACGUUGGAUUCCAAGAGUCAUGGGUAUAACCCAAAUCCAAACCCAUGGGUGUUAUGAUCCAUGGUCCAUGUGGCCCAACUCUUCAUGUAUCCAUACAUAAACUUGGUCCAACAUGGAUCAUAAGCCCAACACAUAUAAAUAUAACAAAUUACCAUAAUUGGUCCCCAUAUAUUUAAUUAGUCACUUUUGACCACUAAAUUAAUUCCAAAUUAACUCUUGAUCAACACUAAUUAAAACAUAUGAUUUCAUAUUAAUAUAUUAUAACUUAUAAUAUAUUAAUAAACCAUCAUUAACCUUCUCUCAAAAGUCCAUCCUAACAAAUUGUCCUGAUGAUAUGCAACCCAAAUGGACCAUGCUACUCUUGGGUCGAAUACAUACCAAUAAUAGUUAUGGUCUUAGACACCUAAUCCAACAAUUAGCCCCUAGAUCCAUCCCAUCAUCCCCUUCAUCAUCAUCAUCUUCAUCAUCAUCUUCGUCAUCAUCAUUAACUCUGAUAAUUGGUACAUGCUCCUCUACAAAAAUUGCUACUGGAGGAGUAGUUUUAUCUUCCUGAUCAGAAACAAUAAGUUCAUCAUCUUCAAUUUCUGAGGCUUUAACUAAAUCUAAAUCCUCCCCAUUCUAAGAAAAACAACCCAACUUUUCUAAGGGCUUCGUUCCUUGAAACAUAAAUUUUGAGACUUUGUGGUUCUGCAUCAUAUCCAAAGUUUCUCCUCUUCCUUUUAGUUCAAGAUAUUUAUCAUUGAUGAUCAUAUGGAGGAACCCUGUGUACAUUAAAAAGGUGUCAUUUCUCUUCCCUUGUAAAUUAUUCUUCAUUUCAUUCAACACAUAUUUUGAAAAAUUGAAGUCAAGAAUCAUGACUAGUGCAGUGAUGGCGUCGAUAUUUCAAUAAAGAAUUUUCAUUUGCACCUGCUUUCCUUCUAGCGAUGCAUAUCACAAAGGAGUGGGCAAGAAAAUGCCAGUAACGGGGAAGUAACUUCUUUAUCGUAGGAGGAAAACCUCUUUCAUAACUCAUCCUAUCUAAGAUCUCCUUGACCUGAUCCAUUGGAAUUUCAGUUGGAAAUCCUGGUUGACCCUCAAGUCGAAGCACUUUUCAGAUAAUUUGUUCAGACACCACAAUCUUUCUCCCUUAGAUAAAGGAUUCCACUGUGCCUUCUCCAUUUUCUCCUUCUUUGUUAACUAAAGCAUUGUCCCAAAACUGUCUUACUAACUCCUGAAAGAUUAUUGGAUUUGUUUGGAAGGCAUGAGAAAGUUUGUAAUUUUUAAGUCCAUGAACAGUAGACCUAAACUUUUGAUGCGCCAUUGGAGGAUCUGAAAAAGUAUGCAACAAUGUUGUGGUUUUCCGAAAACUUUACAUCUACUAUUUAUCUGCAUCAAACAAACCAGCUGAGAAAAUUUAAAAAUUAAACAAUUUAGAUUGAUUUUCUCAAAUAUUGGUUGACUAAGGCUCUAAUUUUAAUUUUAUGUCUGUCAAAAUGAGUUAAUUUAGCGUGAGUUCUACACCGAUCCCUUCACAUUUGAAUGAGCGGCUCUUUAUGCUUUAGUAAGAAGGAUUAGUCUCGCCCUGAGGCGUACCCCGCUUGAAAAAUGCUCUUUGAGGGUUUUAAGAAUAGCAAUUCUAGGGGAAACUAAUUCAUUGAUGGAGCCGAAGCCCUAGUUUCUUGAUGAUAGGAAUUGUCGUUUUCUUCAUUCAAUCCCACCGUAUCUGUUGAGCCUAUCGGAGUUGCCUAUGUGAGGUUCUUUCCGAUCUCUGGACUCUUUCUAAUAAAAAGUGUCAAAAAAACGAAAGCUAGCAAAAGCAAUUUGUAGGAAGUAAACGGAGUCUUUCCUUCCGAAAUCCACUCCUGAAGUCACGUCUUUCAGUACUGGGACUGAAGUCAAGUACUUUCGAGUUGCUCUUUGCCCAAAGCCCUCUUUCCGACUUAGAAAGACCAACUAACAAUAGCUUUAGCAUCUCUUGAGUUGGAAAGGUCUUUAUAGAGCUAAGGGGAAGGUUUGGAACCCUAGUAGCAGAAUGGAAUCAGCGGGCUGACUUCCAUGCUAACACGAGUAGUUUAACUCAGCAUUACCUCGUAAGUUCGUUUUCAAUUAUUUUUGCUUUGCGAGAAACUUUUUAAAAAAUCUUCAAAUAGCCAUUGCAUAGUUUACGAAUUAUGCUUAGUAGGGACCUAAACACAGGAAUGGUUCAGAGUCAGACCACGCCUUAUGACGAAAGGGGGAGAAAGGACUGUCGAUCUAUGAUCAAAGAAAACUAUACCUGAAGAAUGGGAUACAGAUUGGGAAUAAAAGAAAGACCUAUGACUCGUUGUCUAAAUCAUAACUUCAAACAGAACCCCACUGUAGAGAGGGAGACCCCUGGAAGUGUAAGAACGACUAUUUUGGAGCCUGAGGGUGAGGUUCCAUCGACGAGUGAGAAAAGGAACGAGAGACCUACGGCUAUGUGAGGAUUAGGACGCGGCGUACGGUUGGCAAUGGCAAGUCAGUCACAUAGGCUUUUGUAAGAACACGCGUCAGUACUAGACUGAUUAUGCCAUCGAUUCAAAGGAAGGACGGGAAAGCACAGGGCAGGAAACAAUUAGAAAACCUAUAACCCUUGAGUGAGUUCGCAGUCAAUCUUGCUUUCGAUUCAACAAUACGAACCGAAGAAAACAAUUAGGAUGAAAAGAUUCUUUGGCAAAGGAGUUUUUUCCUUACAGCCGAAAAAAAUAAUCAAGUACAAAAUUUAGGUUUUCUGCCGCAAAGUGUUUUUGGUCGUAAACGCGUUUUCGGAUGAAAACGAUCCGCUUUCCAGAUUUUGACGAAGAACACCGUUGAAAAUGCGAUUUUGCCUCUAAAUCCUGCAAAACAAAGUCAAUUUUAUUGAGAAAAAGUUGUAUGGUGUCGCCAAGUCAUUAACUACAAGAAUCGUGAAUCAAUUUCUAAUUAAAACAACAAACAGAUAAUGAACCGGUGACAGUGAGCAAGAACUUGAGAGAGAAAAGGAAAGGGAGUUUUUAGCCGAAAUCGAUAAGGUGCUAAUAAAGGCGUCAACAGUCGUAACUCCCUCCUUAUAUACGCUAUACUAUUUUCGGCUCAAGACCCAUGAUCAACUGGGCUGUAAGUGCAAACCCAAUAAAUCCAAUUUUAGUUAAAAUGUAAACAUUUUGAAGACUUCAAAUUUUAAAUGAAAAAUAAAAAUAAAAUAAAAUCUAAAAAUUUAAAUUCAAACUAAUAAUUUUUUUAAUUUUUAUAAAAUGAAAAUAAAAUUAAAAAUAAAAAUAAAAUAACACUAAUUCCCUUUUCAAAAUAAAGAGCUUUUGGGAUCAUAAGUUCUGACACAAUCUUAACAUGCUUUUCGGUACCUUCAUCUUCAUGAAAAGAUCUUGUCAAUUGCCGGUAUUGUGGUCCACUUAAACACGAAUAAUAUUGACAAUCUGGACAUAUUAUGAGUGACAAGUCAUUACUCUUAAAAUCUUAAAUGGACCAUUUAACUGAUGACAACCAAGGGUAUUGUUGUCCAGUUAAAUUUAGUUGCUAGAUCUACAAACAACCUAUUAAAUGAUUCAAUUUUAGAUGAGCUAGAGUAUAUUUCCCACUUCCUGAUAUACCCUGGUAAUCAAGUGCUUCCAAACAAUCCCUUACUUUAGUAAGGUAGACAAUUAAUAGGAGAUAAUAGAUUUAGAAGUGCAUAUGUUGUGUCCCAGGUCGGAUCUCUUCCAAUCACGCAGAGGGGAAAACAUGUAACUAAUGCGGAUAGAGGAGUUGAGAGAUAGAAUGAUCCAUAUGUUGUGUUUCAGGUUGGAUUGUUUCAAUCACCUAAGACAACGUAUGACUGACAGAGAAAAAGAAAUGCAUAGAUAAGAAGGUGCAUAGAAAUAGAGUUGCAUAUGUUGCAUUGCAGGUCGGAUAUGUUCCAAUCACACAAAGGAAGCAACAUAUGACUGACAGAUAGAAAGCAAGAAAACAAUUUUCUACAUACAUACUUUAUCAGAACCCCGAGUUACCUUAUCAAUACCAGAAUUAAGGUCAUCAGACCAUACAUCAACUGUUGGGUCAAAAAUAUGGUUUAUACUUUGCUUUUCUAAGAAAAUAUAUUUUUCUGUAAUUUUGUGGCUGUGUACGGCUGCACAUGUGUGUGCGGCCACACACCCUAUGUACGGCCGCACAUGUGUGUGCAGCUGUACACUCGUGUGCUGUUGGUGGCCCAUGUCUCAUAUAUAUAGGGUGAGGAGUGUACGACCUGAAGAGAGAGAAAAGAGAGGAGCAUGUUCUAGAGAGAAGAAUAGUGUGUAUGAGAGAAUGUAUGUAUAUGGAGCAUCAUUCAUAUUAUUAAAUACAUCAUUAGAUUCAUCUUAAUUCUUUUUUUUCUUUUCUUUUAUUUGAUCUGACAUCAUCCAAUUGAUGGAGCAUCAUUCAUAUUAUUGAAUACAUCAUUAGAUUCAUCUUAAUUAUUUUUUUUUCUUUUAUUUGAUCUGACAUCAUCCAAUUGAUUGGGAUUCCGCACCAUCAAUUGGAUCAAAUUGAUACACAAGUAAUUUUGGGGACUUACAAUUGGUAUCAGAGCUUGGAUUGUAUCAGUCAAUUUUGUAAGAUCUGGAGCUUAUUUGAUCUUAUUUUCGAAAUAUUUUUGCGUUUUUAGAUGGAUCUCUGAAAAUUAAGGGGGGUUUUCUUCUUUGCAUUUUUCAUAAAAACGAGUUUUUGAUCGAGUUUUGGAGCAAAAAAGGGUGAAAACGUCAUUUUUUCGCGAAUCUGUUGAAGGUGUGCGGCCAGGGAGUAUGCGGCUCAGUGUGUGCGGCUCGAUGUGCAGCUUCGGAUGGUGUAUGAGGCUUCAAUCGUCAGAGCUCCUGGUCAGCUCAAGACUUCGCAGCAUCUUAUUAAAAAAAGGGAAGGGAUUUUGUAGUUACCAGGAAUCGAACUUGCGCCAUCAGCUUCAUCAAAGCAACGCCUUAACCAACUCAUCUACGCUGGGAGAUGAUAUCCUUAAUUUUUAGAUUUUGAUAUUUUUAACCAAAAAAUCAAUUUUCUUUAUUUUUAAAUUACAUUUUCAACACAAAAAUUUUAUUUUUUAGUUUUAUACUUUUUACUUAAAUUUUGACUUUGACAUUUCUAGUUUGACCUUUGACUUUAAACUUUGAGUUUUUCGUUUAAUUUCUAGAUUUUCAAAUUUAGCCUUUCGGUUUGACUUUUAAGUUUGACUUUUUAAGUUUGAUUUUUUUAAAUUUGAAUUUGAAGGUUGACUUUCUCGGUUUUUAAGUCAAAGGGAAAUUAAAAAAAAAUGAGUUCCGCAUCAAUUCCGGUAAAUGAAGUUUCAUGCACUCUAUCUUGUGAAACUACUAUUAAAUUUUUCCGAUAUCAAAUCGAUUUAUUAAAAAGAGAAAAUGAGGACCUUAAAUAUGAAGGCUAUACUCUAAGGAAAGGUCAGAAACCAUUAAAAGCACAAUUAGAAGCCAAAAUCAAGGAUUUCCGAAAGCUUUAAGAAGAUUACAUCAACAAGUGUGAAAAUUACGAUCACAUUAAACGCAAACUUGCUGCUGUAACUGAAGAACUUGACACUUUGAAAAUUAAGUGUGGAAAAAUAGAUGUUAGUUUCAAAAAUUAUACUACAUCAAGUGAGAUAGUCGAGUCCUUAGUAGAAAAACAAUUGAUUUUUAAAGAUAAUCAAACCAAGGGUGUAGGAUAUCACAGUGUGCCACCUCCUUUUAAUCACAACUAUAACCCACCCCUUGAGACCAAUGAGGAAAUGCCUGCUCAGUAUGGCCGAACCACUGCUCCAGCUUCAAUUAAGACUGAACAAUCAGGGCCAAGUGAGGGUGUUGAGGUGAAGAAUACUGAUGUUUCUACUUCCUGUGUAGGUAAACUUGUGGAAGAUGAGAACAAGGAGAAUAGUACUGAACAAACCAAUGACUCCUUGAACUCUGAAUCUGUUGCUUCUAAUUCUGUUACUCCUACCAAAUAUGUUGUUGAGAAAUAUAGGCCACCAAAUCAAGUGAAACAACCAACUUGCUGCAAUUGUGCUUGUGGGAAUAAUAAGUGACAAGGCAAGGGUACGCCACCAUGGGCAGGAAGAAACAAUUUCCCAGUGAAGAAAAAGACUUGUUUUCACUCUGGAACACCUGGACACAUUGCCAGAAAUUGUCCUAAUCGAGCAUACGUUCCCUACUAUGCACAAGGUUGACAAAACUCGCAAGGUGGGAGACUCUACAAAAGAAAUCAUUCGAGGUCACAAUCGCGCAAUGGAGACUGGAAAGCACAGAAAGCUAUCAAUCAAACCCACAAUGCCAAGAGUUUAACUCCUAAGGCCAAGAAAUCAAAUCCCAAGGUCAAGAAGGGAAUGUCGGCCAAGAAGUCCAAUCCAAGAGAUGCUCCAGUGAAGCCAAGACCGGUUAGGUCAAAUACAUCUCGACGAUUGGCUUCAAGUUCAAAAUCAAGUGUCGAGGCACCCAUCAGAUCAACAAAAAAUGGGUUAAACCCAACUACAAAUAGGUACCAAAGGUUCAAUCUCCCAAAUCUCCUAAUGCUUAUAAUAUUUCUACAUCUUCUGUUUAUGAUAAGCAGGAUAUGUCGCGGGAGAGAGUUCCUUGCAAGGAUGAAAAAGGUCGACCCAAUUUCAAAAUGGAUUGGGUUCCAAAGACCAACUGAUCCUGCUCUAUAUCGGAGCAGCUAUGGAGGCAUAUCAUUAGAUUUUAGUUUGUUGAUAGUGGUUGUUCCAGGUACAUGAUAGGAGGCAUCUCUCAACUGUGCAACACUCAGAACUUUGUUUGAGAGUAUGUGUCCUUUGCGGGAAAGGAAGAAAUGAAGGGAUCACACAUUGGGGUUUGUGCUUACGGUUUGAGUUUUCUUCUCUAUACUCCUGAGUUUAUCUGACUCUGAUUCGUUUUAAAGAAAAUUCUUCAUUAUCUUAAUAAUUUUUCGUUAGUAGUUAGUAUUGGGAAUUGAUAUCAACAAGUGAUAAUGGGCAAUCUGAGUCUGUGUAAAGUACCAAAGCUGAAUUGUCUAGGCUCUGUGUUCGAUGCGCUGGUAGGCACGAAGUAUUUAGAUGGACAUUACUAGGCAAAGAUGAACUUAAGAAAUCACAUAACUUGAAACAUAUUGACCUAGAUAGAUCCGUUUAGCCUGACAAUACGACGCUUGGAUAGGUUGAGCAGGGAGACAUACAUGAGAAUCCACCAGUCACAUUAAAGAACCCGUAUCUAGAACUGUGGUUUUACUUUUCCUCGAUGUACGGAUUCUGUCCUUAAUUCCAGUAUUGAUAGGGCGACUGGGGAAUUCCGAUAAAGUAGGUCUGUAGAAAAUUAUUUUCUUUCUUUCUUACUAUUAGUCAUAUGUUGCCUCCUCUGCGUGAUUAGAAGAGAUCCGACCUGGACUGCAACAUAUGCAAAUCUAUUUCUCUGCAUCUUAUAUCUAUGAAAUUCUUCAUAUCCGUUAGCCAUAUGUUGUCUCCUUUGUGUGAUUAACAAUCCGACCUGGUACACAGCAAAUGCAACCUUUUACUUCUCAAUCCCUCUGAAACUAUAAUUAAUCAUAAUCUAAAUCUAUCCUCUCUAUGAAUAAUAGUUUGCUCACCUAAAGUAAUGAGUAUCUUGGAAGUUCUUGAUUAUUGGAGUAUAUCAGGAAGCGGGAAACAUGUUCUAGUACAUCUAAAAUUGAACAAUUCUAGAUUGUCUGUACAAAUUUAGGGGGAGAAUUAAAAAAAUAUAUAUUCAAAAAUCAAACAAAAAUCAGAAAAAUUCAAAAAUCAAACAAAAAAAUAGAAAAUUAAAAAUUAAAAAAAAUAGUGUUAUUUCUGUUUUAUUUUUUUUUUCAGAAAAUAUCGAAAAUCCAAAAAUAUUUUUUGUGUGCUAAUUUUUCUUUUAGUUUUGUUUUCUCUUGAAAAGUGAUUUCAGGCAUAGAUGAGACUCGUGGAGACUGUAUUGAAGAUUUUCUAAGCCAGGCUUCAUCCAUGAGCAUCGAAGAUUUUUCACUCGAAGGAGCAAGAAAUGAAGAUAAUUCUUUAAACAUUCAAUCCUUCAACCCCAGAAGCAAGGUCAAGAUGUGCUUGAAGAUUAUGUGAUAGAUUGCAUUGAAGUCUCCUUAAUCAAUCUGCUGCUAUCUAUAAACCUGCAGAUGUGAUCCAGAAGAUUCGUUCUCUCUGUUCUCUUUGAGGAUUCUCAAGCUGAAAGUGCCAUCUUUCAUGGAUCUCUAAAAGAAGCCUCCUCACCCAAUGUGCAUUCAAUGUCAAAUUCUGCAGAAAUCCCAACUGCUCAAGAUGAAUUCAUUUAUUGAAGAUUCAUAUGUUCAUCUUAAUGCUGUGAUGAAAUUUGAAGAUAAAUGCUGAAGCCAAGCUCCUAAUGAAGAUUAACAAGAAAAGCUAGCUACUUUUUAGGGGGAGUUUGUUGGGCCAAUUAGGAAAGACAGCUAUAAACCAAGGGGAGAUUGUUGGGUCAAAAAUAUGGUUUAUACUUUGCUUUUCUAAAAUUUUGUGGUUGUGUACGGCUGCACAUGUGUGUACGGCCGUACACCCUGUGUACGGCUGCACAUGUGUGUGCGGCCGUACACCCUGUGUACGGCCGCACACAUGUGUGCAGCUGUACACUCAUGUGGUGCUGGUGGCCCAUGUCUCAUAUAUAUAUGGUGAGGAGUGUAUGGCCAGAAGAGAGAGAAAAGAGAGGAGCAUGUUAUAGAGAGAAGAAUAGUGUGUGUGAGAGAAUCUAUGUAUAUGGAGCAUCAUUCAUAUUAUUGAAUACAUCAUUAGAUUCAUCUUAAUUCUUAUUCUUCUUCUCUUCUAUUUGAUUUGAUAUCAUCCAAUUGAUUAGGAUUCCGCACCAUCAAUUGGAUCUGAUUGAUACACAAGCAAUAUUGGGGACUUACAUCAACGAAAUGUUAAACCACAACUCUAGAUAUAUGAUUUUAAUGCGUAGUGCAGAUUCUCAUGUUUAUUUCACUGCUCAAUCUACCCAAGUGUCGUAUUGUAAGUCCAAAUGGGACUAUCUAAUUCAUAUCGUCUAGUCCUGUCAUUGUCAAUCAAAGGCUAGUCCUUUUAAAACCCUUUGUGCCCACCAACACAUUGAACAUAAAGUCUAGACAAUUUAGAUUCAUUACCUUACACUUGCUUAGACUGUCCUUUAUCACUCAAUCUUGAUAUCAUUUCCCCAAAUGAUCACCUACAAAAUAAAACCAUAAGAACAUAUUUUUGGAAUUUUCUUUUAUAAUAUUUUUGCGUUUUUAUUCUCUCCCCCCCCCCCCUUAAAUUGUAAGUCCCUAAACCUGCAACCAACUUGUGAUCAACAAACAAACAAACGAAAAAAUGAUCAAGUACAAGAAUCAGUAGAAGAUAGAAUUGGUCCAUAUUGCACACGUUUUAUAUAUAACCGAAAACAUCUAGUACAAUGGACCCUACAUACACUUGACCACAAACAACUACUUACAACUGACAAGCUACAUACACUAUUUAUAGAGAACAAUAAAAGAGAACUAGUUUGUAGUCGUAAACAACACAUGGACCGAAAACAGGACGUUUUCGGUCCACCCAAACAAAAACCAACAAAAACACCUAUACAAAGCCUACAAAACAUAAAUUCCUAGCUUAAACCAACAAAACAUGUCCUAACAGUCUCCCCCUUGGUUUGAGGCUAGCAUGAAUUCAAUCCUUCUGAAUCAACAAAACAUUUGAGUUCCCUAUAGCGCCCGCCCACAUCUUUUUGUUUAUAAUCUCAGCGACGAUACUAGUAAACUCCUUGAAAGCAACCUCCACAAUAUCAUUCUUGACCAUGAUCUGAUGUUGAGCUAGAGUACGAAUGUCGCACUUUCAAAACUGCAGAAGAUCCUUUGCUUCAACAAGACGGAAAAAACCUUCCGGAAAUUUGAUGACUGUGGUGGCUGUGGCCUCAUCAUAAAACCAAAAUUCCAUAUUAUCCAAAGACCCAUCCUAGAACUACUAAACAAUAGGAAUUUGAUGCAUUUUCUUUAUGGGAGGCCAAAUCACAGAUUUUACAGUUCGGUUGGUCUUUUGAUCGUGGACGCCUUUGAAUUUCUUUACAAAUGAAUCGACAGUCUUCAUUCCAUCAAAUUUUCUCCUUACUUGGUUCCCUAAAAAGGGAUAGAAAUCAGACCCACGAGGAUCAUUCGAUGGAUUAUGGAAUGGAGCUUCAACGAGUUCUGUAAGGUCGAAUUUAGUCCAAUAAUUAAAGUCAUUUAUGUGUUUAUGAUACUCAACAUUUCCACUUUUCCGCUUCACCACCCAUAUAUUUAAUUUAUCAUGAAAUUCCCACAUCAAAAUUCUAGACCGAUCUUUGUACUAGUUUUUGAACCACUUUUUCCCAACCUCAGUCAUACUUAGUUGAGGCCGAUCUCCACGGAUGUUUUGAUUGAAAUUAUUCAUGAAAAGCAAUCCUCUUUUGCCUUGAGUCUUGGCUUGUUUCUGAGAUUUCUUUAGAAUUGCUCUUGGAUCAGAUUGAGCAGGUUCAAUUUUAAAACGAUCAAUAAUACAGUUCGUUCUUGCAGUUUAAGAAGCAUCUUGAGGAUUUUGAGUUUCUUGGGCAGGGGCACUAUAGGAAGCUUCACCUACAUUAGGUUCACCAACCGUUAUUUUGAAGUUUUCGCCAAAUUCAAUUAUCAACUUGUUCUUCAAAUCAAAAUAACAGGCAGAUAAAGCACCAAGAUUGAGCUACAAGUCAGAGAUUUGUUUUGAUUUAUGUUCAUUUUCUUUCGCGAGCUUUGAAACUCUAACCUCUAGAGUUCCAAUGAAAACAUCUUUUUUAAUACGUUUUGGAUUUAAGAAUCUGAUCUCCUCCUUGAUCUAGAGCAUCGUCGGGUCUUCUUUAUCAGGGCUCCCUACACCUAUCGAUAUUCCUAUGCCCCUAGGUGUAGGGACAUCACCUUCACAAGCCAAAAACCUGGAAAGCCAUUCGAAGGCUACAUCGUGCGUAGGUUGAGGAGUCGAGGAGCCACCAGGAUCUGAAGAGCUCUCAACUUCAUAAGAUUGGUGAACAAUGUUGGGCUCCCCAUGUAUCAUUUGGCUGUCAUAAUGUGUUUGUUGGCUUGGGGUAACUGUUGUAGUAGAUUGUUGAGCGGGCUGAUCUAGUUCCAUAAUGGGCACUCCCGACAUUGGAUCUGUUCUUCUUCUUUUAAGUGGAGGUUGGGAGGCUUGUGUCUCUUGUAGAUUACUCUCAUUUAGAAUAAUAGUUGGAGUGGAAACUGCUUGAGGAAGAAUCCUCACCGUUGAAUCCAAAUCAGCAAUAAAGUUGUCCAUCUAAUCGGGCGAUUGUUGUGGCAGCUUGAGAAUAUUUUCUUCUCUCUAAGUCUUUGUGGGAAAAAAUCCAACAGCAUCGACAUUAUCAAAGAACGAAUCAAGGUCUUCAUCAUUGGCUUGAAAUCAAGGUAUACAUCAUCAUCAUCAAAACCUGAUAAAUCACCUUCUUGACCCAUUUCGGCUCCAUCAUCAUCCCUAUCAUCAUCAAAUCCUAGGGUAUUAUCCCCUAGAUCCAUCCCAUCAUCACCUUCAUCAUCAUUAUCUUCCUGAUCAAAAAUAGUAACUUCAUCAUCUUCAUUUUCUAAGGUUUCAACUGAAUCUGAAUCCUCACCAAUUUCAGCAAAACAACCAAGCUUUUCUAAGGGAUUCGUUCCUUGAAACACAAAUUUUGAUACUUUGCGGUUUUGCUUCCUAAGACCAAAAGUGCUAGGACCCAGAGACUUCAUAUCCAAAGUUUCUCCUCUUCCUUUCAAUUCCGGAUAUUUGGCAUUGAUGAUCAUCUGGUGGAACCUUGGGUACGUUAAAAAUGUGUCCUUUCUCUUCCUUUGUAAAUUAUUCUUCAUUUCAUUCAACAUAUAUCUUGAAAAAUUGAAGUCAAGAUCCGUGACUAGUGUAGUGAUGGCGCCGGUAUUCAAUAAAGAAUAUACAUCUGCACCUGCUUUCCUUCCAGAGAUGCAUAUCACAAAGGAGUGGGCAAGAAUACGCCAAUAAGGGGGAAGUAACUUCUUUAUCAUAGGAGGGAAAUAUCCUUCAUAACCUAUCGUAUCUAAGAUCUCCUUGACCUGAUCCGUUGGAAUUUAAGUUGGAAAUCCUGACUGAUCCUCAAAUCGAAUCACUUCUCGGAUAAUGUGUUCAGACACCAAAAUCUUUCUUCUUUAGAUAAAGGAUUCCAUUGUGCCUUCUCUAUAUUCUCCUACUUUGUUAACUGAAGCCUUGCCCCAAAACUCCCUUACUAACUCCUGGUAGAUGAUUGGAUUUGUUUAGAAGGCAUGAGCAAGUUUGUAGUUUUUAAGUCCAUGAACCAUAGACCUAAACUCUUGAUGCGCCAUUGGAGGAUCUACAAAAAAUAUGCAGCAAUGUUGUGGUUUUCCAAAAACUUUAGAUCUACAAUUUAUCUGCAUCGAACAAACCACAUGAGAAAAUUUAAAAAUUAAACAAUUUAGAUUAUUUUUCUCAAAUAUUGGUUGACUAAGGCUCUAACUUUAACUUUAUGUCUGCCAAAAUGAGUUAAUUUAGGGUUUACAGCCGAAAAAAAUAAUCAAAGUCAAAAUUUAGGUAUUCGGCCGCAAAGUGUUUUUAGUCACAAACACGUUUUCGGCUGGAAACGUUCCACUUUCCAGAUUUUGACGAAGAACACCGUCGAAAAUGCAAGUUUGCCUCUAAAUCCUACAAAACAAAGUCGAUUUGAGUGAGAAAAAGUUGUAUGGUGGUCGCCAAGUCAUUACCUACAAGAAUCGUGAAUCAAUUUCUGAUUAAGACAACAAACAUAUAAUGAAUUGGUAAUAAUGAGCAACAACUUGAGAGAGAAAAGGAAAGGAGUCAACAGCCAAAAAUCCCUCCUUAUAUACCUUAUACUAUUUUCGGCCCAACACCCAUAAUCAACUGGGAUUUAAAGCAAAAGUUUUUUAAGUCCAAACCCAAUAAAUCUAAUUUUAGUUAAAAAUGUAAACAUUUUGAAGACUUAAAAUUUAAAUUAAAAAUAAAAAUAAAAUAAAAUCUAAAAAUUUAAAUUCAAACUAAUAAUUUUUUUAAUUUUUAUAAAAUGAAAAUAAAAAUAAAGAUAAAAUAACACUAAUUCCCUUUUCAAAAUAAAGAGCUUUUGGGAUCAUUAGUUCUGACACAUUCUUAACAUGCUUUUCGGUACCUUCACCUUCAUGAAAAUGAUCUUGUCAAUUGCCGGUAUUAUGGUCCACUUAAACACGAAUGAUAUUGACAAUGUGGACAUAUUAUGAGUGACAAGUCAUUACUCUUAAAAUCUUAAAUGGACCAUUUAACUGAUGACAGCCAAGGGUAUUGUUGUCCAGUUAAAUUUAGUAGCAAGAUCUACAUUCAACCAAUUAAUUGAUUCAAUAUUAGAUGAACUAGAGUAUGUUUCCCACUUCCUGAUAUACCCUGGUAAUCAAGUGUUUCCAAACAAUCCCUUACUUUAGAAGAGUAGACAACUAAUAAGAGAGAAGAUAGAUUUAGAAGUGCAUAUGUUGUGCCCUAGGUCAGAUCUCUUCUAAUCACGCAGAGGGGACAACAUGUGACUAACGCAGAUAGAAGAGUUGAGAGAUAGAAUGAUGAAUAUGUUGUGUUCCAUGUCGGAUUGUUUAAAUCACUUAAGACAACAUAUGAUUGACAGACAAAAAGAAAUGCAUAGAUAAGAAGGUGCAUAGAAAUAGAGUUGCAUAUGUUGCAUUCCAAGUCGAAUAUGUUCCAAUCACGCAAAGUAAUCAACAUAUGACUGGCAGAUAGAAAGCAAGAAAACAAUUUUCUACAGACCUACUUUAUCAGAACCUCGAGUUACCCUACAAGUACCAGAAUUAAGGUCAUGAGACCAUACAUCAACGAAAUGUUAAACCACAACUCUAGAUAUAUGAUUUUAAUGCAUAGUGCAGUUUCUCAUGUUUAUCUCACUGCUUAAUCUACCCAAGCAUCGUAUUGUUAGUCCAAAUGGGACUAUCUGAAUUCAUGUCGUCUAGUCCUUUCAUUUUCAAUCAAAGUCUAGUCCUUUUAAAACCAUUUGUGCCUACCACCACAUUGAACACAAAGUCUAGACAAUUUAGAAUCAUUACCUUACAGUUGUUUAGACUGCCCUAUAUCACUCAAUCUUGAUAUUACUUCCCCAAAUGAUCACCUACAAAAUAAAACCAUAUUAACAUAUUUUUGGAUUUUUCUUUUAUAAAUUUUUUGUGUUUUUAUGUCUCCCCCUAAAUUAUUACUCCCUAAAUCUGCAACCAACUAGUGAUCAACAAAUAAACAAACGAAAAAAAAUGAUCAAGCACAAGAGUGAGUAGAAGAUAGAAUUGAUCCAAAUUGCACAUAUUUUAUAUAUAACCGAAAAUGUCUGGUGCAAUAGACACUGCACACACUUGACUGCAAAUAACUACUUACAACAAACAAGCUAUAUAAACUAUUUAUAGGGAAGAGUAACAGAAAACUAGUUUGUAGCCGUAAACACGACAUGGACCGAAAACUGGACGUUUUCGGUCCACCCAAAUGAAAACCCUCAAAACACCUAUACAUAGCCUACAAAACAUGAAUUUCUGGUUCAAGCCAACAAAAGAUGUCUUAACAGUCUCCCCCUUGGUUUGAGGCUAACAUGAAUUAAAUCCUUCUCGAUAAACAAAACAUAUGAGUUUCCCAUAGCGCCCGCCCAUAUCUUUUUGUUUAUAAUCUCAGCGACCAUACCAGUCAACUCCUUGAAAGCAACCUCCAGAAUAUCAUUCUUGACCACGAUCUGAUGUGCUAGAGUACGAAUGUCACGCUUUCUAAACUGUAGAAUAUCCUUUGCCUCAAUAAGUCGGAAAAAACCUUCAGGAAAUAUGAUGACUGCGGUGGCUGUGGCCUCAUCAUAAACCAAAAAUUCCAUAUUAUCCAAAGACCCAUCCUGGAACUACUGAACAAUAGGAAUUUGACGCAUUUUCUUUGUGGGAGGCCGCAUCACAGAUUUUACAGUUCGGUUGUUCUUGGGAUCGAGGAUGCCUUUGAAUAUCUUUACAAAUGAAUCGGCAUCUUCAUUCCAUUGAAUUUUCUCCUUGCCCGGUGCUCUAAAAAGUGAUAGAAAUCAAACCCGUGAGGAUCAUUCGAUGGAUUAUGGAAUGGAGCUUCAACGAGUUCUGUAAGGUCGACUUUAGUCCAAGAAUUAAACUUAUUUAUGUGUUCAUAAUACUCAACAUUUCCACUUUUCCGCUUGACGACCCAAAUAUUUAAUUAAUCAUGAAAUCCCCACAUCAAAAUUCCAGAACGAUCUCUGUACUACUUCUUGAACCGCUUUUUCCCAACCUCGGUCACACUUACUUGAGGCCGAUCUCCACGGAUGUAUUGAUCAGAAUUAUUCAUGAAAAGCAAUCCUCUUUUUCCUUGAGACUUGGCUUGUUUUUGAGCUUUCUUUAGAAUUGCUCUUGGAUCAGAUUGAGUAGGUUCAGUUUCAAAACGAUCAAUAAUACGGUUCGUACUUGCAGUUUGAGAAGCAUCUUGAGGAUUUUGAGUUUCUUGGGCAGGGGAACUACAGGAAGCUUCAGCUACAUUUGGUUCACCAACCGAUGUUUUAAAUUUGUCGUCAAAUUCAAUUAUCAACUUGUUCUUCAAAUCAAAAUAACAUGCAGAUAAAGCACCAAGAUUAAGCUGCAAGUCGGAGAAUUGUUUUGAUUUAUGUUCUUUUCUUUCUUGAGCUCUAAAACUUUAACGUCUAGAGUUCAAAUCAAAACAUCUUUUUCAAUAAGUUUUUGAUUUAACACUCCGAUCUCCUCCUUGAUCUUAAGCAUCAUCGUGUCUUCUUUAUUAAUUGUCCCUGCACCUAUCAAUAUUCCUUUGCCCCAACGUGCAUGGAUAUCACCUUCACAAGCCAAAAACCUGGCAAGCCAUUCUGAGGCUACAUCAUACGCAGGUUGAGGAGUCGAGGAGCCACCAGGAGCUGAAGAGCUCUCGGCUUCAUAAGACGGGCGAACAAUGUUGGGCUCCUCAUGCAUCAUUUGGUUGUCAUAAUCAGUGGUUGGCUUGAGGUAAUAGUUGCAGUAGAUUGUUGAGUGGUCUGAGCUAGUUCCAUAAUGGGCACUCCCGACGUUGGAUCUGUUCUUCUUUUUUUAAGUGGAGGUUGGGAGGCUUGUGUCUCUUGUAGAUUACUCUCAUUUGGAAUAAUAGUUGGAGUGGCAACUCCUAGAGGAGGAAUCCUAACAGUUGAAUCAAAAUUAGCAAUAAAGGCAUCCAUCUGAUCGGGCGAUCGUUGUGGUAGCUUGAGAAUAUUUUCUUAUCUCUGAGUCUUUGUUGGAAAAAAUCCAACAUCAUCGACAUUAUCAAAGAACGAACCGAGGUCUUCAUAAUUCGGAUCAAAAUCAAGGUAUACAUCAUCAUCAUAAAAACCUGAUAAAUCACCUUCUUGACCCAUUCCCGCUCCAUCAUCAUCCUUAUCAUCAUCAAAUCCUAGGGUAUUAUCCCCUAGAUCCAUCCCAUCAUCACUUUCAUCAUCAUCCUCUUCAUCAUCAUUAUCUUCCUGAUCAGAAGUAGUAACUUCAUAAUCUUCAUUUUCUAAGGCUUCAACUGAAUCUGAAUCCUCACCAAUCUCAGCAAAACAGCCAAGUUUUUCUAAUGGCUUCGUUCCUUGAAACACAAAUUUUGAUACUUUGCGGUUUUGCUUCAUAAGACCAAAAGUGUUAGGACCUAGAGACUUCAGAUCCAAAGUUCCACCUCCUCCUUUCAAUUCAGGAUAUUUGGCAUUGAUGAUCAUCUAAAGGAACCUUGGGUACAUUAAAAAUGUGUCCUUUCUCUUCCUUUUUAAAUUAUUCUUCUUUUCAUUCAACACAUAUCUUGAAAAAUUGAAGUCAAGAUCCAUGACUAGUGUAGUGAUAGCACCGAUAUUCAAUAAAGAAAUUUCAUCUGCACCUGCUUUCCUUCCAUAGGUGUAUAUCACAAAGGAUUGGGCAAGAAAACGCCAGUAAGGGGGAAGUAACUUUUUAUCGUAGGAGAGAAACCUCCUUCAUAACCUAUCGUAUCUAAGAUCUCCUAGACCAGAUCCAUUGGAAUUUCAGUUGGAAAUCCUGAUUGAUCCUCAAGUCGAAGCACUUCUCGGAUAAUGUGUUCAGACACCACAAUCUUUCUCCUUUAGAUAAUGGAUUCCAUUGCACCUUCUCCAUAUUCUCCUUCUUUGUUAACUGAAGCCUUGUCCCAAAACUCCCUUACUAACUCCUGAUAGAUAAUUGGAAUUAUUUGGAAGGCAUGAGCAAGUUUGUAGUUUUUAAGUCCAUGAACCAUAGACCUAAACUCUUGAUGCGCCAUUAGAGGAUCUGACAAGUUUGCAGCAACAUUGUGGUUUUUCGAAAACUUUAGAUCUGCCAUUUAUCUGCAUCAAACAAACCAAAGGAGAAAAUUAAAAAAUUAAACAAUUUAUAUUAAUUUUCUCAAAUAUAGGUUGAUUAAGGCUCCAAUUUUAAUUUUAUCUCAGCCAAAAUGAGUUAAUUUAGGGUUUAUAGCCGAAAGCAAUAAUCAAAGUCAAAAUUUGGGUUGUCGGCCGCAAAGUGUUUUUGGUCGAAAACGCGGUUUCGGCCGAAAACGUUCCGGUUCUAGAUUUUGACGAAGAACACCGUCUAAAACGCGAUUUUUCCUCGAAAUGCUAUAAAACAAAGUCGAUUUGAGUGAGAAAAAGAUGUAUGGUGGUCGCCAAGUUAUUACCUACAAGAAUCGUGAAUUAAUUUCUGAUAAAAACAACUAAUAGAUGAUGAAUCGGUGACAGUGAGCAAGAACCCGAGAGAGAAAAGGAAAGGGAGUUUUCGUCUGAAAUCGCUAAAGAGCGAAUAAAAGAGUUAAUAGCCGAAAACAUUUUGAAGACUUAAAAAUUUAAAAUUUAAAAUAAAAAUAAAAUCUAAAAAUAUAAAUUCAAACUAAUAAUUUUUUUAAUUUUUAGAAAAUAAAAAUAAAAGUAAAAUAACACUAAUUCCCUUUUCAAAAUAAAGAGUUUUUGGGAUCAUAAGUUUUGAGAGUCUUAACAUGCUUUUCGGUACCUUCACUUUCAUAAAUAGAUCUGGUCAAUUGCCGGUAUUGUUUUCCACUUAAACACGGAGGAUAUUGACAAUUUGGACAUAUUAUGAGUGACAAGUCAUUACUCUUAAAAUCUUAAAUGGACCAUUUAACUAACAGGGACCAAGAUUAUUGUUGUCCACUUAAAUUUAGUAGCAAGAUAUACAGACAACCUAUUAAUUGAUUCAUCUUUAUAUGAACUAGAAUAUGUUUCCUACUUCCUGAUAUACCAUGGUAAUCAAGUGCUUCCAAAGAAUUCCUUAAUUUAGAUGAAUAGACAAUUAUUAGAGGAGAAAAUAGAUAUAGAAGUGCAUAUGUUGUGCACCAGGUCGGAUCUCUUCCAAUCACGCAGAGGGGACAACAUGUGACUAACGCGGAUAGAGGAGUUGAGAGAUAGAAUAAUGCAUAUGCUGUGUUCCAGGUCGUAUUGUUUCAAUCACGCAAAGUGUCACACCCCCAAACCUGAACGGCAGAAACGUUGGGGGGCGGAUGACGUCAUGUCCAAUAUCACAACAAUUGUAUAGUAAAGAAAGUACACACCACAAUAUUACAUUAGUUGAAAAGUUUACAUGAUUGUAUCAAUACAAGUUCAAAAGUUGAUUACACAAAUCAUGAUUCAAAAAUAUGCAAGUAACAUCAUCGCGUUAAGCUUCAAAAGAUUGCUGACAACCUGCCUUAGUGAUUCCCUGAGAACACAAGUUAUUUCAAAGAAAAAGUGUCAACAAUUAAGUUGGUGAGUUCAUAAGUAGUGGUUUGAAUAAAUGUAUGGCAUUCGAAAUUUCGUGUAUGUAAUUUCAGAAAUUUCUAUAUUUUCUUACAAAUUAUGUAGUAAAUCGUUUCACAUGUGUAAUGUAUGUUUCGAAAUAGGAAAAUCCCUUUUUUCUAAAUGUAUAAAUGCAGUCUUUAAAUGUUCAAGACCGUAAACUGUAAGCACUAUACCAUGUUCAAAAUGUUGUUGUAUAGUUUUAUUAUAAAAGUAAACCAUAUGAAUUUCGUUUAGGUGCGCAAAAGUAAAUCGAAAUACUAUUAUUCCUGUAAAGACAUGAUACUGCAUUAAUCGUAUAUUCGGUGAGUUUUCAUAACCAUACUAUCAUAUUUGCCUGCAUGCGACGGUCUUCAGGCGUCGAAACGUUAUGACACUUGUCACCCCGCGGACUGUAGCUAAUAGUCAGGGUGCGGGAUCAUUAGUCUCGUAUAGAUCUAUACACACUUGCCACGUUCUCCAGGUAGGAGAUUCUGGUUAUAAGACAGGACUUACUGUAAUACCCCCAUUGGGUAUAGUGAAGAUGUUGUCUCACAAAUUCUCAAUUAUGUUUUGUAUCAUAAGUGUAGUCAUCUUAAUCACAUUUUGCAUCUCGGAAUAUACUUCAUAAUGACAUCCCGAAAUUCCACUACGAAAAGGUAUUGCAUUUCAUACUUCAGAGUUUUCAAAAUUUCACUUCGGAAGUCUUUCAAACCUUGUUCCGGAAUGUUCUGCAAAUCGUUUUCCGGAAGUCUUUACAAUUUUUCACUCCGAAACUCAAAAAUUAUCAUUAUGGAAUUUUUGCUCCGGAUUUUUCAAUUUUUUUUAACUCCGAAAUCACAAACAAUUUUUUUGAUUCCAGAAUUUCAAGCUUCACUCUGGACUGAUCUCAUUCCGGACCAUUUCUUCAAUUGUUCACAAUCCAGAACUCAACUUUUUACCCUCCGGAUUUCAAACUGUCCGGAAUCGAUCAUUUGGAAACCCAAGAGUCAAUAAGGUGAAACGUUUUCUUUGUAACGAUAACCCUUAAGGAUCCUUAUCUUCCUUGGAAUUCGUGCCACGAUCACACGUCUCCAAAAAGCAACCAUUAAAUUGCCGUUUGGGAUUUCCUUUCUAAGCUCUAAAACAUCCCUACCUUUCCUGUCCCAUGUCAACUCAUUACCAAAAACGGUUAUCCAUUAAAGGCAACCGGGUUUGGCUUCGAGUCAUCAUCGUUACCUUUCUUAACCCAACCCGUUUCACUUACAUAUAUAAACCUUUCUAAAACCCUGUUUACCUCUGUACGCGCUUAAACCCUCAAAACAUUUCAAAAUUUCUCAGUGCUCAUCGUGUUCUUGAAGCUCUCUUAACUGCUCAUCAAUGGCUUCCCAAUAUUCAUACCAAAAGUUUGAUUCAACCUUCUCCACACCCAAGAAAUUAAUUGCAAAGAAGAAACCAUCCAAGGGAUCAUCAUCAUCAAUAUCGCCUGAGCCGUUUCUCCGUGAUAUAACCCAAUUUUUCUCACUAAACCCUAUGCAUUACGAUGAAUGCAUUAGAGUCAUGAUUGAGUUUAUGGCACACCACCCCAUCUCAAUACCUCUCACCAAAGUCCUUGAACAACCUCUACGACUUCAUCUCCGUCACACAACAUUAACUAGAAUCAAAAUUGAUAACAAUAUGCUAGAAACAAAAAUCACAGGCGAUAGAAUAGUGCCCGUCCACAAAUCCACAUUACUUAGGGAAAUCGGUGUAAAAGAAAACCCCAAGGGUUUCAAGGUACAAGAACCAACUCUAAAAGAAUUUCAACUGUUUUUGAACCACAUUGGGUACAACCAAGACUACAGGGCAAAGGAUUUCAAGAAGUCAGAUGUCUUCGGAUGAUGGACUGUGUUGAAGCACUUCAUUAUUUGUUGGUUAUCUGACAAGUACGGUGGAACAGAUACCCUCAACAUAGAUUGGUUGUACGCUAUAUAAAGCAUCUAUUCCAGACGCGACAAUGUUGUUGACCUUCCGGAGGUGCUAUGGAAGGACUUUUGGAAAUUUGCUACCAAAAGGAAGACCAACAAGAUCUCAAGCCCUAGGUUCUGGGAUUUGAUAAUUCAGGAACUCAACAAGGAAUAUUCCAAACCUAUUCCGAUUGCCAUGAUUCCUCCGGAGGUAUAUGUUUCUUUUAAAUCUGUUAAAUCUUAUAGAAUUUCGGACCAAUCUUCAUUUGGUCCUGUCCGAAGGUUGCCUCAAGAUAUGUUGGACCUUAUCCCUUCUGGAUCAAUCCAUUUGCAAAACCAUUUGGAGACUUCGACUGUGUACAUCCCAACACAGUCUUCCCAAGUCCCCUUUGAGCCCACUCUGGAAGUGGACAAGCCAACAUCAUCCGGUACUAAGAAAACCAAAAAGUCUGCCAAAAGGAAGAUUUAUCCUUCGAAGCCAAAGCCUAAAAAGAAAACCAAAGUCAGUUCUUCCUCUCAACAGGAAGGAACACAUGGCAUUCAGGAUGAUUCUGGCCUUCCGCACACCCCUCCCAUCUACUCAUCCGAGGUACUCCUCGUGUUUCAAAAACACAUGCACACACAAACGAGGAGUCUGCACAUAAUCCAUCCUCACCUUUUAUAAAAGGUGAUGUUGGUGUUGAACAAAGUUCCUUGACCCUGGAACACACCAACGUUUCAAAUUUGAAAUCCCACUUUUUUCAUCACGCACACACUUCGGUACCCCUGUUCUGGACCCCAAGAAUUUCGAGGUUGGAGUUGUCCUUCCAACCUCAUGUGCCCCAACUGGUCUAAUACUCGGUAAGGGUACAGGACUACCAGGAACUAAUGAUCCUUUAUGGGAAGACUUUGUGAAUAGGGCACACUCCAGGCAUCCGGAACAUUCAAGAUCCUAAGUCGAAGCCACUCUCAUCUCCUUGCGAAACAGGGCCAUUCAAAGCAACCUUCCCUAUGUUGUUCCAUCAGAUGAGCUUGUAGAUCUUGAAUUCACAUCCGGAAAAACUUCAAAGUAUCUUCCUCAUGCUUCCAAUCCCUCAGCCUCAGAUGAUGAAGUUUCCGAAAAGGCGAUGCUUACCACAGAUGAUGCACACGUUGUUGAUGUCAAUGUGCCUUCCUCAGUUCAAGUUCAUCUUAAGCCAUCUUCAUCCAUGCCUGCUUUCCAUUUCGGAUCCUCAUCCUCCACUAAUGAUGAAUAUGAAUCAACACAAAAACUUUAUGAUGAUGAUGCCACCAAAAAACCUGGUCCUUCUGUAACUUCAAUAAAUCCGAAAUCUACGAAACCCAAUCCUCAACCUUCCAGUUAAGACAAUGGAUCCUAACAGGAAAUCAUAUAGAUCCAUUUUCCCUUUUGGAUAUUCAAUCCAAUGUUUCCGAUACAGUGCAGAAGGUUACCACUCUUGGAUACAAUGCAGAAGGUUUCCAUGGCUGAGCUCAACACCAAAAUCAAUGAAAAGGUGCCCGAACUGGACUCCAAGCUCGACACUUAUCUCUAGUACUUAUCAAAUCAGUCCGGACCUUCCGUGGCUGAACGAGAAGAUUAAUUAGAUCCACUAAUCUCCAUCCACCUCAAGCAUUCGAUUGAAGAUGUUUGAAGCAAAGUAUGAUGCUUUAGUUGAGCAUUAUCUCGACACCAUCACCACAAUGCUCAAAGUCCGUGAUGACUUGGUUGCUGCUACCAAUGAUCUUAUCAAGCAUACCCAUGUUUGUCAUGAGAAACAGUGGAAGGCAGAAAAAGGAUAGCUGAAAGUGGGGAAAGUAGGGCUACUCACAUUGAUUUACAACCAAAAAUCCUAUCUUGAAAAUGACAUCUUCGUGAAAUAGAGAAAGCCAAAUUCAGAGCCUGGAGAAGGAAAUCAAUAAAAAAGGAUGAAAUAAAUUUGAUCAUCCAACAAUUCGUCAUCAAAUUUAUUCGCUCCUAUUGGAACAUUAUUAACGUUCCGAAUCGCAAGUUUGAUGAGAUGCUUGCUAUCCUUGGACAUCUAUUCAAUCAUCUCUCUUCCCAAGCGCCCACUUCUGAAGCGUAUAAUGUUCUUACUUGUCAACUUAACACCAGUAUUCAAAAGGUGUUUACCAAAUUCUAUGAUCUUAAGGACUCUUUCAUGCUUGCACUGGUUCACAAGGAGACUGAUGCAAGAAGGGGAGAAGGUCCAAGUCAACCGUGGAAGCCUGCCUCGGUCUUUCAACUCAGAGAUGAAGAUCUUGUUUCUGAUGAUGAAGUCCAAGUUCUCUCCGGACUUUCAAGGAAACAAUGAGGAUGCUGAUGAUGAUGAAGACAGUGAUGAAUAACUUUAUGUCACUAAGGGAUUUCUUGUUAUUGAAGCUCCACGGAAGCUUUUUCCUAAGCAAAUGACGGAGGAAGAGCAAAGAAUUAGGUAUGCAAUUUCUUAGCCACCUUCUUUGCCGGAUGUUCACAAUGGCGAAGGCCAAAUCCUUCCUCACUGCUCAAGCCUUCCGAGCCACUCUGUCAAUGCGACCACCAAUUCUGAAGCCAAAUAUCACUCCAAUAGAUGAAGGUUCUCCUUUCCGGACCCUAGACGACAUUCCAGAAGAACAUCUUCCAUCCUUCCCUCCCAAGGUCACUGUGGAUGAGAACAGGUUGCAUGUGAUCUCUGUCCUAAAAAAAGCAAAGACAAAGGCAAGAAGCCUAUCACGGAAUCCAAACCUCCACCAAAGCAAAAACUUGGAUGGUCUCAGGAGGAAAUAAACAAGGCUUUAGAGGACAGCAUCCGGAUCCAAGCGCUCAAAGACAAUCCUGAUCCGAUGCGUGACAUUUCUCCUCUCUACUGUGAAGGCAUUCUUAAGUAUGUCAACUUAGUACCAUUUAUGUAUUACUACAUUCCUUCUGAUGAUUUUCAACCGCUUGAUCUUCCUCUCUCUCCCUUCAGCAGAUUUUUACAUCUAGUUUGCUCCUCUCCAUCCCAAUAACAAUCCGGAGGUCACCAUCCAGGCAGAGCGAGAAAAGCUAAAAACCUUCUAUGCCAAGAAUUCACUUCCCCUAAACGAAGUAUGGACAAGGAAGAAGAUUACCAAGAUUUUUGGGUACAGAAGGAAGUUCCUCACCAAGUUUGAACUUAACUGUCCACUCUUCCGAUACCAUGUUGUUAGAAACAAACCAUCUUAUCAAACCAUCACUGAUGCUGAAUUCUCAGAAAUGAAUCUAAACGAUAUUCUCACUCUAGCUGCUCACUUUCGAGGACUCCAAAAUGAUGAUAUCAACAUGGGUGCGUACAAAUAUGCUCUGAGCUUCCUCAAGGAUUAUGUCGCAAAAUUUGGUCGACUUGACUAUGAGUUGGCUCAUCUAUUCGAAGGCCCUAUUGAUGAUCCGGAAGCUAAAGUGCUAGCUGAAGGCCCUAUUGUAGAAGACCAAGAAGACAAACAAUAAGGACUUAUUCCAAGUCCUUGACAAACACCUUGUUCCUACAAAAGCACUCAAAAAGUUCAUCAGCCGUGCGACCAAAUCUGAAGCUUCGAAGCAUGUAAAAGCAAAGAUUGUGAGUCAUCUAUCCUGGUACAUUGAAGUCCGAGAAUAGUUGUUCAAAGCCUACACUUUCAUCAAGGAAGAAGCUAUCUAAGCUAACUUAAUUGCUAAGUUCACUGAUGAGUUGAAAACUCUUAGAUCGAUUAGAUCUUCAACAUGUUAAUCAAUGAAACAAACAAAAAAACAUAGAGACCACAAGAUAGAAUCAAAGUAUUGCUUAAUGAUUUAAGAAUAGUCACGCCUCAGCAGUGCUCGGUGAAGAACUUCCACUAUAGAAGCGAGCUAGGGUUUCUAGUACAAUACUUAGAAUAAUUAAUGAAAGUGAUGCAUGCAUGCACCUUAAAUACUAAACCCUAAUAAAAUAAAGAUGGUUGGACAGGCCUAAAUCGGUAACAAAACUAGGCUAACGAGCGAGCCCAAGAUGCAACACAUCGAGUCCUGACAAUCUCCCCCUUUGCGUUAAUUUGGGGCAAGACUUCACUUUGGUUGAUUCGCUGCAGUAUGCUUCACCACUUUGAACAGCUUGGGAAUGAUGACGAGCAGGACUUGAAGAAAAUUGAUAUACCAUCUAAUCAUGUCAGUGAAAUACUUCUUGUCACCAUCACUAUUUUGCUUGCACUUGUGAAUAAUAUCCAGAACGUGUUCCAAGCAAGCCGUGGUGAAAAGAUGUUUGUCGAUAAGAGAGAAUAAACACUUUUACCUCCUCCUCUGGUGAACAUCACAAAGUUGAGCUUCGGGUCAAUCUUCUCCGUUGUCAAUCUGUUGAUGUCGCUAGAUGAACCAAUGGGAGCCAUCGUUGGCUACUUUUUAAGGACCGAAGCAAUUUCCUGAUCCAACUUUGCCACUUCCAGAAUGUAGCACACCAGCACCCUCUUGAUGUGAUCGAUGAUCCAGUCAUGUUCAACUGGAUUGGAGAUCAAAAACUUGCAUAGCAAAAUCCAGUCGUGGGGAUUGAGAUUUGGUAGAUCGGCCAGAGAAAUUAUAUGCUCAGAGUUAGCUGAACCUCUGGUCACUUUGAAUUUGACAUUGAUAAAUUUCCCUGCUACAGUCGGUUUUAGAACCUUGAUAGUUGUUAUCUUUUGAGUGCUCCAGGUAAAAUAUUGAGUCUGAGCAAACUCAAGAUAGUAGUCUAUCAGAUCCCUAUCUACUUUUGGGUCAGGAUGGGGAACUUCAAUAAUAGGAAGAAAGCAGUGAAAGACAAAUGCCAUUCGGGUUAUAGGCAUGUCAAACUGAGAAUCCCUAGAGUUCACAAACUCUAAUGACAGUACCUGCUCAAGCCAAUGUGUGCUUGGACAUUCAAUAGCUUCCUUAAUCAGCUUCUCCAACGACCAAAGAGGAAAAAGCCUUUUCCUGCUUUCCAAAAGAUCUUGAGCUUCUUUUAUUUUUCUGUCCUUCUCUUCGGCUUCCCUAGCAGCCUUAGCAUUGAGAUCAUGAUCCCUAAACCUUUGCUUUCUCUUCAGAGCAUCAGCAAUGGUUUCUUCUUCUUCGUUAAUUUUUUCCAUAACACCUUUUCCCUUGUCCUUCUCACUAGGACCCGAAGCUUCAUUACCCUUCGAUUGUUCAGUGGUGACUUUCAGUGGAACAUAUUUGCUUGUAGGAGGAGGCUGAGUAGUACUUAUAAUUCCUUCUCCCCCUUGUUUCGGAGGGACAACAGUCUCCUCAACACCCUCUCUGCGACUUAACAAUUCGAUUGUUGGGCAAAGCUUUUCUACAAGAGAACGUCUGACAGAAAAAGUAAGAAUGGAGUCACGAGUCUCCACACUGUUGGAGAGAAAGGCAUGAACAUCUAAGGAACAACUCUUGAUGACAGUCCUCUCAGAGCAAAGGUUGUCAGUCUCCUUGUUCGCAUGAUUAAGUUGUGCGGACUUUGUCUUUAGUUGAGUUGUUUUGAGAGCCAGUUCAUCCAUGAUCCUGCUUUCCAUGGCUAAUUCUUCUUGAAGCUUCUAGAGAUGCUCAGUGAUAGAGGUUCGCAAUACAACGUUAUCUGUUUGGAUAGUCUGACACAUGGUAGAAAAGUGCUUCUUUUCUGUCUCAAGAGACACAACAAGCUUUUCCAUUUUGGAGUUCACUUUGUUUGCAUUCAACUCCGCUGCACCCUGUAAUGACUCUAGAAGAAUGUUAGCAUCAAGAAUUAGUUUUUCGACUCUUGUGGUCACUUCCUUGUAGGUCUGGGUGGAGGCACCUAUAGUAGAGUUUGCCUUAGAGAUUGAAGUCUCAUGCUCUUUUAUAAAUGUGGCCAUCAUAGCCUUCACUGUAGAUUCUUAGAGUGAGUUUUGAGAAGAGGAGGAAGAUGUCACAAGCUUAUCAAGCUUCUCGUGCAAAUCCUUGAGGUGCCUCUUGGUUACGGGAGCAUCUUCAUCAUCAUUGCUCAGCACCCUGUAAGGACCGUAGUAGAAGGUAUCAAAAUCGACACCUUCACCACCAAGAAUGGUAUCGGUUUCUGUCGAUUGGGUAGGGGAUAGAGGUUUGGUAAAAACAGGGAUUUUAGGUGCUAAAGUACGAACCCAUGUAUCAGAUACGUUGGUCUGAACUCCAGUAGCGGUUGUGGUUGUAGCUUCAGAAAAUAUAGGAGCAGGAAUGGGAAUGGUGGAGGAAGGUUGAGAUGUGAUAAUAGGGGAAAUGGGAGGAAUGGAAAUAGGUGGAAGAGAAUGUGCUUGUGAGCGAAUGGAUACCUCUGGUGUACGCGAACGAGGUGGUGUAUCUCCACGAACUGAACCCUCAUCAUCUGUGCUAUCACUCUCUGAUUCGCUUUGAAUGAUGGGUGGAUGACCAGAAGGAACGUACUCUGAGUCUGAAUCACCUGAUGAUGCAAGAAUAAGCUUCCUAACUGGUCUCUUGACCUUCUUCUGCUUAGGCUGGGAAGGAGCUUCCUUUUCAGAUUUUUGCUUCUUUGGAGUAUUCACCUUUGAAACUUUAUCACCUUUUUCCCCCUUUUUCGCAUCUUGCCUUUUGCCCCUCUUAGCAGAUUUGUCUGCUUCUUCAAUAGACCUAAGCAUUUCAGGAGUGAGUUCCCUUAGACCAGAUGAAGUGAUCUUCUUGUACCCCUGAAUGAUCUUGCUUUCAGCAGAUACACAAGCGUACAUUGACUCAGGAAUAGAGCCAAUGAUGAGAUACUUUGAGGGAUCAGUGACUAUUAUCUUCGUGGUGUGAAAAGUAGCGAUGGAGGAGAGCAAGGAAUCUGCCAUGAUAGGAACAUGAAAGCACUCCAUUUUCCAUUGAGUGACAAUGGUCCAUAACCGAGCACAUGAAAGUUCUGUGUGGCAAGCUUUGUACCAGUUGCUAGAACCAGUUGAAGCCAUAAAACCAAGCCAUAAUCAAGGUUGAUACCAUGGUACAACCCAUAAAGCAGAGUCAUGAAAGACUUGCUAGCACCAUCUGAGCCUGCACUUCGUUCUGAAAGUCCUUUGAAAAGAAGGGUGAAUGAACAUUCCAUUGAGGAGGAAGGCACAAUUUCUUGACCUUAGUCAUAGUGGUUAGGGUUUCAGUAUACCCCAUGUUGUACAACAUCGAUAAGAGCUGAGCUGUGGAGAUAGAAUCAGGAUUCACCAUGGAUGCAACAUAAGAAAGCCCUAGUAGCGAGCAUAAUCGGUUCUUUAAAAUUGAAUCCUUCUGGUUGAGAAUAUCAAAGUACAUCUUUUUUGCACCUUUGUCGUAAGUAGCAGUGGAGUAUAUUGUUGAGAGGCAUGCCAUGGGUACGAAUUCCACCGUUAAUAGAGCGUUGACGAGUGGGGAAUAUUUGAGACAUUCCACCACUUGAUACAUGUAAGUAUCAUAGAGGAACGGUGUAAGAUCGAUCAGCAAGUUCUGAUUAGGCUUCAUUGAGAGAAGAGUGGAGCGGCCAGAGGUUUCUUAAGUGGAAGAAGAGUCUGCCAUUGUUGAAGCUUGAGGAAGAGGAAGAUGAACAGUGAAUGCUAAAUCGCCGGAAAUCGUCUUAUUUUGCUUACGAGAGAUGAAGAGUGGUAAAUAAUAUGGUCACAAUAAUCAAAUCUCUUAUAUAUGAUUCUGUGGAGAGAGAAAAAUCUGGAGCAAUGAUUCUGCCUUUAUGGGAAACGACGCCUAAAAAGGCGUGAUUUGACAAUAAGCAACCCCAAUAAAGUAGGUGAUGAUACAUGACUCGGUAACGGUUCAAAUUCACGAGCUUUUCAAUACUUAUCCUCUUUUUCAAAUUCAAUUGAACUUCCUGAUGACCCACCCCUUUAUUUGAAAAUAAUUCAUUACAUCAUUAGGAACCGAAGCUACAUAUUUAGUAAUAGCUUGUGAGUAACCAAACUAGACUUUUGGAAAAUCCAAGAUUUUCGUUUAAGAUAGUGUGAAAAAUAAAGAAAUAAAUCAAACUAUUUGUGGGAUUUUGUGAUGUCAUUUAAGAUGUAAAGCAAUGGAUCCUAGGAACGAAUCGCUUCCUUCAAAGUCUAAAGAGACUUCAAAGUGCUUUUAUGGAUUCCCAUUUACGAUCAAGUACUUGUUAAGAAGCAUUGAAAGGUAUCUUUUAUAUAUAACGCUAUUAAGGGUGGCUUUCACUUCAAUUCAGGUUUCGGUACUUGACAUAAGACCAAAAAUAGAACGAAGUACUUGUGAGACCGAUGUUGCCUGUUAAACAAGUAGGUGUUGAUCAUAUUCAGUGACUUGUUGUGUAACAACCCGAAGUUGUUCAUCGCCAAAAACCCAUUCUACCCGUAUAACUCGUCGUAGAUCGAAAUGUCCCGAUAUCGUUUUUGGGUUUAGUUAACUAAAAUUAUAUGUUUAUUAUCAUUCAAUGAGGGUCCAAAUCAUUUACAAACUCAUGAAAUUAGCUCAAAACAUUUAUUUCAUAAGUUUUAGAAACGUCCUCGCCGGGUGACGGAAACUUAAUCGGGUGCGACCUAAAGCCUCGUUUAAGGCCGGUAUCGGGUAGAAUUCCACCGUGUCCAAGUUUUGGGAACUAUAUAAACAAGUUAAACCUUUCAUUUGAAGCUUUUUCCUUCUCUCUCUACUCUCUCUCUAACCUCUCUCCUAAAAUCCAAGUUUAAGGGUCCAAAACUCAAUUUUAAGGCCUCAAAUCCCUAAGGUACCUUCCUAGCCUUAAUCUAUAGCCUAUUUGGCUUCCAAAUUCGAGAUUUACACAUGAAAUGGGACACAAUAUAUGAGUUUACGGCCCAAAAAGCUACCUAGGCCGUAAACACCAAUUUGAAGGGUUUUAAGCCCUUAAACUCCUUCCUAAACUCAACUGGACUCUAGAUAUGGCUAAAGGACUUCAUGAUAUGGACUUAUAACAUUUAAAACAUGAAUUUUGAAGGCUUUGAAGAAGUUUACGGCCAAGGCACAAGCUUGGGCCGUAAACUCAUAUUUAAGGGGUUUUCUUGACCUUAAACCCUUCCAAAUCACAAAUAAGGCUUAGAUAUGAAUUAUAGGAUAUUGGUUUUAGCAUUUGAACACUUCAAACAUGACUUUUGGGGGACUUAUGUGAGUUUACGGCCAAGGCAUGUGCUUGGGCCGUAAACUCCUUAAAACAUGGCAUAAAUUCAAUUUUAAGGUGUUAGAAAGCCAUCCAACACCACCAAAAGCCUUGGAAUAAAUCAUAGGACCAACCAAAAAUAGUUUAAGGACCUUAAACACAUUAUUUGAGGGAUUUCUAUGAGUUUACGGCCAAGACUUGUGCUUGGGCCGUAAAGUCCUUGAUUCAUGGUGUUAGAAUGCCAACUAAACACCCCUAAAGCCCUUAGAUGAAUUUUAGAAGCCCUUCCAUGCAAGUUUUUAGCCUUAAAACAUCUUGUAUCACCCUAUAGAAGAGUUUAAGGCCAUGAGGGGGUCUCAUAGGCCGUAAACUCCAAAAAUCCCUCAUAAGUCACAUAAAAACUCAUAUAAGGCCUUAGGAUAAAUUUAUCAAUCACAUGUGAUUUGUUCUAGCUCCAUUUAACACAAUUUUCAUGAGAAAAUAGGAGUUUACGGCCAUGAAGGCAUGCUAGGCCAUAAAAUCCCAUAAGUGGGUCUAUUUGAUGUUUGAAAAUCAUUCCAAGUCCUUAAACCAAGCCUAGAAAUUAUCCCCUAAGUGUUUGAAGUCAUUUUGCACCAUAAACCACCCCACCAUGAGUUUACGGCCGUAAACUCAUGGGGAAUGGGUGUUUUAGACCAAAAACUCUUAUAUUAGUUUACUCAUGGGGAGUAAACUCAAGUCCCAAGUCCCUAGUGUCAUUUCACGUCCUUAAACGCCACCCGGGUCCCUCCAAACACUUGUAUCGGAGUGUUUUCGCGACUUGAAGCAAGUGUCCCUAUCAUAUAAAUAAACUAAGUCCUAAUUAGAUACAAAUGUGUAUCUUUACAUUAUAAUUAGGAACCUCGUGUAUUUACAAGCCCCGGAUCAACUCUUAGCGUCCAAAUCGUCACAUUUCUCGUUCGGUGAGUUCAUACCCUUACGCCUUUUUCCGUGUUUUUCAAUGUUUUCAGGGGGGGAAUACAAGCAAACUAUAACUGCUUUCGAAUUAUAAAAUUGAUGUAUUUCAAAUAAUAUCUGGCAAACUUAUAAACUCUUUUACUCCUUAUGUAUUAUGUUACGCAUAAGGAAUGAUUUAUCAAUUACAACUAAAUGGAUUUUAGUUAAGAAAAUAGUCAAACUAAUCAAAUUAUUAUGGGAAUAAUUUAGGGUUCAAUAUUUCUCUUUAUAUCAUGUACUGAUAUCUGUAUAAAGUUAUUUCAUAAACUAUGCCUGAUUCAGUUUAUCUCCGUAUUAUUUGAAUGUAUUGCCAGAUAGCUUCAUUGUAUGUAUCUAUUUUCACUGUAUCAUGUCUUAAAAUCUUUGUAUGUUUGAUAUCGUAUGAGAAUCCUAUGAAUAGUUUAAUACUAGUUUGUGAGAUAGUCAUUACCCUUUAUGGAUGAUCAGUAAAUCCUCCCCGGAAGUGUAACCAGAUUCUCCUGGAGGGAGAGCGAGGAAUUUGUGAAUAGAUCUAUUCGGGACUGACAAUCCCACACCUUAACUGCUAGCUACAGUUAGGCGGGCACGCCUGGGGUGACAAAUUCUGUAUAUCAUUCGACGUCUGACUAACGUCAAGGAGGUCUCGUUGUCAUAUCAGCAUGGUUACCCGACUCACAAUACGUAUUAAUAUAAACUUAUUCACAGCUAGGAUNGAAUCUAUAUCUCGUUCAGGAUGAUAAUCCCAUUGUCUUGUGUCUAUAUCUCGUUCGGGAUGGUAAUCCCAUGGUUUUAAAUCUAUAUCUUUUACAGGAUAGUAAUCCCAUGACUUUAUCCAAUUAUCUUAUAUCAAAUUCGGGAUAAUGAUCCCAUGGUUAUAUCAAACAAUCUUAUAUUUGAUUCGGGAUAGUAUUCCCAUGGUUUUCAAUCUAUAUUUUCUAGUAUAUCAAACUAUCUAGUAACUGGUUCGGGAUGUUAGUCCCAAGAUUUUCAAAAUACUCUCUAUCUAUAGUUUUGUGUAUUAAACUACACUCUGUGUUAUUUAAUCAAUCUUGCAUUUAGGAAAAUAUGGGAUUUUCCUGGGGUUAACUUAUAACGUGUAACAGAAUUGUAACGAAAGACAACUAAACUAACUUUACAUAAGAAAAUAUGGGAUUUUCUUGGAUAACAAACCUUUUCGGAAAACUAAAGGAAACCGAUACAUUUUCACAAAACAAAACCGCUUAUGAACUCACCAGCUUUAUGCUGAUUUUCAAACUGCUUGUAUUCUCAGGUCCAAGUUAGACAGGUACCCAGCGAUAUCUUUUGGUGAAGACGGAGUGCUCCAAGGACUCGUCUCGUUUUGUUCAUAUGAUAUAUGUAUAACUUUUGUACAUUUUACUUUUGAACCAAAUGUAAACUUUCAGAUAUAUGUAAUGUAAUGGUUGUUUACUGUGAUUACUAUGUACAUUGGAUUUGAUACACAACAUGGAGUCAACCCCGGAAAUGUUUCCGCCUGUGGUUUUCGGGGUGUGACAUGUUGACAAAAGUUAAUUAGAAAUCUCAACAGAAAUUAAAAACUAGAUCCUAUGGGAAGAAAAGUCUUGGUGAUAGACAUUUUCAUAAGAAUCUCUCAUAUAUAAAAGAAGAUUUCAAGGUACUUCCACAAAAGUGGUUUCGUUAAUACAAAGGUGAAAGCUAAAACAUAUAAUUGUUCACCGUCAAUGCAUUAUAGGUAUUGAAUUUUGGAUUUCACUUAGCAUGUAGUGACACGAAACUAAGAUCAUUAACAUAGAAGUUGUGUAACCAUAAACCUCAGUGGUUAUGCUGAGAGUCUCAAGGGUUACAGUUGUGAAACGAUUUAUUAAUGGAGAAUAAGUUUGAGGUGGCUUAAGAACAAAUGUAUCUCUACUAUAAAGUUGUACCAAGCAGAAAAACUCUUAACUCAAUUCGAAGAAGAGUAAGGUAGCUUAUGAUUAGAGUGAAUUUGAUAGCCUAAUUGGGAAGACAUGAUUAGUAUUUAUCAAGUCAUUAAGGCUUCACUCAAAAUCUUUAGAGGCUUUGGUUAACAUACAACAACAUGCUUCUAGGGAUACUUAGCUAAUACAAAAAUAAAGAAUUAUACCUGCCCCAACUCCAUCAAUGAGAACCGUCCUUAUACACGAAUUAGAUUAAAACUGAAGUAAAUUUAAAUUAAAUGAAAGAAAAUAUUUUUGAAUUAUGAUUUGAAUUUUAUGAAAAGAAAUAAAAACAUAAUGAAAAAUAUUUUUGAAUUUUAUAAGAUUUUCUAGAAAAGAACUAAAAACAUAAAGAAAAAUAUUUUUGGAUUUUAUGAAAAUAAAAGGAAAAACAUAAAAUAAUUUAUGAGAAAAGAGUGUGUACAUACUAUACAACCGAAAUCAUCACUUGGAGAUAGGAAAUGAACCGAGCCCGGUAGGACCAAACCUGAAAUAGACCGAGCAUUCGGUUCAUUUCGGUUCCCGGAAGGAGCGAACCCGAAAUGGACUGAGCGUUCGCUCUAUUUCGCUUCCAACUUUUAUAGAGGAGAAAGUGAUUUCGGUACCGAUUUAGCUUCCAUCAUUCCUAAGCCUUGUACGAUUUUAUUAAAACUCACUUCAGUCAAAGCCUUAGUAAAGAUGUCAGGCAACUGAUCAGUGGUUUUUGUGAAAUGAAGUUCUACAUUACCAUCUUCCACAUAAUCUUUGAUAAAGUGAUACCUCAAUGCUAUGUGUUUGGUCUUUGAGUGUUGCACUGGUUUAUGAUAAAUCCUAAUUGCACUCUCAGAGUCACAAUAUAGUGGGAUUUUCUUCACGUUCAGGCCGUAGUCUCAAAGUUGACUUUGUAUCCAAAUGACCUCAGAUGUUCAUGAUGCUACGGCUAUAUAUUCUACUUUAGCAGUGGAGAGAGAGACAUAGGUUUGUUUCUUUGACUGCCAGCUAACCAGUUUGCCAUCCAAAAUUGGCAUCCUGCAGUGGUACUUUUUCGGUCCAGUCCACAUCCUCCGAGAUCAGCAUCAGAAAAUGCUUGGACAAAGAACCCUGAAUUUGCUGGGUACCAUAGACCGAGAGAGGAGGUUUGCUUCAGGUAUCGAAAGAUAUUUUUCACAGCCAGUAGGUGAGGUUUGCGUAGAUUAGCUUGAAACCUAGCACAAUAGCAUACAGAGAACAUUAUGUUUGGUCGACUUGUUGUUAGAUAUAUUAGAGACCCUAUCAUCUGACGAUAGAGGGUCAUGCCAGCAGCCUAUUUUUCCAAAGAAGGUUUCAACUUCGUGCCAAACGCCAUAGGAACCAUUACUUUUUAAUCUCCCAUCAUUCCAAACUUGGCAAGCAAGGUCAUCGUGUAGGCCUCUUGAUUAAUGAAAAUGCCUUCGAGUCCCUGUCUAAUAUUCAAGCCAAGGAAAAAGUUAACAGGACCCAUUGAGCUCAUUUCAAAUUUAGUUUCCAUCAACUUCCUAUAUUCAGUUGUUAAGCCAGGAUUUGUAGAACCGAAGAUAAUAUCAUCAAUGUAAAUUUGAAUGAUCAUAAGGUGGUCACCCUCUUUCUUACGAAAGAAGGUUGGGUCAACCGAACCUUGUUUAAACUUUGACAUUUUGAGAAAUCUAGUUAUAGUUUCAUACCAUGCCCUUGGUGCUUGCUUGAGACCAUAGACUGCCUUGUCCAGAAUGUAGCAGUGAUCUGGAUACUUCUCGUUCAUGAAACCCGAUGGUUUCUCUACAUACACCGUUUCUUCCAGUUCUCCAUUUAAUAAAGCACACUUCACAUCCAUUUGGAAUAAUUCAAAAUUCUUGUGUGCAGCAUAGGCAAGAAAAAUACAAAUUGAUUCUAGCCUUGCUACUGGAGCGAAUGUCUCCUCGUAAUCUAUGCCUUCUUCUUGACAGUAACCUUUCACAAGUAAUCUUGCCUUGUUGCGAAUCACAUUUCCUUCCUUAUCUAUGUUGUUUCUCAAAACCCAUCUUAGUCAAACCAUAGAAGCAUCCUUUGGUGGUGGAAUAAGUAUUCACACUUUAUUUCGCUCGAACUCAUUUAGUUCGUCCUGCAUCACCUAUACCCAAUCAGAAUGAUUGAGUGCAGUGUUGAUCGUCUUCGGUUCAACCUUGGAGACGAAGAAACUAAACAUGCAAAAUUCCACUUUUAGAGAAUAGUGUAGUUUGUUUCGCUUUCAGUUGUGAUUGUGUGAGUACUCUUUCUGUUGAAUCACCAAUAAUUUGUGUUUGUGGAUGAUCUUGGGUCCAUUUGGUGAGAGGAGGGUAAUUAGGAUCAUGUGAGGGAUCCCGUUCAGCAUUCACUUCUUCUUUGAAUUCUGACUGAGUUUCAUCAUCGUUUGUAUCUGCAUUCUCCCCCUCGAAUGAAUUCUGACUGAGUUUCAAAAUUAUUGUGUGCAGCAUAGGCGAGAAAAAUACAAAUUGGUUCUAUCCUUGCUACUGGAGCGAAUGUCUCCUCGUAAUCUAUGCUUUCUUCUUGACAGUAACUUUUCACAAGUUAUCUUGCCUUGUUGCGAAUCACAUUUCCUUCCUUAUCUAUGUUGUUUCUCAAAACCCACGUUAGUCAAACCACAGAAGCAUCCUUUUGUGGUGGAAUAAGUCUUCACACUUUAUUUCGCUCGAACUCAUUUAGUUCGUCCUGCAUCUCCUAUACCCAAUUAGAAUGAUCGAGUGCAGUGUUGAUCGUCUUCGGUUCAACCUUGGAGACGAAGAAAUUAAACAUGCAAAAUUCCACUUUUAGAGAAUAGUGCAGUUUGUUUCGCGUUCAGUUGUGAUUGUGUGAGUACUCUUUUUAUUGAAUCACCAAUAAUUUGUGUUUGUGGAUGAUCUUUGGUCCAUUUGGUAAGAGGAGGGUAAUUAGGAUCAUAUGAGGGAUCCCGUUCAACAUUCACUUCUUCUUUGAAUUCUGAGUGAGUUUCAUCAUCGUUUGUAUGUGCAUUCUCCCCCUCGAAUGAAUCUUGGUUAUUUCGAGAAGACGAACCCUCCUCCUGAACAUAAGAACUAUCUUUUGGAGGUUCGCUUGAGUCAGGCUGUUCAGUUGUUGUCAGUUGUUCCUCUCUCAUUUUCUUUGCAGCAUCAUCAAUAAUCUUCUUCAAGUCGCCCACCUUGUUGUCUUUAGUUUUGGAUUCAGAUUGAAUAGCCUUUUCUGGUUCAUCAAACAGUAACAUGUAUUGCUCAAAGAGAUUUAUACCAUAGCUUGACCACAUUUUGGAAAUAUUUCGUCCAUAGAACCUUCAGUUACCUUCAGUUUCUUGACAUAGUUAUCAUCCAAGGUGACAUAAUAGGUCUCUUCAAUUUUCUUUGAAUAUUUGUUCAGAACCCUAUAUGCUUUGGAGUUUAAGGAAUAACCCAGGAAAAUCCCUUCGUCUUCUUUGACAUCAAACUUGUUUUGGUUCUCCUUUGAAUUGAAGAUAAAGCAUCUUGAACCGAACACAUGGACACACUUUACAUUAGGCUUUCGGUUGUUCAAGAUCUCAUAAGGAGUGAUAGAGAAUCGUUUAUUGAGAUACGAUCUGUUCUGCGUGUAGCAAGCAGCAGCAAUGUCAUCAGCCCAGAAAUAUAGAGGUAGAGAAGCGAAGCGAAGCAUGGUUUGGGCAGCUUCACACAAAGAUCGAUUUCGCCUUUCGACAAUUCCAUUUUGUUGUGGAGUAUAUGGAGCCAAGAAGUGGUGAGUUGUCCCCUUCUCUGCAAGAAAAUCUUCAAAGCUUUUGUUCUUAAACUCCAAUAUGUUGUCGCUUCUGAUGUUUCGAACUACCUUUCGCAGUUGAACUUCUACCUGCUUGAGAAAGAGUCUAAGCUUGGGAGUGGCCUCUGAUUUCUGACUCAAAAAGAAUACCUAUGUAAACCGAGAGAAGUCAUCGACUAUUACAAGUAUAUACCUGUUACCAUCAAUUCUUUCGAUUGAAGAUGGACCGCAUAGAUCAACAUGAAGUAAUUCUAGUGGUUCAAUAAUUUUUGUAUUGACUCGAGAAUGAUGACUUUGUCGACUUUGUUUUCCCAUUUCACACGCAACACACAUGUGUUCUUUAUCAAAAUUCAGAACAGGAAGACCUCGAACAUAAUCCCCCAAUCACUAGCUUGUUGAUGUCUUUGAUACAGAAAUGGGAGAGUCUUCGGUGCCAAAGCCAGCUGUUGUUUGAGUGAGCUUUCGUUAGCAAGCAAACGACUAGUUUUCCUUGUAUGGGAUUGAGAUUCAGAGGGUACAUGUCUCUUUUUCGCUUUGAUUUCAGCAGAAUGUUGUUCGUCUUCUUUUCAAUAAUCUCUGAGUCAUCGUCAUCGAACGAAAUUUUAAUCGGGUACCAACCACCAGUUGAGAAACACUGAUAAGGUUGUGUUGUAGACCUUCAACGUACGCCACUUUUCAUAUCGAGAAAUCACCAUUGGUAAUCAUACCAUAACCUUUGAUUGUGCCAGAAUUAGAAUUACCAUACUUGACACUUCCACAAUCUUGAAGGGACCGUAAAUCCUUCAGCUCUUCCUUCCUUCCUGUCAUGUGAUGCGAGUAGCCACUGUCUAUGUACCAUUCAUCGUCGAACUGCUCGUCACGCAUAACCUACAAAAAUUAAGAAGAUUUAGGAACCCAAAGUUUCUUGGGUCCUUGUGAGCCUUUUACAGAACAGGGAAUUGUAAGAGAAACAUCAACUAAAAAGGUUCUUUUUAUUAGUGUUGUUUCAUCUUUACAUUUUAUGGUGAAAACUUUGAUUUUAUUAGAUUUAAGUACUUUAGGUUCAGUUUUUGAAUUUACGUUAGUAGUCUUUCGGUUCUCCACUUUGGGUUCAAAUGUUGUCUUCUUUUCAACUUCUGGAAGGAGCUUUCCUUUUCCCUUUCGAUCAUUCUGUGAGUGAGAGUGAGAGUGAGAAAAAUGAGACUUGGGAGCAGAAUUAAGCUUUUGGUUGUUGCUCUUACAUGGUUGAGAGCCGAAACUACUUUCCCUUCGGUUCCUCUCAUUGGUUGAUCUAGGACCGAAACCAUCCUUUCGGUUUUGUUCAUUUUGAGGACCUAAACUUCCUUUUCGGUUGUCAUCCGUCUGAGGACCGAAACUUCUCUUUUGGUUGCUGUUCCUUUGUGGACCAAAACUUUGUUUUCGGUUGUGUUGAUUCUGGAGACCGAAACUCUUCUUUCAGUUGUUUUCAUUAUGUUAAACGCGAGAAGCUGAGUUUGCUUUUGCUUCUUCCUUUGACUUAAAGGUCUUUUCAUAACGAACGUAAUUAGGGUUUUGAGAAUGCCAAAACUGCUUCAUUUCAGUGAGAUUCUUCUUGUAUCUCAAAUUUCGUUGAUGCUUUCUUUUUAACACCUUUUUUGGAGUUUUGUGGAUGUUGGCCUUUUGCUUGGAUAUUUGAGCAUGAGUUUCGUUGUUUAGCAAAGAGGUUUCGCUUGACACCUUGACCGGUUUUCCUGAAGCAAUUUUAGUACUAUUUCUGCUUGCCACAUUAAAUCGUGUAGGUUGAUUAAGUGGUUCUGCCAUGUACCUACCUUUCACCCUCCAUGAUGUUUUCUGAGAUAGAUCUUCUGUUUCAUCGACGUUAUCAAUCGGUGCUGACCAGAAAAACUCAUCACAACCAUCAGCAUUAUCUUCUUCUACUAAUGCUGUCAGUUUGGCUGUCUGUUGCUGAGUAACUCCUUUAACUGUAUAAACUUGAUUUGGAGUUGUUUGGACCUUUUCAUAUACAACAGCCUUUUCCUCGAGGACUUUAGUCUUGUCUUUUGAUGAACGAGAGAACUCAACAGAGUUUUCAGAAAUAAGAUUUUUAUUGGUUUCGGCUUCGCUCUUAACAAAUUCGGAACAAUCCACCUCAUUUUUUACAAAUAUUUCACACAUAUCAUCAUCCUCAUUGAAUUCAGAAGUGUUUUCAAUAUCAAUUUUAUUUUCUGAACUCAGCAUGGUAUUCAAUGAGUCAAAUUUCUGUACAGUUUCGGUUUUGAUUUCUAGAUUGUCAUUUUCAUCCAACAAAUUUUUGAGCAUGUCCUUAUGGUCUUUUGACCUUAUGAAGGACUCUAUUUUGUCAAGACCAAUUUUGUAAGCAUGAGAGAUAUCAUCAGAAGAAACAACAUUUUCACAGUUAUAUGCAUCGGGAUCGAUUUCCUACUCCUUAAACCUAAGGAAGUGUAAAAUCAUACGAUAUAUCUUCUUUCCUAUAUAACAAUUAAGAUGCAAUUGAGUAAUGUUGAAUAUAAUCGUUUAGCAAUGAAACAAAAAACAUUAUGUUGUUUCAAAAGCUUUAAAUUAUCUCUUUGCAAAUACAUUGUUUCAUCCCUAGACCUAAUCAGCUCCUUCUCCUUUUUCUUUAUCCACAUACGCCUCUCCUCACUCUUCGAUGAUACCCUGCUGAUUGAUCAGUUAGGUUAGAGUUUUUGACGCGAGUUUGAGUUAAACUUCUACUUAUACUAGAAAAAUUAGAUUUUAAUCCCUUUAUUUCUUUUUCAUAGUUUGUGAUGGAGAUUUGUAAAGAAACAAGAAUAGAUUGUACCUUCUUGAUCAACUCAUCGCAUUCAUUGAUCUGCACACUGAUAGGUUUCGUUGCAAAACACCUGUCUUCUCGCUCUUGCACUUCGUCUAGUCCCCCAUCAUUAGUAUAGCCUCUCAUUUGUGACACCCCAGAGGUCACCAUUAGAUACUUUCCUGCAACGUCCUCUUCUUUAACCAACAAAGCCCUGCCAUGAGUGGGCUUCCUCACUUCUUCAUCUUCAUAAUCAGUCUUCCAAAUUUCAACAUCGCCGAAUUCAUUGUCAACAGUAUUUCCCUGCAAAAUUAGAGCAUUCGUAGUGUUAUUUGAUCCAACUUUCUUCUUCUUGAUUUCCUCUAAUAGUCGUACGAGGUUUGCUUCCUCAUCAUCGUCGACAUUAUUCUCUGACAUCUUUCUCAACAUCCAAUCUUUGGCAAAGUGAUUUUUGCCUCCACAGUAGUGACAAUUAAAGCCUGAGUCACCACCUAGUUUUACUUCCUUCUUUGGUUCUUCGGUCUGAGAGACACUCUUUGGUUCCUCCUUCGCUUUCUCUACACUAUAGCUUUCCUGCCAGUUUCGGUUCUUAUUAGCUGGGAACCUUCUUUUGAUGAACUUCUUGGGAUUUGACACCAUCAAAGCAUAAUCUUCAUUUAUUAAAUCAUAUUCAGAGAUAUCUAAAUAUUCUUCUUCUUCAGCAAUAUUCUUUUCUUUGGAGAUUAGGGCCAAGGACCCCAUGCUAGAAACCACAUUUGUGUCUUUAGUCACUACACUCUCAUUUGACUUUAAUAUUCCCACCAGUUUUGCCAGAGAAUAAGCCUUGAAUUGUUCAUGUGCCUUCACAAUAGACACCACAGCCAUCCAUUCGGGUCUAAGUCCAUUCAUGAAUGCGAGCUUCUGUUCAAUGACUUUUCUUUCAAUCCCAUGCUUUAUCAUCUUACUAAGGAGAUGAUUAAAGUGAUCGAAGGCUUGAAUAAGUUUCUCUUCGGGCUUCUACUUGAACUAACCAAAUUCAGAGAGCAAUAAUGUUUGGAUGGAAUGCUCAAUAUUUUCAUCCAUAGAAUACAGUUCCUUCAACUUAUCCCAUAUUUCUUUCUCCGUUGUGAAUUUGCUUACUAACUGGAACGCGUCCGAUUGUAAAGCGAACCUUAUCAUCCUUAAAGCUUUGAUGUUGCACUGAAACUUUUCCUUCUCAUCUUGGGGUAUGUCUUUAACAUCAUUAACGAGUUGAUUAUACUCCUUUUGAGUUUUAACAAUUCUUGAAGUUCUUGAAUGAGCGAAUGGACCUACUAUAAUCGCCUCCCUGAUCAAGUAUCCAUUGUCUUUUGAACCAUUCACGUAGUCUUCAAAGUGAUGCGUCCAAACCUUAUAAUCUUGAGUUUAUAAUAUAGGAAUCCUUAUCAUUGAUCCUAUACUGUUAGAGAUAUUGAUUGGGUUUGUCUGAGAAUCUUCCAAGGACUUGAUGAUGUUUGUUCAAAACCCACUUAAGAUCAGACUUGUAAUAAUGUUAGGGUAAGAUCGACUAUUAAAGAAAUACGUCAAUAGCAAACGACGGCUCUAACAAUAUCAAUCAAAGCGGAAAAACCCUAAGAUCUUCUUCAGUAGAAGAGAUGUGUAUAGAUUACACAGUCUCCUGCUUUGAUAAUAAUUGAUGAGUUGAAAACUCUUAGAUCGAUUAGAUAUUCAACAUGUUAAUCAAUGAAACAAACAUACAAACACAGAGAACACAAGAUAGAAUCAAAGUAUUGCUUAGUGAUUCAAGAAUAGUCAUGCCUCAGCAGAGCCCGAUAAAGAACUUCCACUGUAGAGGCGAGCUAGGGUUUGUAGUACAAUACUUAGAAUACGUAAUGAAAGUUAUAAUUACAAAGGAUGCAUGCAUGCACCUUAAAUACUAAACCCUAAUAAAACAAACAUGGUUGGACAGGCCCAAACUGGUAAAAAAAACUAGGCUAAGGAGCGAGCUCAAGACGCAACACAUCGAGUCCCAACAUUCACUUAAGGGGAGAUUGUUGGAACCUGAAAGUCAACCUCUAGCAAUCUGAAAUCCAUUUUUCAAUUCCAAAGUCAAGCUACUUUCGUAGUGAACUCAGCUCUGGAAUUCUUUUGUGUCCGGAUCUAAUGUCAAGGUGGUGAAGUGGAGAUUAAGAGCGAAGGCAUUCCAGAAUGGGAUUUAUGUCUAGAAUGUUUACUAAUCCGGAAUAUAUGUUUUGUCUCUUUAUAUUAAUUGUAUUUGUCUUUUGUUUGAUUUAACUUUUCAUAGGACUUAGCUUUAAUGGUCAAACACAGGUAUUGAGAGUGGCAGAUAAAACUCUUUUAUCCAGUCCUUUGAUUGUAAUUGGUUAGUACCAUGUUUCAUGUACUCCUAUUUAUAGGAGAUUUCAAUGUUUAAACACAAUGGACUAUUCAAACCUUUUAGCCAUAUUUAAUUCACUUUCUUUACAACAUUCUCUUCGUUCUUCAUUUAUUAACUUUACCUUGAUCUUUCAUGUCAUUCAUCAUUUAUGGCUUGAACAUUUGUUGAAUACUUUAUCUCAGACUUGACUGGUCUAUCCACACUUGACUGGAACAUUUAUUGGCAAGCAAACAUUGAUCUUAAGCAUCCACUCAAGGUUUGAGUUUUCAAACCUUGUCCCUACGCAUCAGAUCAUUCUUGUUCUCACAAAAAUUCAAAUAACUUAAUCUCUUGUUGAUCGGUUAGGACUGUGAUGGCUGUUAAAAGGUCUCCAUGACUUGGUCCCAAUCCGGAUUAGAUGUAGCUACUAACUUCUUCAUCUUUCAUGGGGUGACCGAUAUUAGCCAUAGUGUUAGCCAAUCCAGUCAUUUUUUGAUAAUAUUCGGAAGCACUUAAGUCACUUUUUUGUAUUUAACAUUUGAGUCCGGAUCUGAAUAGAGUUACCUUUAUGUUGGUCUGAAAACAUGGUCUAUAUUCAGAUCCAUAAUUGGUUGGAGGUGUCUACGUAACGCGUGAGUUGAGAUAGAAUGUCUUCGAUCAUGGUGUAACUCCCUAUUUCGAUUCGUUUCUUAAUUCAACGUCAUGUCCCAAGGAUCAAUGAUCAUAAGGCUUCGGGCUUUAAUGAAAGAGGGUUUAUACCUAUUUAGAUGAGGGUAAUAUACGUUAUGUUAUCUAAGAGUUAGGUUUGCGAUUUGGAGCCGAAGGGUAUAAUGGUAAAAGUGAUUCUUCAGGCUUUUCAUGAAUUAAGUAUUUAAGUUCAGAAGGUUUUAAGUCAAAGGAGACUUGAUAGGAACGUAGGGCUUUUCAUUACCUUUUCGAGCAUAUAAAGAAUGCUAAAAAUGGACUUGGGACGCGGAAGUUGUGAUCGUUAGAAGUUAUGAAAAUUUUGGCUAAGAUGACUACAUUGGGCGUACAGUGUAGGAUUUAUGGAUGAGGACAACCUGGAUCGUUGUGUGUACUAGGAGUACGUUGGGUGUACACGAACCAGAGUGAAACCCUAAUUUUGUGUCUUAGACUCUAUUUAAAGUCCAUAACUCAUUUCUGACCCUCCUUACCUUCAUCCUCUACCCUCUUAAGCUUCUCCCUCGAAACCAUAGCCUCAUUUGAAAGAUUAUUGAGCAUUUGAGUGAUAUUGGUGGGGUUUUAGUGCAUUUGGAAUAAGAAGAACCCAUUAGAGAAUUGUUGAUCAUCUUGGAGUUGUAGAUCCAAGCCUUCUUCACCUUGAUCUAUUUUCUAGAGGAAGCAAGCUUCAAACCUGAAGGUUGUUUGACGUAGAUCUAGCCUUUCGUCAUGAUAUGAGUACGUUUUGGUCCUAUGGUUUGGAUAUUGUGAGUAGAAGUUACUCCAACACCUUUGGGCCCCAUUUCUAGUCAUUUACAUAUCAUUAAGUUAUAAAAGUUGAAGCUUGAUGAGUAAAACUCUUCCAUGCAUUAGUUAGUGGCUUUUUUGUGAAGUUAUGAGUUUAGGGCUUUGGUUUAGGCCCCAUUAAGCCAUGAAAUGUCAUAAAGUUAGGAACUUUAUGACUUAAGACAUUCCUACGAAUUUGCUAUCAAGGGAGUACGUUGUACACUAGGCUUCAACACAGAAUACUAGGGACGUACUGGUUGGUACAUUGGGUGUACUCACCAGAUACACUUAUGGGCCAUUUUUGGACUUUGGGUGAUUUCGGUUUUGGACCAUGUAAUGUUGGGUCAGGUAUGGGAAGAGUAAAAUGGUCUUUUACCUAUAGUAUGAUAGAAUAAGAGUGGGACCUUGGAUUUUGGUUUAUUACCCUAAUUAUUGAUUUGGAUUGAUCUUAGAUAUGUUUAGUGUGAGAAGCCAUGGUAGCGUUAGUGAGUGUGUGAUUUGUUGACAUCGGAUUGAGGUGAGUUUGCUCACUAUACUAUAGGAUACUAGGGUUAUAUGUUCUUGUUGUCUUUGUUGCCUUAUUCUAAUAUUUGUUUUUUAUGAUAGUUUUGGUGGUUUUUGGUGGGUUAUGAGCAUAACAUCACUCCUAUGGUGUUCAUGCAACCCUAAUUUCUUUGAUCUAGGUUUUUGUAAGUAAACAUACAACAUUGAAUACCAAAGCAAUAAACCCUAAAUGAAUAGCAUACGAAUCUGAAAAACACAUAUGAUUAGGGUUUAGAUCUUACGUUGAUUUUUAUGUAGCAAUAACAAUCACAAUCCUUCUUGAUCUUGACUUAUGAAAGCCUAGUGCCCUAAGUGUUGCACCUCUAAUGGAGUCACAAACACUUGUAGCUGAUAGGGUUUUGGUGGAAACCCUAAUAUGACUGUUAAGCCUUAAGCAGCCCAUGGAUUCCUUCCUUAGAACCCUUGGACGAAAUCUUAUUGGCUUCCCCAUAAAUUUCGUCCACUCCACUCUAUGGAGUCCAUCAGCCCAACUAGCAACUAAUAGUUAAUUGCAAUAUCAGUCCCCUUUAUUUAAUCAGUCUCUUUUUAUCAUAAAAUUGAUUACUCAUUAUUCAUUGUAUAAUGUUUUGGAUAAUCAACUUAUUACUUGAAUUAUAACAACAUUUGUCCCAUGCUCCAACCAUGCACACUCUGUUUUCCUAUGGUACAUACUUUGUGAAAUAGAUGAAUUGAAAACAUUUCCAAUGAUGCUCAUUUCACAACUCCUAAUCCUUAUCGUUAGUGUAAGAAUACAAGAUUCUCGCAACUACAAGAAUAUGUUAGAUUCUAACAUUUUAUGCAACAAUCCCUUCGUAAUGUCACAACAUCAAAGCUACCAAGACUUUGCCAAUGAUAUUAAAAAUUGCUCUAUUGGAGAUUGCUACAAGGCAAUUCCAUAGAUAUGAGUCUCACAUUCAAAGUACAUUCCUUUGAACAUGCUUCUUGCAUAAAAGUUUCUAAUCUAGACAUAGAUUCUCGAUAUCCAACUCCUAAAAUGGAAACAUUUCGAUAUUUUCCAUAUGACAACUCGUUAUUAAUAGAAUCAUAUAUAAUCAUAAUAAUGUCAUUAUGGUCCAUUCGUUACUAUACUUCCAACUACCCACAAGUGACCAAUCCUUAGCGAACCUUAAAUUCUCCUUGACAGUUGUUUAAUUAAUUUAGUUAAAUCUGGUUCUAAUCCUUUUUCCCUCUUAAUGCCCUAGGCAUUUUGAAAAUUUAGAACGUUCGAAUAUUACAUCAUAUGCAAUUGAUCUUAUACCCAAAGCGUAUGGGACACGAUUCAUAUUGAAAAACGUGAUACUUUACUAGUUUCUUGAUAUAAUACUGCCAUAUAUUUAAUGACCCUAUGUUAAACCUUUUCAACAUAACAUUCAUACAUUUCUUUUGACUAAAUUCAAUUAAAAUUUCUCGAUCUAAUCUUUUAGAUUUGAAAUGAAGUAUAAUAUUCACUCCCUUAAUUAUAGCAAAACAACUUUUCAACCCCUGCAACUUUGCAAAGUGAAACUUUUGUUUUCUAUAAUUAAUAUUUUUAACUUGCAAAACUUGAAAUAAUAAUCAUGCUCCUACUAACAUGAUAAUUAUAUCCAUACCAGCAUAACACUUAUGCUCCCACUAGUUUCGACAUGUAUGCAGAAAACAAUUGGACUUCUAGAAAUCAAUACUUAUUGACUUCCAAAGUUCAUAUUUCUAAUAUGCUAUGCUUCGAUAAGUCUUUAUCUAAGCUUCUUAAACUCAUACACCUUUCCUUAGAUAGCUCACAUGUGUGUCUAAACUAUUUCAGAACCUAAAAUAGUAAGUCCCGAAUAUUUAGACUUAUUGCCAUUUCUCACAAUUCGAACUGUGAAGAGGGAUGCCGUAAUCAUAAUCGAAUUUGAGAAUGCAAAUAUCACAAUUUUUAUCUCCUUAAAAUCUCUCUUAGCGAAAGCAUUUCCUUACAAUCGUUUUCAUGAAGUGGAGAAAACCUUAUCACUUAGAUUUUAUGGUGUAUGUGUUCCUAUCCAUGUGAAUUAUCAUAACCAUAAUCGUAUGACAAGGUUUAAGACAAAUCCAAACUCAUAUGGAAUGAACUUGUUCAUUCUUAAUUUCUUGACACUGAGGGUCCCACCAUUUCUUCUAAGUUAUUUAGAUUCUUACCCCUACCUAUCAAUGUACUUUCCAUUGAUCAGGGUACCUUGCCUCUAUGCAACCCAUUGAGAACUCAUAGAACUCACAUUCAUAGUUGACUAAACUGGAAUGACGCAGAAACAAGAAUAUGUCAACACGAUAGGUUACAAACCUCAAGUCAUGUGCUAGUUUAAUAAGUUUACUCUUGAUUAGUUCUUGAACCUUUUCAAGAUCAUUUAGACUCCCACUGGCCUCUUGACAUAUAAGAGUCUCUUGUCAAGAAACAUUUCUUUACAAAAAUAAAUUCAGGAGUUAGUGAGGAUUCUUAUCAAGACAAACACUACACACAAUUUGUCGUAGUUGGUCUUUGUCUUAUCCAAGACAUCACAACUUACCAAUUUCAAACGUGUAAGAGUAAGAAAAAACAUUUUUCUACUCCACAUUUGAUGAGUGUGUUAAAAAACUUCUUAUGAUGUGUCACUCUAAGACUUGAUUUUGGAACGAAGUAUGAUUCACCUUUUGAUUUAACCAUUUCAAAAAUUUCUUAUUCGUCUUCUUAGCCAUACUAGUGCACUAAGGUGUCCUUCAAGGAUCAAUUGUGAUAUGGUUUCAUAACCAAUAAGACGAUCAUAAAACAUGAUACUAAAGUACUCUUCCAUCUUUUCAGAUUGGAGAAACUUUUAUCUUUAUGACUAAUUGAUUCUUCUUAUUCAUUCUGCCAUUCAUCGAAACUUUUCAAUGAUUCAGAAUUAUACUUAAUCUUGUAAGCAUGACCACAUUUACUAGACUAAAUCAUGACGAAUAAUCUUAUUGUUAUUUGUGGUGGACUUGACUAGUGGACAACAUUGUGUACCAAAUCUCCUUAGUCUUUCACUUGACUCACAUACUUAUGUGAAGAAGGAAUUAAUAUUAAUUUUCUAAGUACUAAGAUUUCCAUACAUCACAUGACUCAAAUCAUAUGAUUCCAAGCUUUUGUCCAAUUGAAAUUUGGGCGAUGAGAAUCUUUUCUUACUUAGAAAAUUUCGACACUACCAUAAAUAACAUAACUAAGAAUCACAUCCACUUAAUAUUGAUUAUAACAGAAACACACAAGCAUCAAUUUUCACAAAUGAUAUUCCAAGGAGAUAUAAAUAAGACAAAACUCAAAAUUUAUUUUAUUUAUAAAAGGUGUGGAAAAAUUGUCCUUACAACGCAAAUUCGAAUGAAAACUAUGCUAUUACAGAUUCCUAGGCAAUUUAUCAUAACUCUAAGCAGCAGCUCAAAAAUCUAAUCAUCGAAUCAUGUGAUCAAAAUCUAUUUCUUCACGAUCAGACUCAGCUCACUUCUUCCUUUAAGCUUCCUUUCUUUUCUUCGAUCCUACAAAACUUCAAAAUGUAAUAUUAUCACAUCAUGUACUAAGAAUCUACAAAUAGGAAAUUAAUAGAGUUAGAUAAUGGAUUUUACGUGAAGCAGAGUCAUACAUCUUGACUCUCCCAUCUCUUAGAUCGCUCAGGUAGUCAGGGCAGCUUCAUAACCAAUACUCCCUCUUUUGGCAGUAGAAACAUACAGAUUCUUCUGGAGGGACUAUCUCAGACUCAACCUUUGUCUUGCGUAGAGAAAACUUUUCUGGAUUUCCAAUGUUGACAUUGCCCAUAGAAGGUUGGGAGAUUGAUUUACCAGACAAAUUUGCUUGACCAGUGAACCAAAUCAUCAUUGAUUCAGCAACAAUAAGCAAAUAAGUCAAAUCAAUAAGGGUCACGUCAUCGUCCAUCAUAUAGUACUCUCCAAUGAACUCACUAUAUGAUUCGGGAAGUGACUGAAGAACCAAGUCAACAGCGAACUUCCUUGAGACAUCGACACCCAACAUUCCCAAUCUAUCAAUAUGCAACUUCAUAUCUAAGACAUGAGCACAUACAAACUUUCCAUCUUCAUGUUUGUUUGCCAAUAGUGCUUGAGUGAUUUUGAACUUUUCAAGCCUUCGAACACGUGGUUGAGGGAGAAUAAUAGAAGGAGGUGGAGGAAGUGAAGCAUGAUUUACAUUUCCACAAUCCAAUCGUGGAACAUCAUCUUCAAGCGGAAAACGUUUUCCAAUGGAUUCAGGAAGACUAUAGUUGUUAGAUUUUGUGACAUCCCCUAAUUUCUCAGCCAGAAAAGACCGAUUAAAUUUAUGCUUUUUAAAAUAAAAUCAGAGAAAUCUUUUUAAAAGAUGUUGCGGAAUUGGUCCCCAAACAAAAUAUAAUAAAAGUUUAUCAAAACCUUCUUUAAGAAAUGUAUAGUUUCAUUUCAUAUCAAAACCUCGGGAUGUCAUGUUCCGAUACAGAUCAAAAGCAUAAACAAGACAUUAUAAGCCUUUCAACAGUUAUUUACAACUACUGUCCUAUAAUCCAAAAAUCUCUCAUCGUCCUCCAAUUAUGCUCGGGGUCCACUACAUGUAAUCAUAAAACUGAGUGGGUCAGGCUUGGGAGCCUGGUGAGCAUAUAGGGUUUUCAACAAUAACCCUGAUUACCCAUUCCCGUUGUCCUCACCUUACGUCCCUAAACACCUAUCACAAGGGACCUAGCCUAAGGAAUAUCAUCGGGAUGGACACUACUGCUAAGGGGUUUCCUCAGCCAUACAUGUCCUUAAGGCAACCAUGAGGGGGAUGAAGUACGCCAAUGAAGAUUUAAUUCAUCAACACCUACAAGUUGCGAACUUCCUAGUGUUCCACUGGACUAUCUAGAAAGUCCGUGGUCGUCAUCUAUACUUCGCUAGAUGACUACAACAACAACAACAACAUCGACAUCGAGACCUCUCACCUUUUUAACACAUAUCAACUAUUUCAUCUACCCAUGUUCUACCCAACAUAUUUUGUAGAUAAAAAACAUAUACAGUUUAAAACUUGCAUAAAACAUCAAUUCAACAGUCACCUCGAAUAAACAAUUAGCAUAUUUACACAUAACACGUAUUUCAAGGUAAAUACUUCAUAUCUAUGUGUAAAUUGAAAGUAACUACACACUCACGUAUUUUGGUGAAAAUCGGGCAGCAAUUCGUUUCCUAAAACGAUCGUUUCUAAUAAAACCGGGAGUUUUAUUGAGAAACCGGGCUCUGCAAAAGUCGGGCUUCGAAACCGAAAAGAUAAAUUUUCCGGGCUUCUCGGACGCUUCGUGAGGUAUUCAGGGCUUUACAAUCGAUACCGGGGCUUUACGGGAUGUUAAAAUGAAAGAAAUAUGGGUUUAGGGGUUAAAAGUGACAAAAUUCCAAAAUUACCCGGGGUCUCGCACCCUUCUAUUUAUAGGGGCGAGGCUUCUGAUCGGAAGGUCAGGAGGGAGACACGCGUCGCAGAUCCGAAGCUCGCAGAGGGGGAUGGCUCGGACAUGGCUUGCACCUGCGAGGGCUCGCUGGCGGCUUCUAAGUGGACCGCGGCUUACUGGCGCACCUGCGAGGCUCGGAGCUAGGCUAUGCGAGGCUCGGACACACGCGGCAGCUGGGCGAAGCUUCGGCUGGGGAGCUGGCUGCUUCGGAUUGGGCCUCCUCCUCGGUCGAAUCAGAAGAGGNNNNNNNNNNNNNNNNNNNNNNNNNNNNNNNNNNNNNNNNNNNNNNNNNNNNNNNNNNNNNNNNNNNNNNNNNNNNNNNNNNNNNNNNNNNNNNNNNNNNNNNNNNNNNNNNNNNNNNNNNNNNNNNNNNNNNNNNNNNNNNNNNNNNNNNNNNNNNNNNNNNNNNNNNNNNNNNNNNNNCAUAACUUUCGCAUACGAGCUCCGUUUUUGACGUUCUUUAUAUGCACGCGUAGCUAAAAUUACGAUCUACAACUUCCGUUUAGACUUCGUCGGCUAAUUUUGAAUUUAAAUUUUAUAUUAUUAUUUUUAACAGAUCGGGAUAGGAAUUCCGUUAAAAAUUCAUAAAUUCUUCAUCCGACAUCUGUUUUCGUCAGACUUUUUACCGUUGUGCUCCUAAUGACGAGACCUUCAAUUCUCUUUUAGGUUGUGUCGGCUAAAAAUCGCUCGAUCUAAAAUUCGAGUUUUUAGCUGUCUACUGCUACGCUGAAACUUCGAAAAAUCAUAACUUCCUCAUACGAAGUCAGAUUUGGGCGUUCUUUUUAUCGAACUUCUCGGUUUAACGAAUACUACGACUUUCGUUUAGAUUACUAAGGCUAAAAAGUAGUUUAUCAAAAACUCACUUUUUACGACAUUCAGCACCGUGCCGGUUUUGUCGCGAAACUUCGACAGGUCAUAACUUCUUCGUUGUAACUCGGAUUUUGGUAUUCUUUAUAUCCUCGAAAUCCUUGUUUCGACCACUACAACUUUAUGUAAAGAUAUCGGGCUUAUCUCACACUUUAAUUUUGACACUUAUUUUUAUUCUUAAUUAAUUAAGCCCUAAUAAUUAAACAUAAAACACAUAAUUCACAUAAUAUUCACAUAAUUCCUUUUCAUUUCUUCAAAAUGAGUUACAAAGGUUAACCUAGACUAUCAACUCAAUAUAAAUGCCUAGGCUAGAAACAUGAGUGUUACAGAUUUUGACAUCUACAAAACAGGAGAAAUUCAAGUUAGUUGAUAAAAUCCUCAAUAUAGCACCCAAAUGAAAUAUUGAGGCUAGGAUACAACACAACAUUCUACAAUUUGGAAGAGGGAUGUCAUAGUCCAAAUUGCAGAACAUUUGAAGGUAAGUAAAUGACGAUUUACCAAUUUACACCAUGAAAAAAGAAAAUUGAAAAUUAGGUUUUAAAUGAAUUGAAACUCCUAGAUCCUUUGAGAUUCAUUGAACUUUUCAAUGGCAUGUUUAAAUCUCGAUUGUUCCCUUUAAAUUUGUGACUGGGAUGACGAGGAUCACAAAGAAAGUGUGGAUAACCAUGCAAAUUAGAUUGGUACUCAUGAAGACGUAUAUCAUCUAAUCAAUGUGCCGGUUAACCACACAUGCUCCAUUGAUCUAUGAUAAUCUACGAGCUACCCAUUGCCAGCCUUCAUUGGUCCCAUAUUAGUGUGUCAGUUAACCACACACGCUCCACUACGACCAACAAGGUGCAAUUUGCAAUUUCAUGGAUUAGCACGAACUCCAUAUUUUUUCUAAAGUAACUAAGAUUUUGGGAAUUUAUAAAAAUGUUUACUUACUUCGUAUUUCAUUAUACUUAUAAUGGAAGAUUGUGUCAUAUCCUACCCGUUCGACUAAUGACCCUCCACUAGUCGAGAGUGCGGUGGGUAAGAGUGGAUACCCAAUGACGGUCAUUUUACACAGCGCUUCCUUAAACACCCCUUAUAGACCAGCCUCGUGAAUGAAACUUAUUAAAGGUGAGACUGACUCUUUACUCAUACAUAUAUAAUAUUAAACUUUUAAUUUUAUAUAGUAUAAGGGUGUAUUUUACACUUUUAAAAUAUUAGGUGGUUUAAUCUAUUAACAAUAUAUACUUUUGUUUUGAUUAACUUAAACCAUAUAAUUAUGGAAUUAUUAAUUAUCUCUUUUAAUUAAACACUUAAUUAAUUUAAUAAAACCAUAACGGUGUAAUUUGAACUUUUCAAAAUACUAGAGUCUUAGAAUUUAAUAUUUCAAAAUUAAUAUUUUUUAAUUAAAUUUUAUAUUCCAAAAUUUAAGCAUAAAUUUUGAAACCUUUCAAAAUAUUAGGGUUUAACUAUUUAAAUUUCAAAAAUUAAACUUUUAAGUUCAAAUUUAAACUAUAAAACCUAAAGGGUGUAAAUUGAAACUUUUCAAAUUUACUAGGUUAAAAAUUUGACUAUAAUAAUCUUAUAUUAUCCAUAUUUAACCAAAUCCGUUAAUUUUGAUGAGAAUAACCAUUCCAAAGAUAAAAAAUCGAUUUUAAGCAAUAAAAACGAGUUUUGGCAAUUAUCCUCAACAAAAUCUGGUAAGCAAAUCGAAAAUCCCGGAAACAGACCCUUGGACUCGUUAAGUCCACUAUGGAACUCGUCGAGUAGGACCUACUCGUCGAGCCUAUACAUGGGCUUGGCGAGUCUCCCAGUCAGAAACCAAAAAAUUCGAUUUUCAAGAUCUUUAGUGGUUCAUUUUUGCAUCUAUUCACUAGAAAAUCGACACAUCUAAGGCUAUGUUUCCUAAUGGAAUAGAUAUAAAAGCUAAAUAAGACGAAAAAGACAUGUGCACAAUAGCGAAUACAUUCACCGUUUCACAAUAGUUUCCUCUUCAUUCAACGUCUAACUUAAUCAUCGAAGCGUUCUACCUAGAGCCCAACCCUGUUGAACGUCUAUUGAGUUGCAGUUCAUUUUAGGUCCGGAACGUCAGCCUUUCAUAACAUAUUCAGGUGUGGCUAUAUCACAAAAGCUAGAAUAUCUGAGUUGCAUCAUUUGGUGUUAAGCUUUUUUUCAUUGAGUAUUGUUGGGGAUACAAUACUAUCAACUUUAAUAUAGAACUGAAUAAUAUGAGAUUAUCAAUGGUUAUAGAGUACAAAUUGAUUAUAGAACUGAAUAAUAUGAGAUUAUCAAUGGUUAUAGAGUACAAAUUGAUUAUAGAACUGAAUAAUAUGAGAUUAUCAAUGGUUAUAGAGUACAAAUUGAUUAUAGAACUGAAUAAUAUGAGAUUAUCAAUGGUUAUAGAGUACAAAUUGAUGUGAGAAUGUAAUAAGGAUUGUUUGGGGUUAUAAUUAGGAUAAACCAUCAACAAAGGGUAUUAUAUGUUUGAAAUAUAGUCGAAAUAAAAUGGUGUACUCUGUUAUAUCUCUAAUCUUAUAGAUCUAGAUAUAAUAUGGUCGAACCUUCCGUAUUACGUACGCAAAUAUAACCGUACUAUGCACCCACAUAUAAUACGGACCUUCCGUAUUAUGUAUGCAAAUAUAACCGUACUAUGCACCCAGAUAAAAUACAGUCAAACCUUCCAUAUUAUGUAUGCAAAUAUUACGGUACUGUAAUUUUCAUUUGCUAGUAGUUUAUAUUUUAACCCGGCCAUAAUCUAUUACUUCUACAUCCUUCCAUAUCUUUCGGAAGUUUGUUUAUAAAGAGUUAUAGACCACCUACAAUUACCUGUCUUAAUUGGUUAUUCUCUUCAUGUAGCUAAUAAACCGGAUAUAUCUAUAUAUUAAGUAAAAGGAUAUUUAUUAAAUAUGGCAAGUAGAAUCUAAGUCGAACAUAUUUUUAGAAUUUCCGUUAGGCCCAAGUAAGUCAUUUGUUUUUUUUUUUCUAUAAAUAGCUGUAAUUGCAAAUUAGGUUUUAGUAUCAAGUUAAUUAUUUGAAGCAAACUUGUUACUUCUUCUUUCUCUACUCGACAGAAAUCACACACACAAUAAAAUCCAACAUAGCUGCCAGCACUCACCAGUUGCAAAUCGAGAAUGAAGAAUUUACAGAAAAUUCUCUCUAUUCUUUUCCUCCUGUUCUUCAUCUUCACUGCACCAUCCUGUGCGGAUAUCAAAUCUGUGAAGAUCAGUUCAGAUGACCGAGGUCUGAUCGACUUCCACAAGUUCGAGUUCACAAACACCGGUCAACUCUCCGUUUCCAUCUCCUCCGUCUCUGUCUCCUCUAUGCCUGUCACCUCCAACUUAUCACGACCUGAUCUUUCACGUAUUGGUUUCUUCCUUGUCUCCGACUAUGCAUUGCACUAUAUGAUUGACGAACAUUCGUGUUACCUGGAUUCUAAAUACAUCUCACUCCUAUUUACUUUCCAAGAUAUCUCGCCUCCUUCUCAGUGUUCUUUCAACAAAUCGUACGCUGUGACAUAUCCAAAUUCCUACACACUCACAUUCGCCAACUGCAACCCCCUAUCACACGUAACAAUGGACGUCAAAGCAGAGUUCUACAACACCCAUAAUGGCACUACCAAAGACUACCUACCAGCCGGACAAACAAAGCUUCCGUCUCUUUACUUCAAGUUAUCCGUCAUUUACCUGUGUUCUCUAGCGUUUUGGAUCUCGAUAUGCUUCAAGAACUAUCCAUCUUUUCAUUGGAUUCAUUUACUCAUGGGUGUGUUGCUUCUUAUGAAGGGGCUUAACUUGUUAUCUGCAGCCAAGGUCCAACAUUCUAUAAAGGUUACAGGCACUCCUCUUCAUGGAUGGAAUGUCUUGCUUUACAUAUUUCAGUUUAUCAGGACUGUGCUCUUUUACACUGUGAUCGCGGCGACCAUUGACGGAUGUUGGUUCUUGAAGCCGAUUAUUCUAAUUAACAACAGUUUGAUGAUUGUGAUCCCACUUCAAUUUUUUGCUACAAUAGCUUCUAAAGUGGCAUGUGAGGUUUUACUUGAAGAAUCAUUGCUGUGGGACAUUGGAUCGCUUUUUGCAGACAGCAUUUGUAAAACACUUUUCAUCGUGCUCAUUGGAUUUGCGGUUUACUGGAGUUCAGAGGCUGAUGAGGCAGUUAAAAAUUAUUCUGCAAAGUUUUCUCUAAUUCGGGUGUUCUAUUUUGUGUUUAUUUUAUGCUCGUGUGUUGAUUAUGUAUGUGGAAUCGUGGGCAGUGAUUGGGCAAUGGCAAAGGAAAUAGCCAGUCUUGUGUUGUACAUGGUAAUGUUUUCAUUGUUCAUGCCAUCUGAGAAAAGUGAAUAUUUUGUUCCACCGGCAUCAGAGGGGCUCGUGGGGGAUGUGGAGCUUGGAUGUGGUGUUUGAUCUUUGACAUGCGCAGUUUUCAACUAAAUCUUUAAGUAGUUUUUUUUUUUUGGAACAAUAAGAUUUUAAUACCAGUUCAUUGACAUAGCAUGAACGGAAUUAAUGAUAGUACGUACUGUGUUCAGGUUUUUUUUUAGUUAAUGUUUCUGGUUCAAAAUGUCACUUGUAGUUCUUUAAUAUAUGAUGUUAAUUUGCUGAUUGAAUUUGUUUUGUGUUGACACAAUCUUUGUUUCAUCGUAUUGAAUAUCUUGAUCAUUGUGAUUAUGUUACCCAUAAAGAGUACCCAAAUGAACAGAAAUUAUAGAAACUAGUAAAAAAGUCGGGGUCGGUUUUUUUAUUGUUCAUUAGUAACUGUGGGUGUUGGAUUAAUUACCAGGAUUGUAAUACAAAUGGUGCGCAACUUAAAUCAAUAUGAGUAUCCUAGAAUUGCUUUUGCGAAUCAAAAUACUCUUUAGUAGUUACACAAAAGAAAAGAUACAAACACUAUGUUAGUCAAUGUUGACCAUGUAAUCUGGAGAAUAAUAGGGACACGUGGGAGUGUUGCCAAGUAAAAGAACGUUGCUGAUUUAUCUGCUUUCAGUUUCAUUUUUAGUGUAUUUAAAGUUCAGUUGUUAGCUAUUUUGAAUGUAACUUUUCCAGCUUUAAUCAUUCAAUAAACAAGCAUUUGGCUACUCUGUCUCCCUUCUUUUCCUCUCGUUUUGAUUUGCUAAUUUGCCAACAAUUGGUAUCAGAGCUUCAAGGUUCUGAUUAAGGUGUAUGCCAAAGUAUAUCAGAUACACUACCAUGACAGGAUCAUCAUCAUCCAAUCCACCCAAAGACAAUCCGUUCCCUUUUCAAUGCCCAAUGCUAACCUCGCAGAAUUAUAAUACCUGGUCAAUUAAGAUGGAAGCCAUCAUGGAUGCCCAUGGAUUGUGGGAUGCCAUUGAGCCACCAACCGGAGUGGAGGUGGACGAUAAAAGGAGCAAGCAGGCUCGAGCCUUCAUCUUCCAAUCAAUUCCAGAAGAGAUGCUUGCACAGGCUGCCAAGAAGAAGACAGCUAGAGAAGUGUGGGACUCUCUAAAGUCACGGUAUGUGGGUGCAGAAAGAGUCCAAAAAGCAAGGCUAAGGGUAUUGAAAAGCGAGUUUGAAGGUCUCCAAAUGAAGGAUACGGAAACCAUUGAUGAUUAUGCAGGAAGAAUAUCAGCCAUGAUCUCAAAAUACAGCAGUGCAGGAGCAACAUUAGAUGAUGAAGAACUGGUGAGAAAAUUGUUUGAUACGGUCCCUGAAAGGUUCAUAAACCUGGUGGCAUCGAUUGAACAAAGCUCAGACAUGGAAUCCAUGCCAUUUGAAGAGGCGAUUGGGCAUCUAAAGGCAUAUGAAGAUCGACUUCGACUCUGGAAGACAAGCACACAAGCAGAUAAUGCCUUGUUACUUGCCAAAACGGAAGGCUCUUCUACUCAUCGAAGUCCAAGCAAGUCAAACACGACAGGUGGUCGUGGAAGAGGAAGAAAUAGUGACAGGGGAGGAAGAGGCAAUUCAUGUGGUCGGGGUUCGACGCGUGGCAGAGGUGGACGCUGGGGUGGUGGUUCACGACAAGAAGCUGGGAAUUUCAACCGGAAGCCUCGUGACAAAAGUCAUAUACAAUGCUUUGAGUGCCAAGAAUUUGGCCAUUUUGCUUCUGAGUGCAAAGCAAAGAAGCAACAGGAACAAGAGGCGAAUUUAGUUGAAGACGAAGAUGGACCUGCACUCCUGUUAACCGUACAUGGGGAAGAAACUACAAGCAUGGUUCUCUUAAAUGAGGAAAAGGUGUACCCGAACCAACUAAGUGACAGCAAUGAUAAUGAUAUGUGGUAUCUGGAUAAUGGGGCUAGUAACCACAUGACUGGUUCUAAGGCCUUAUUUGCAGAGCUUGAUGAAAAGGUGACUGGACAGGUACGAUUUGGAGAUGGUUCUAAGGUUCAAAUAAAAGGGAAAGGCACACUACUGUUUGAUUGUAAAAGUGGUGAUCAGUUCAUCAUCCCAGAUGNNNNNNNNNNNNNNNNNNNNNNNNNNNNNNNNNNNNNNNNNNNNNNNNNNNNNNNNNNNNNNNNNNNNNNNNNNNNNNNNNNNNNNNNNNNNNNNNNNNNNNNNNNNNNNNNNNNNNNNNNNNNNNNNNNNNNNNNNNNNNNNNNNNNNNNNNNNNNNNNNNNNNNNNNNNNNNNNNNNNNNNNNNNNNNNNNNNNNNNNNNNNNNNNNNNNNNNNNNNNNNNNNNNNNNNNNNNNNNNNNNNNNNNNNNNNNNNNNNNNNNNNNNNNNNNNNNNNNNNNNNNNNNNNNNNNNNNNNNNNNNNNNNNNNNNNNNNNNNNNNNNNNNNNNNNNNNNNNNNNNNNNNNNNNNNNNNNNNNNNNNNNNNNNNNNNNNNNNNNNNNNNNNNNNNNNNNNNNNNNNNNNNNNNNNNNNNNNNNNNNNNNNNNNNNNNNNNNNNNNNNNNNNNNNNNNNNNNNNNNNNNNNNNNNNNNNNNNNNNNNNNNNNNNNNNNNNNNNNNNNNNNNNNNNNNNNNNNNNNNNNNNNNNNNNNNNNNNNNNNNNNNNNNNNNNNNNNNNNNNNNNNNNNNNNNNNNNNNNNNNNNNNNNNNNNNNNNNNNNNNNNNNNNNNNNNNNNNNNNNNNNNNNNNNNNNNNNNNNNNNNNNNNNNNNNNNNNNNNNNNNNNNNNNNNNNNNNNNNNNNNNNNNNNNNNNNNNNNNNNNNNNNNNNNNNNNNNNNNNNNNNNNNNNNNNNNNNNNNNNNNNNNNNNNNNNNNNNNNNNNNNNNNNNNNNNNNNNNNNNNNNNNNNNNNNNNNNNNNNNNNNNNNNNNNNNNNNNNNNNNNNNNNNNNNNNNNNNNNNNNNNNNNNNNNNNNNNNNNNNNNNNNNNNNNNNNNNNNNNNNNNNNNNNNNNNNNNNNNNNNNNNNNNNNNNNNNNNNNNNNNNNNNNNNNNNNNNNNNNNNNNNNNNNNNNNNNNNNNNNNNNNNNNNNNNNNNNNNNNNNNNNNNNNNNNNNNNNNNNNAACAGACAUGCGUUGCGUAGGUCGCAGUCCACCAUCACGUCGUAAUAUAGUACACAACUUUCUAAAAGCUUGUUCACUCACACAAAUAAGCUCACGACAUUUCCCACCUUUAAUAAGUUUGUGUAAUAGACGUUCUCGUUCAAGUUGGCGCUUUAAUAGUUCUUCCUUACUAAGUAAAUUAUGGUUAUUUUUUUUCGAAAGUCUACGAUGUAUUACAAUGGCCAUGAACAUCAGAGUAACCACUAGCCUUCGUCUUUUUUCCCCAUCAUCAUCUUGGCUGGUCAUGGCACUUUCCUAAUACUAAAAAUUCAUUUGAUCAAGAAAAAAGAAAAAAAUCUCAUUAGCUAUGUGAAUUUGAUCUCGAAGUCAGCUCAUAUGCUAUCUCUUGGACCACUUUGAAGUUUAAAACUAUGCAAUGUUACUCAUAAGCUGUACAACAAAACAUUUAUAACCUCUCAUGUUCAAGUAAUUUAUUAUAUGGAAGAAAGUUCACAUGAGGCCUUGCUUACAUGCAUGGAAGACUUGCAAGAUGUUUUACAACACAUCAAGUUAAAAGCACUUGUUAUUGACACAUUUGGUCAUCGAAAAGAAAAACUCAUUAGGUAAUCUUGUGAAAAGCAUACACGUAUCUCUAGUUAUAAAAGGAUUAUACAAAUCAUAGUGUUAUUCAGGGGUGUGUAGGUGUUAUGUGAUUCAUGAAUCAAUAAAAAAACAUCAAAAAAAAAAAAAAAGAAGACAGGAAGCAUCGAACAGUGAAGUCACAUGCAAUAUUUUAUAAUCUUUUCAUAUUUAACUCAAGCAAAAUGGAAAAUGCCCUUCAAAUAACUCAAGCAAAAUGGGUUCAACAUGGUGAUUCUAUUUGAAGCAAUAACUAUUGGAAGACAAGUCUAGGCUUCUAUAGUAAUGGAAGCACGUCUCAACAAGCAAGAAAACUAACUAAGGUUCCAAUAAUAGUUUCAUGCAUAUUAGAUGGAAGAACUGUGAGCAAAAAGAUUUUACAGGGAUAUGGAAGACAUACCUGAUAAGGGACGACUUGAACAGGGACGCACGAAUGAGAAUUCUUGUUGGGAGGUAUUGAUUAUGCGGCUACGUCAUGUUAUAAAUAGGGUUGAGGGUAUUAUCGUCCAUAAUAUACUUUGUGUACGUAUCCUUCCAGUUUUCUUCCCAAAUCCGCUCAAAUUGGGAGGAAAAUUUGGAAGGAAAAUGGGCCUUCAAAAUCCUUCACCUCCCCUCCCUUUCCUUCCCUAAUUUAAACUCGGGAACAAGGUUUUCCGUCCAUAUCCCUCAUCUCACCUCCAAAUCUGCCCGUUUCCGUCCUUAAAUUCAACUGGGGAACAAGCUGUAUAUGUUUGUAUAUAUUUAUAUGAGCAAUAUCAUAAAAUUCUUAAGUUUUUCAAGAAAUUAUAGGUUUUACCCUAAUGUCUUUUGGGCUCAUUAAAACCGGAUAUUUGAUUUAAUUGUUGUAUUUAUGCCUUUUUAAAAGGUUUCCCUGCCGGUCACACACAAGCAAUCUACAUCAUUGAUGUUGAAACCAUUGAAUCAAUCACCAUGUUUUCUUGUUGAUUCAAAUCACCACCGAUUUCUGCCAACUUCAUUCGAGUAGAAACUCAUCUUUGUUUUUUUUUUUCCUUUGUAGCUACGACUUGUUGAGGAACAAAACACACAUAUACACAAAUACCAAGUGCAUGUUUAUGUGUGUUUUGCUAGCAAUAAAAAACACUCUCUUUUGAUUUUUAUGAUGUUCUUGGCUCUUUUGUUGUAAAACUCGAUAAACACAAAGAAACAUGCAAAUUACUAUGUUUUGGAAACAAUUGUGUGUUUAUGUGGGUGUUACUGUUCACCAUCUUCUCCAAUAUCUACAUAAACAACCCUUACUCACCUCCAUUUUCUCCGUCUAACACCCAUCAAAAUCUUUCUUCCUCCCUUUUCUUCUAAUCGCAAGCCAUCAAGAAUCCCUUUAAAUCCUUUCUUUCUGCUCCUUUCUCCGAAGUUUUUGCGAAGUUUUUUCGAUGUCUUCAAUAAUCUGUCCUUUCUUCAUAUUCCUUUCUCCUUAAUUAUAAGAGUUAAGAAUAUUAAAUAUUAAUUCUAAUUAAAUAACAAUAUGAUAAAUUCUGUUUUUUUUAAUGGUAUUUAAGUAUCCAGUAAAAAACUAAUUUGGAAGCAGAAGAGUGGGUAAUUAUGAUGGGAUUAAAAAUGUAAUUAGAUGUCAAUUUUUUAUAAAUUUUUUUGAGCUAAAUCAGUCUAUUGCAGAUAGUAGAAGUUCCAAAACAAAAUAUACACUCCACUUUACAAAAGAGAAAGCAUUAAAAAAAAAAGGAAAAUGACUCUUGAGGGUAAUUAACUUUUGCGUUUGUACUCAUUUGGUCUCUUUUUUUUNAAUUAAAUUACUAUAUGUGUUGGAAUCUCUUUUUUUUUUUUUUUUUUUGUAUUCAAUAUACCAUCGAACUUGUUGUUGGUGUUUACCAUAGCCCUUUUGACCGACUUUUGACUUGUGAUAGCCGGUCAAAGGGUUAUGGUGAACACAAACAACAAGUUCGAUGGUAUAUUGAGUACAAAAAAAGGAAAGGGACCAAAUGAGAACAAACGUAACAGUUGAUUACCCUCCUGAUUCAUUUUCCCUUUACUCAUUUACAACAAAUCUCACAUCAUCUCCUACUGAUAUUAAUGACUUUAUGAGAUUCAUUCUUGCUUAUCUUCAAAACAUCACCUACGAAAGGACAUUAUUCAUACAUGUACAACUUUGUAAUGCACUUGAAUAUUUAUUAGGGGAAUCUUGACUAAGAAGACGCAUUUAAUGACUACAUUUACAUUUCCAAUCAAAUGAUUUAUCGUAUCAUGGAUUCUAGACAAGUCUACAAACGAGUGGAUUCACAAGUGCUAUGAUUUUUGAGUUUACUUAGCUUUAAGAUCGAACUCAUGGGAUAAGAUACAACAUCAAUAUGUACAAUGUUAUGGUGAUGUGUCUACAAAAGCAGCAUGAUAUUGUACAUAUUGAUGUUGUAUCUUAUCACAUGAGUUCGAUUUUAAAGCUAAGUAAACUCAAAAAUCACAGCACUUGUGAUUCCACUCGUUUGUAGACUUGUCUAGAAUCCAUGAUACGAUAAAGCAUUUGAUUGCAAAUGUAAAUGUAGUCAUGAAAUGCGUCUGCUUAGUCAAGAUUCCCCUAAUAAAUAUUCAAGUGCAUUACAAUGUUGUACAUGCAUGAAUAAUGUCCUUUCGUGAGUUAUGUUUUGAAGAGAAGCAAUAAUGAAGCUCAUAGUCAUUAAUUUUAGUAGGAGAUGACGUGGGAUUUGCUGUAAAUGAGUAAAAAGAAAAUGAAUCAGGAGGGUAACCAACUGUUGUGUUUGUUCUCAUUUGGUCCCUUUCCUUUUUUUUUUGUACUCAAUAUACCAUCGAACUUGUUGUUUGUGUUCACCAUAACCCUUUGACCGACUAUCACAGGUCAAAAGCGUUAUGGUAAACACCAUCAACAAGUUCGAUGGUAUAUUGAAUACAAAAAAAAGAAAAAAGACCAAAUGAGUACAAACGCAAAAGUUAAUUACCUUCAAGAGUCAUUUUCCCAAAAAAAAAAAAAAAAAGUUGUAUGUUCAAAUCGACCAAAAUGGGCCUUAAAUAGUCUACAUACGAUUCAACGAUUUCAACCUCAAGAGCCCAAAUUGAAGAGUAGGGCUUUAUUUUUCACGACGAUGGCCCUCAAAUGCCCAAUUUGAUUUUUUUCCUUCCUACAAAACCUUCUUCCAACCCUAAUCAAGCCGUAUCAGUACAAUUCGGCAAAAAUGCAGAUCUUCGUGAAAACCCUAACUGGGAAGACGAUUACGUUGGAGGUUGAAUCCUCCGACACAAUCGACAAUGUGAAGGCGAAGAUCCAAGACAAGGAAGGCAUCCCACCGGACCAGCAGCGUCUUAUUUUCGCCGGGAAACAACUUGAGGACGGCAGAACCCUUGCCGACUACAACAUCCAGAAGGAGUCAACCCUCCACCUGGUUCUCCGUCUCCGUGGUGGCGCAAAGAAGCGCAAGAAGAAGACCUACACCAAGCCGAAGAAGAUCAAGCAUAAGCACAAGAAGGUUAAGUUGAGCGUGUUGCAGUUCUACAAGGUUGAUGAUUCCGGAAAGGUGCAGAGGUUGAGGAAAGAGUGUCCUAAUGCUGAGUGUGGUGCUGGGACUUUCAUGGCUAACCACUUCGACAGGCACUAUUGCGGCAAGUGUGGUCUCACUUAUGUCUACCAGAAGGAGAAGGCUUGAUUAGAUAAGUGUUCAUCGUCGUUUUUUGAGUUAUGAAUUAUAAUUCUGAGUUUUCUUGUUAUAUCUUGUGGUAAACCUGGAUUUCUAGGGUUGUUUUUGAAUUGAUGAAACUGAAUGCUUUUGUUUAUCAACAUUUCAAGCUAUCUAAACUGAUUUACAAUGACGUGUUUACUACUUAGCUACUCCUGUAGGUGUCUUGAUUAUGUUAAAAACUUAUUGUUAGUCUGAAUUUUUAGGUUUUCUUGUUUGGAGCUAAUUGAUAAAUGCAUAUGAAACAUGUUAGACGAUAUUCUCGAUCAGAAUAAUCCAGCCUUGCUACCAAAACCGACCUUUCCAAAAUUAGUUUUCCAAUGAACUUUUCGAUGCUCUUUGUUUUUGUUUUUCAGCAAUCCCUCUCAUUGCUUCUGGCAUCAUCAGAUAUUGAUAUAUAGAAAUAUAUUUAUGUAUAGAAUUCCUUGGACCAUUGACUUAGGAUUAUCUUAUCAAUCAAUUAGAAUUUUUUUAAUAAAUAAAGCAAGAGCUCAAAUAUAACAAAGGAUCACAACUAAAAUCAAUGUCUACCAACCAAUGUGUUGUGACCAUAAAUAAACAUGUAUGAAUCCAUCCUAUUUGAAAGUUAUUAAAAAUGUUAUCUUUCCAUGACACAUCUAACACACCACCUCUACUUCUUCCUAUGUGAUUUACGUAGUACAUACAGAAAUCAAGUGUCGUGCAUGUGCCUAUUACAUAUAAAAUAAGUUUUUAAGUAUAUCCUUGCAACACCCGUAAAACUUUAGAAAAAAAGCAUAAGUAUCAUGCAACGUAAGCAAAAAAUAUCUUAUGCCCAAACCGAAGACAAAAGAGGCUUAUCCAAGCAUAACAAAAGUUGGUUCAUUGCAAUUUUUCAUUUCAUGAUUCAUAACCUAAGGCUCACUGGGCAUAAAACACAUAGCAUGUAUUGUGCUAUUAUUGUUUCAAUGGGAGGCUCAAAUGCCACUUUAGGGUUUCGAUUUAGUUAUAAUAGUUAUAAACAAAGCAACUGAAACAUGACCUACACAAAAUAAACAUCCAGCUUGAUAAACCAUGAGAUUUAGGUGCAUUUUGGUUGAUAAGUGUUGAAUGUCUAUGUAUAGCUAGGGAUAAGGAGCCAAAACAGCCUCCUUUUGUUGGUAUCUCACAAAUACAAAACCUGAGUCAAUCCACUCCUUCCACCCGAUCCAUCUAUCCGAUUUAUCCAUAUGAUCCAUUUAAUUGUUAUUUUAUCACCAAUAUGUCCAAUUAAUCCAUUCAAUUCUUCAAGUUGAUCAAUAUCUAAGUCAAUCCAUUCAUUUAUCUAUUAUGUUCAUCCAUUCCAUCAAAUCCUAUCCAUUUAUUUGAUCAAUCCAAUCGGCAAUCAUCCGAUCCAUUUGUCUGUUUGAUCCAUCCACGAUCUAUUCAACCGAUCCAUCCAUGUGGUUCAAUCAUUUCAUCCGAUUAGUCCUUAUUAAUCCACCAUGCCAUAUAUAUGAUCUAUGUUUUUUUAUUUACUCAAUCGAUCCAUCUAUCUAAUCCAUCAUUUAGUCCAUAUGUUUGAUCCAUCCAUUUAAUUAAUCAAUACAUCUCAUUGAUCUAUCCAUCUUGUCCAUCCGAUCAAUUCAUCAUUUUAUCUACUUAUUUGAUAUAUCCAUUCGAUCCAUAUAUAUGCUUUAUCCAUUCAAUCCAUCUAAUUGAUCGGUAAAUUCAACGCAUCUAAUUGAUCCGUCAUGUUCUAAGUAUAAUCCAUCGAUCUAAGAUCUUAAAUGGUUAAACUCUUUUUAUNUCUCUCUAUAUAUAUAUAUAUAUAUAUAUAUAUAUAUAUAGGGGAAGGCUCAUACAAAAAUAUAAAUGAUUUGCGAAAACGAAAAGAACCUGUUAGAAUGCGCCACCUCAACAUUAUAUUUUGAUUAAAAUUUGAAAUUAAAUUUAGGCUUUAAGGACAUUUAGGUAAUUUACUGAAUUAACUGCAUUUACAAUUGGUUUUCUUCAUUAACUGUUUUUUACGAUCAUGUUCUUCAUUAACUGCAUUUUACAAUGGGGUUUCUUUAUUAUCGUUGCUUACCUAUUUAUUUAUUUUUUAAUUUAUUUGUUAUUGGUUUAUUAUUAAUCGUUUUUCAUUUAUUCAAAGGCCUGAGAUAUCUUGGGCUUUUUUAUGGACAUCAUUAUUUACAAUCUUUUGCAAAGCGAAAAGGCAAUUUCAGGGAGUAUUAAAUUGAAUUAAAAGACCAUGAUGCUUUAAAAAAAUGUUACAACAUUUUCAUAUAAGUGUAAAGAAAAUUCAGAAAUUUACCAAACAAAAGUAUAGCAUAGAAAACAAAACAAAGAUGAAUCGCUAACGUUCAAGUCCUAUAUCAACUUUCUCUCACGAUAUCCCAUCUCCUUUCAGUUACGGGUCACCAAAUAUGACUUGCCACCAUCGACUUCUCUUCGUUCUCGUUGAAAAGCUGCAACACCAGAAGCAACUGUCGUUGUCCCCUUCAUCUUUAAUCCUACAAGCCAUCCCCCGUGUCUGCAAACCACAUGUGUUAGGCUGCAAGUCCAACUCAGCAGGAAAUUCAACAUGUUUUUUUUAUUUUCUCCAUAACUGUUAUUAAUAAAGAAAACAUGCAUCAUGUAAAAUUGACCAGCCAGUUUAGACAAUAAUAAUAUCCAAAUUCAAUACAUACAUUAUUUGACUCAUUCUCAACCCAUUAGUUUUUCUAGAUCAAUUGAUAACCGGAUAUAAAACAGAAUGAGUUGUAAUUAAUAAUAAACAUUUGGCAUCAAUAUUGUUGCAAAUGGGGAUAACUAAUGACCUUAUGUGUGAGUAUGUUUAAUGACUUUUGAAGUGUGGAUACAAGGUCCAGAUCUUGUAUAUAGCAAUCAAAGAUGGAAAAUAUUAUGUAACUUGAUUGACAAUUUUAUAUGUAUGUGUUUUGCAAUAAAAUCAAUGCUUUGAAGAAACUAUGUAAAGUAAUUUAUUCUUUUAGACAUAAUCAUACAAAUCAUGUGAUAUUGGACGCAUAAAAAACUAUUGUAAUCUUGUUGUAAUGAUGAAAAACUUUGUGAUUUAUUGCCCAUUUUAUGUAUGUAUUGCUUAUGAAAUCCAAAAUGAAAAUAAUUUUAAGUGGGUGGUCAAUACUCUCUGCAACAAGUUUUAUAUACCACUGUCAAUUUUCAAUGAACAUAGAGCUACAAAAAUAUUAGGAUAUCGACUAACCAAAAAUCAAAAAAAUUUAGAAAACUAAAUCACCUGAAUCACAGAGAGUAGUGACAUACGGUAAAUAAAAAGAUAGAGAUUUCUUGAAUGAACCAAUUUUUGCUUAGGGUUCUUGAGAGGGCACAAUCGACGAGUUAUUGACAGAAGGAAAGAGAGGUACUUGCGAGUAAAAACGGGCGGCUGUGUAAUAGAAGUUUGUGCUAUUCUUGCAUAUCGCGAAAACGCCUGCAGUUUCAGUUAAAAUUCAUGUCACAAGCAUUAGAACUUUACGAGCUUUAGCUUAUAACUAACACAUAUAAUCAAAAAAAUAUGAAUCCGUAAGGUUUUAUGUUAUCUCUGGGAAUCUACAUUCUAAACUUUUAGCUACAAAACAAAUUAGAAAAUCACAAUCUUCGUAAGCCUAACCAAAUUUUAUUGCCAUAAGCAAAUAAAAUAUGAAAUCCAUAAUUUGAAACUAAAAUUAUAUAUUUGUAUAUCUAAAGUCUAAACCAAUCCAAAUUAACCAUAUUAAAUUUCAUAUGAUAAAGCUCAAACCAUAAACAUGGCCGAUAAACAAUUUCAUAUGGUUGUAAACAAGACGGAUAAACAAUCAUAAACCAUCGCAAACAUGUAAUCAAACCUUUUUAUAUCUCCAUCGAAAUACAAUCAUUAAUAACUUAUGAAUUAAUCAGAAUUCUUGUCAAAAACACAUGCAAAUCUAAAAAAACGACUUAUAUUAAUCAUUUGAACUGACAAUCAGUAAAACAUAGGAGCUUAGGGACGAUAAAAAUUAGGGAAAAUAGAAAAAACCUCAUGUAGAUGAAUAUGAAUGCAAGUGCGGAGGGCGAUAAAAGCGAUUAUGCAAACGGAAGAGAGCAGUGGCAUCCAAACGAAGGCAUUUUCUCAUAUGCAUCCGACAAAGCACUAGCAGUGAGACCCUCAUCAUGGUGCGUUGGUUGAUUGAAGGAGACAUACAAGCAACGACUGCCCACAAUUGACUACUACGGCGGUAGUCACUGGUCUUUUUGGUGGUGUUGGGAGCAGCGGAGGCGGUGAUUAAGUUUGGUGCUAAUGGGAUUAUCGGCGACGAUGAUGAUAACCGGAAGUUGGAUUAAGGGAAGUUAAAGAGAGAGAAUUUAGAGAAUAUGAAGUGUGGGAAUGGAAAAAAUGUAAAAUUACGGAUCAGUACAUAAUCACGUUUUUAAAGUUAAUAAUUUAUUUAUAAAUUAUUAUCAAUAAAUAAUUACCGAUGGCUUAUUCUGAUUGGUUGUUUUCAUUUUCACAAGUUAUUUGUGUUUUCACGUGAACUUACUUCUAUAUAUAUAUAUNNNNNNNNNNNNNNNNNNNNNNNNNNNNNNNNNNNNNNNNNNNNNNNNNNNNNNNNNNNNNNNNNNNNNNNNNNNNNNNNNNNNNNNNNNNNNNNNNNNNNNNNNNNNNNNNNNNNNNNNNNNNNNNNNNNNNNNNNNNNNNNNNNNNNNNNNNNNNNNNNNNNNNNNNNNNNNNNNNNNNNNNNNNNNNNNNNNNNNNNNNNNNNNNNNNNNNNNNNNNNNNNNNNNNNNNNNNNNNNNNNNNNNNNNNNNNNNNNNNNNNNNNNNNNNNNNNNNNNNNNNNNNNNNNNNNNNNNNNNNNNNNNNNNNNNNNNNNNNNNNNNNNNNNNNNNNNNNNNNNNNNNNNNNNNNNNNNNNNNNNNNNNNNNNNNNNNNNNNNNNNNNNNNNNNNNNNNNNNNNNNNNNNNNNNNNNNNNNNNNNNNNNNNNNNNNNNNNNNNNNNNNNNNNNNNNNNNNNNNNNNNNNNNNNNNNNNNNNNNNNNNNNNNNNNNNNNNNNNNNNNNNNNNNNNNNNNNNNNNNNNNNNNNNNNNNNNNNNNNNNNNNNNNNNNNNNNNNNNNNNNNNNNNNNNNNNNNNNNNNNNNNNNNNNNNNNNNNNNNNNNNNNNNNNNNNNNNNNNNNNNNNNNNNNNNNNNNNNNNNNNNNNNNNNNNNNNNNNNNNNNNNNNNNNNNNNNNNNNNNNNNNNNNNNNNNNNNNNNNNNNNNNNNNNNNNNNNNNNNNNNNNNNNNNNNNNNNNNNNNNNNNNNNNNNNNNNNNNNNNNNNNNNNNNNNNNNNNNNNNNNNNNNNNNNNNNNNNNNNNNNNNNNNNNNNNNNNAUAGUUUUGUUUCAUGACAUUUAUUAUGUUUUUAUGUCAUAUUCGUUUCAUGAGAAAUGAUGUCGUCACAAUCUUCCCAAAUUAAUAAAAUAUGAAUUUAUUUCUCUAAGUCGAAUGUUUCUUAUGUUAUAUUUAUUUAUUGAAAAGAACCAUGGAUAUUCGCAAAAGAAAUAAUGAAGAUAUAUUUCUUGCAGACAAUGCAAUAACACAUAGCAUUUUUAAUAAUGAAAAGUAUUUUGCUUACUUAUCAAUUAGAGAAGCAAAUGUUAAUAUAAUAACAGGUAAUGCAAAAAUGAUUGAAGGCUCCGGAAGAGCGAAUAUAAUAUUACAACAAGGGAUACUAAUUACAAAUUAGUGAUGCAUUAUUUUUGUCUAAAUCACCAAGAUUGAAGGCUCCGGAAGAGCGAAUAUAGUAUUACCACAAGUGACAAUAAUUACAACUGGUGAUGCAUUAUUUUUAUUAAAAUCACCAAGAAAUUUAUUAAGUUUUAAGGAUAUUCGGUCUAACGGAUAUCCUAUUGAAACAACUAAUGAUGGUAAUAAAAAUUAUCUCAACAUUACAAAAAUGAUAUCGGAUAAGAAAAGUUUUUUGGAAAAAUUACAUGUAUUGUCCUCCGGAUUGUACUAUACAAAUAUUACAAUGAUUCAUGCUAUUGAAAAUAUUACAAUGAUUCAUGUUAUUGAAAAUAAAAACGGUAUGNAAUAGUUUGGCAUGACUAGUUGGGCCAUCUCGGAUCAAUUAUGGUAUGUAGAAUAAAUGAAACUUCAAGUGGUCAUUCCUUGAAAAACCAGAAGACUUUUCAAGAUAAUGAAUUGUGUAGCAUGCUCUCAAGGAAAAUUAAUUUCCAGUCCAUCAUUGAACAAAGUUGGGUAUGAAAGUCUUAGUUUCUUACAAAGAAUUCAAGAAAAUAUAUAUGGACUAAUUCAUCCAACACCAGUGGACCAUUUAGAUAUUUUAUGGUUUUAAUUGACGCGUCAACUAGAUGGUCACAUGUGUGCUUGUUGUCUAGUCAUAAUUUGGUUUUUGCAAGAUUACUUGCAUAAAUAAUUUGCCUAAGGGCACAUUUUCCCGAUUACCCAAUUAUGAAAAUUUGACUUGACAAUGUUGGAGAAUUUACAUCAUAAGCUUUUAAUGAUUAUUCCAUGUCGAUUAGGACAACUAUUGAACAUCAUGUUGCAUAUGUUCAUACACAAAAUGGUUUAAUUGAGUCGUAAAUCAAACACUUUUAAUUAAUUGCAAGACCAUUACUAAUGCAUUCUAAACUUCCUAUAUUGACAUGGGGAAUGCAAUUUUACAUGCAACAUCACUUAUAUGCAUAAUGACAACUAGUUAUCAUGAGUUCUCCCCUAUUUAACUGGUUUGCGGUCAGGAACCAAAUAUUUACCAUCCAAGGAUGUUUGAAUGUAUAAUUUAUGUACCCAUUUCUCCACCUCACUUCACAAAAAUGGGUCCUCAAGAAGAAUUAGAAUUUAUGUUGGAUAUGAAUCUCCAUCUACAGUAAAAUAUUUAAAAUCAUCAAUUGGAGAUUUAUUUACAGCUAUAUUUGAUGAUUAUUAUUUUGAUGAAUCAUAUUUUCCAACAUUAGGGGGAAAAUAAAGAAACUGGAAAAUAAAAUCUCUUGAAAGGAAUAGUCACUUUCAAUUUUAGAUCCUCGUUCAAGUCAAUGUGAACUUGAAAUAAAAAAGAUAAUAUCUUUACAAAAUGUAGCAAAUCAAUUGCCAGAAGCAUUUACUGACCCUAAGUGAGUAACAAAGUCUCAUGUACCAGCUAUACUUACUUCAGUUAGAAUUGAUAUCACAGAAGGAAAGAAAAAAAAUACAACUGCAAAUGAAUCUUAGGCACGCCUGAAGCGUGAAAGAUUAGCCGGUUCCAAAGAUAAAAAUCCUCGAAAAUGAAAUGAAGCAAAUACAAUUGAUGGUCCAAAAGAGAAAACAUAAUCUCUUGAAAAGAUUAAUGAAGCUCUAGAAGAGCCCAAUGACAUAACAAAAGAAAACAAGGUACCCGAAAAAAUGAAAAUGAUGAGAUCUCAAUAAAUUAUGUCAUGACAUGAAUAAGAUGAAACCGAAAUAAGAUAGACAUCGACGAUAAUUUUUCAUAUCAUGUUCCGCGCGUGAUUAUAAAGAAAAUGAGGAUCUUGAACCUAAAUCUAUUGAGAAAUGUAUGAAUAGAAAAUAUUGGCCAAAAUGGAAAGAUGAAAUAAAUAAAUAGCUUAAUUCUAUUACUCAACGAAAAGUUUUUGGACCAGUAGUCCGUAUACUAAUCAGAGUAAGAACAGUGGGACACGAAUGGGUAUUUAUGCGCAAAAGAAACGAGAAAAAUGAAGUUGUGAGAUAUAAAGCAAUACUUGUUGCACAAGGUUUUACCCAAAGACCCAAAAAUGAUUAUGAAGAAACGUAUUCUCUGGUAGUUGAUGCAAUUACAUUCAGUUAUUUUAUAAGUUUAACAACAUAUGCAAAACUGGAGAUGUGUCUAAUGGAUGUAUUUACCGCCUGUUUAUAUGUUUCACUUGAAAUGAUAUUUAUAUGAAAAUCCCAGAAGGGUUUAAGGUGCUAGAAGCACAAACUUCUAAUUCUCGUGAAGUAUAUUUGGUAAAAUUAAAUAAAUCUUUGUAUAGAUUGAAACAAUCUGGUUGUAUGUGCUUCAAUUGUUUUAUUACAUUUCGGUUGAAAGAGUGCUAUAAAAAUGAUCCAUUAAGCUCAUGUGUAUUCAUAAAAAGAUGCAGAUAAGAGUUUAUCAUAAUUGAUAUUAUUGUAGAUGAUUUGAACAUAAUUGGAACUCCAAGAGAAUUGGAAAAGGACGCUUCCUGUUUGAAAGAAAAUUUUGAAAUGAAUGAUCUUGGUAAGAUGAAAUUCUAUUUGGGUCUUCAAAUUAAGCACACAAAAAUGGAGUUUUUGUACAUUAAUAUCUAGAAAAGGCGCUAAAAAGGUUUUAUAUGAAUAACUCACAUCCAUGAGUAACCCGAAGGUGGUAAGGCACUUAGAUGCCAAAAAGGAUCAAUUUCAGCAUCAUAAAAAACAUGAAAAUCUUCUUGUUCCAGAAGAACUAUAUCUUAGUGCUAUUGGUGCACUAACAUAUCUUACUAUUAAUACAAGACCUGAUAAAUCUUUUGUCGUAAACUUAUUAGCAAGAUAUAGUUCUUGUCCAACAAGAAGAUACUGUAAUAGAGUCAAACACAUUCUUUGAUAUCUUCGAGGUACAAUGGAUAUGAAUUUAUACUAAUAAAAUUCUUAAAAUGCGAAGUUAAUUAGUUAUGUAGACGCUAGAUAUUUAUCUGAUCCACACAAAGCUCGAUCCCAAACAAGUUAUUAAUUCGCUUGAUGAGGUAACGUAAUUUCUUGUCAUUUUGUUAAACAAACUUUAGUUGCUACUUAUCCAAACCAUGCAGAGAUUAUAGCAAUUUAUAAGGCAAGCCAUGAAUGUAUUUGGUUAAGAAAUUUAACUCAAUACAUUUGCAAGAAUUGUGGUCUAACUUCUAACAGAGAUGUUCUAACCAUACUAUGUGAAGAUACUACAACUUGUAUAGCUCCAUUCAAGGAAGGAUUUAUCAAAGGAGACAGAACCAAGCAUAUAUCACCAACGUUUUUUUCACUCAUGAUCUUCAAGAAAAAGAGUGUGGCAUCAACAUCUAGAAAAAUCAAUCCAGUAACAAUUUUCCUGAUUGGUUUACUAAAGCACUUCUUACAUCGAAAUUGAAAAGAUGGUACGAAACAUUGUUAUGCGGUGCUUCAAGAGAAUCAAGUGAUGUGCUAAUCAGGGGGAGUUGGAAACAUAUUGUACUCUUUUCCUUAGCUAUGUUUUUCCCACUGGGUUUUCUUAGCAAGGUUUUUAACGAGGCAAUUGUUUCCAAUAUCUAUUAUUAAUCAUGUACUCUUUUUCCUUAAUAAAGGGUUUUUCCCAUGAGGUUUUACCGAUUAAGGUUUUAACGAGGCAUGAUACAAUCGUCAUUCAAGGGGGAGUGUUAUGAAUUAUUAUUUAGUGAAUGACUAUUGGAUUCUCCAUAUUCCCCCAUUACUCUCCAUAAUUAGUGAACAUUAUAGCAAACAUUAUUAUGUGUUUUAUGAGUGUAGUUAUGCACCACUAUAAUGAGCAUUCAUAUCAUACAUCACCUUUCAUCUUCUUUGUCUAGUAUAAAUAGUGAAUAUUAUGUAUUGUAAAGUUUGAUGAUUUCAUCACAAGUAUUGGAAUAAAAGCUCUCUCUACUCUCAUGUCUUUCUUUACUCUAUAACUUAUCUUGUUAUUUGAUCAUAUUUUAUAACAUUUUNNNNNNNNNNNNNNNNNNNNNNNNNNNNNNNNNNNNNNNNNNNNNNNNNNNNNNNNNNNNNNNNNNNNUAUAUAUAUAUAUAAUCAUUAAGUUUUACUUAUAAAAAGAAAAAGCAAAGGAAAUAUUAUAUAAUCAUUAUAUUUUAUAUAUGUAAUGUCAUUAAAUAUAUAAUAGAAAUAGUUAAUUAGUAAAGAAUUAAGAAUAUUUAAAACUUUAAUAUAAUUAACACUUUGUUAUUGAGUUUUUUUAAGGACAAAAAAGAAAUGAUAUAUAUAAAGGAAAAUAAAUUUUUUUUUGCCUUGAAAUAUAUCCUCCAAAAUGUGGGAUGAUGGGAGGGGAAGGAAGAAAAUAGAUAGUAUAAGAGUGUAAGGGGAUGUUUGACUUAGUUUUUUACAGUCCAAAAAUCAUUUUUAAAAAAGUUACAAAAAGUCAGGAUUUCCUGACUUUUCCAAAAAGUUUAUUUNNNNNNNNNNNNNNNNNNNNNNNNNNNNNNNNNNNNNNNNNNNNNNNNNNNNNNNNNNNNNNNNNNNNNNNNNNNNNNNNNNNNNNNUUUUUUUUUUUUCCAAAAAGGACUUUUGACUGUGAAAAGCUAAGUCAAACACCCCUAAAUUGAAAUGUGAUUAACCUUCUAUUUCUUUUUAUUAUUAUUUUUUUCAUUCUCUUCUGUUUUAAACUUGAAAACAUGCCGUAAGGGGAUAAAAUGAAAUGCGAUUAAUGGAAAAAUUGUUAUANNNNNNNNNNNNNNNNNNNNNNNNNNNNNNNNNNNNNNNNNNNNNNNNNNNNNNNNNNNNNNNNNNNNNNNNNNNNNNNNNNNNNNNNNNNNNNNNNNNNNNNNNNNNNNNNNNNNNNNNNNNNNNNNNNNNNNNNNNNNNNNNNNNNNNNNNNNNNNNNNNNNNNNNNNNNNNNNNNNNNNNNNNNNNNNNNAAAUCCAUCCAUCAAAUCUCUAUCGAUCUAUUCUUCAAAUCUAUCAAAUUAGAUACAUCUAAUUGAUCCAAACAAUGGAUAUGUCCAUAUGAUCCUUCUACCUUGUUCAUUAAUCUAUAUGAUUAAUCAAAAUAUAUCCCACCCAUAUGUGCACCCCUUCUAUCCCAUUCAUAAAAUUCUUCCAUCCAAUCCAUUCAUAAGAUCAUUCCAUCUAAUUCACUUAUUAGAUCAAUCUAUUGGACCGGUCCAAUCGGUUCAUCUAAUACACCAUCCAAUUAGUCUAUACAAAUAAAUACAUCAUAGGGGUUUAUUCAUAUGAUCAAUAUGGGUCCAUCUAUACGAUCCAUCAUGGGCGUGUCUAUAUGAUCUAUCCAUUUGUCAUAUCUAGCUACACAUUUGAUCAUAUGAUUCAUCUUAUGGAAGAGUCUAUUUGAUCCAUUUGUCAAUUGAUUUCUUUAUUUGAUCCAUUCAUCAAUCGAUUCAUCUGUUCCAUCCACCACGACCAUCCUUUUUUUUUUCACACACUUGAUUCGUUUCUUUAAUCUAUUGUUAGUCCCAAUAUGUUUGUUGGAUUUGAUGAUGACAUAACAUCUAAUAAACUAACCACUAUCAAACUUACAUUAUUGUGUGGUUAGACAUAAUAAUGAAAUAACAAAUGAAUGGAAUAGACGAGAUAAUAAAACGAUAUUACUUUUCCAUUGUCAUGUUUUGUUAUUAUAUUGUAACCGAAACAAUCAUUAAUCCGUGUUAUUUGAUACGUGAAAAGACCAAUUAAUGAAAUAAAGUUACUCGAAAAUGAAAAAAAAACUUAACAAAAUGCAGGUAUUAUUAUACGUAGGUCGUAUAGACCUAUCAAAGUAUAAUUUUGAUUUGUUUCCUUCUUACUGUACAUAUAAGUCGUAUGCCUAUUAUUAAAAACUUUAGGAGACCAAAGAGAGUACAUAUUAUUUUUUUGCACAUGUAUCUCUAUUUUUUGGUAAAUUUGAGAAAUAUAGUACAUAUAUGUAAUACAUGCACUUAUAGAGAAAACGCGAGCAUUAUAAAUUUGCCUUGCAUAUUUAAAUCAUGAAAAAGCAUUUAAAGAUAUCAUUUGAGAUUUGAGAAGCAUUGAUGUCCUCGUGUCUUCACCCCUGUUUUUUUAGAUGUUUUGAAUUCAUUUAUCGUACUGUACGUUUUAGAUAAUAAAAUAUUACAUAUACAUAAAAACUUUUGAGAAACCUAUGUAUCUUUUAAAAGCAAAGAAAAAGUAGUUUUUGAGUAGCCUAUAUACAUUGUUAUUUUAUAUCUUCACAGUCUAACAUAAUAUUUUGGACAUGUAACUCAAGUGGAAGAUGCCUAUAAGAGUAGUUAGAGAAGGCGAGUUAAGGAUAUGCAAUUUGGAGGAAUAAGACUACUCUAUAAAUGGUUUUUCAUAUUGAUGGUUGUAUGUUUCACAUUGUAUUAAAACAUUUGAGAAUUUAGGUUUUAAAUAUAUUUGAGAAACUUGGGACUUCCCGUACUUAUUUUUGAGAAACAUUUUAUUCUGGUUAAGUAAACGAUAUUUUCAGACAUGUCAUAUAACUAUAUAAGUUUUAUAUUCUAACUCCUAUGUGGCUUAUCGACGACAUUCGUGGUGUCGGUAGACUAGUUUUGUAAUAUACUGAAAAGUUAGAUUUUGAUAUGGCCUCUCUUUUUAUAUGGGAAGUGAUUCAUACACAACAAUUUUUUGCCAUACACAACAAUUUAUGCAUUAUGAAGUUGUACAGUACAACAUUUUAAAGCACUGAUUAUUGUGUAUGGAGAAAAAUUAUUGUGUAUGGAGAAAAAUUAUUGUAUACAAAUCAUCUCCUUUUUAUAUAAAAAGCUGAUUUGUUAAAUACUCCCUCCGUCCCAAAAUUAUUGUCCACAGACAAAAAAACACACAAAUUAAGAAAACAUUAAUUACCACUAACUUUAUAUAAUAAAAUCACAGUUUUGUCCUUAUUUUGCAUUUAAUGUUCCAUUAAAUGCUUAAUUGGUUAAGUAAUAAUGAUAGUUGUAUUUUGGUAAAAAUGUUAUUUAUUUUUAGAAGUUGAUUAUUAUUCGGGGACAAACCAAAAAAAAAAGAUUGACUAUAAUUUUGGGACGGGGAAAGUAUUUUUUUUUUAUAACAUUAUAACUACUUUAAAGUAUAAAUUGUUGUAUCACAUUCCCUUUUAUAUAGACUCCUUCCCAAAACAAAUCGGUCAAAGUCAACAUAUAUACAAGUAAGGAUGUGUUAAAACGCACGUGCAUGCACAUGGGCAAGUGAAGCUGGUUUCACAGUUAAGUAGGUGAGAAAAGCAUUAAAAUGGAGCUAAUUAAGGGGGAAAAAGUGAUGGCAUUUUGAACACCCACUAAAUUACAUCACAUGAAGAAUUUAUCCUUACUAAAUUUCUUGCAUUUAUUUCAUCCAAAUCCAUGUUACUUUUCUUUUCAAUAUUAAAUUUUAUUUACUAUAAGUAAAAUAAACAAAAAUAUGUGUUCGGAAAAAACCUUUUGUUCACAUUUUAAUUCUAAUUUGCACAAUCGUAUAUAGGUGUUAUCUGCUUUGUUUAAGGACCUAUAUAUUUUAAUUUUUAACUAUCAAAGCAUUGAAAAGAGAAGAUACCAUCUGUUUUUUUAGGUAAUAUAAAUUACAGUUAAAUAUGUUAACACUAUCUUCUUUAAUCUUUUAUUCUUUUGAAUUUGAUCAAAAGUAAAACAAAAAUGAUGCCAUUCAUAUGUUUAUAAAGAGUACGAGUGUGUCAUUGAUCGACAUAGAUUUCUAUUAGGUUUUAUGACUUGAAUAGUAAAAACAUAAUAACGUUUGUAUACAACAACAAGAAUAUCUGAAAUAUAACUCUCACAUAAUCAUAAGUUUAUCAAUUCAUAAAACAUUCUUCCAUAUUACUUCAGGAGUUACCUUCUAAUUAGUUUCUCUAUAUCAUGUUAUGGGGACAAGUUAGAACCUUUAAAAAUAUGAAUGCAUUCUCUGACAUUCUCAUUUUCAUGGUCAGAAAAGAGAUUUUUAUUUUAAAAACAUAGUUUAUUUAUAAAUGCGGAAUUUGUCCCAUAAAAGUAGAUCCAAAGGAAGUUUUCAUUGACGAUUAUAAUUUUAGGAUGUCAUAACUGAUACAAGAAACAUAAACAUGAACAUAAUCAUUCCUGACCUUACAAUAUCCAAUAACCUACAUUUCCUUUAAUCUCUCAUCAAAUCCAAAUAUUUGACCUUACAAUAUCCAAUGACCUACAUUUCCUUUAAUCUCUCAUCAAAUCCAAACAUUAAAUACUUUUGUAUUGAUAUCUGUGAUACAAAGAAACUGAGUGGGUCAGUUUGGGAAACCUGGUGAGUACAUAAAGAUUUCAAUCCCACAAUGUUAUAUAUAUAUAUAUAUAUUAAAAAUCUGUAUGAUCAACUAUUAUCAUUAACACAUAUAUAUCUCAUGUAAUCAAUCUACCCCAUCCCGUCGGUCCUCACAUAUUGAUCAUAUACGACCUUGCGACGUUUAUCUGGAAAGAAUAAAGUGAACAGUAAUUUGACUAUGUUGCUUCGGGGAUUUCUUAGCAGUAGUCGAGGAUGAAUGGAGACAACAGAUAAAAAAUGGAAUACUUGAACUAUAGUACCUAAUCCAUACUCUCGGAUUAGUGAUAAAUGACUGUACAUAAUCCAUGCUCUCGGAUAAAUAGUAAAUAACUAUACCUAAUCCAUAUUCCCGGAUGUAACAUCCGGAUUCCCAGGUAUUCUAUGUUAUUCAUUUAUUUUGAGUUAGAGAGAAGGACUCGACGAGUCGAUGCCUAGAAUCGUCGAGUAGGAUCGCGAUUUGCUGACUGGAUUAAUGAAUGGAUUCGACGAGUUGCCAGAAGAGUUAUGUGGAUAGGCGACGAUCCGAACUUGAGUUUCAGGUGGGAGACUUCGUACUCCUGAAGGUGUCUCCUUGGAAAUGAGUGAUCCGAUUCAGGAAGAGGGGCAAGCUGGGGCCUCGGUACAUUGGUCCGUUCAGGGUGACCGCGAGGGUGGGCAAGGUAGUGUAUCGUUUGGAGCUACCUGCGGAGUUGAGCCAGAUUCAUGAUACCUUCCACGUGUCUCAGUUGAGGAAGUGUAUAGCCGACGAGUUGGCAGUGGUGCCGCUGGAGGAUAUUCAGGUGGAUGCGAGCCUGAAUUAUGUUGAGAGAACGAUUGCGAUCCUGGCUCGGAAGAUCAAGGUUCUGAGGAACAAGGAGGUGCCCCUGGUUCAGGUCCAGUGGCAACAUCGGAGAGGGUCCGAGCUGACUUGGGAGUCAGAGUUGGAGAUGAGCAACAUCCAGAGUUGCUUGCCGAGCGAGGCUUUAAGGGCGAAGUCUGAUUCUAGUGGGGGAGAAUUGUAACAUCCGGAUUCCUAGGUAUUCUAUGUUACUCAUUUAUUUUGAGUUAGAGAGAAGGACUCGACGAGUCGACGCCUAGACUCGUCGAGUAGGAUAACGAUUUGCUUACUGGAUUAAUGAAUGGACUCGACGAGUCGGCAGGGUGACUCGAUGAGUCGGCGCUGAGGUCAGAAACCCUAAAUCUGUGGGCCUGAGCCCUAUUUAAAGGACCUUAUCGCCCUCAUUUGCGGCUACCAGUCCAGAGAGAGAAACCCUAGAGAGCUUGGGCGAGUUGUGUGUGAGAGCAAGCCAUUUUAAUCCUUUUUGGUGUUGUUUUGCAAAGAAGAAGGUGUUUCCAACUAGAGGAGAUCAAGAGGGUUGCUAAUCCGUGGUUUCCAAGCUUGGAUCUGCAGUGUUGAGGUAGCAAAUCGAACUCUCCUUCUGUUUUGGUUAAGAUCUAUGAAUCUAGGGUUUUCUAUACCCUUUUUAUGGCUUGAAUUUAUGAGGUUAUGGUCCCUUUAUGUGUUAGACUUCAGAUCUUGACCCAUAGAGGUCCAGAGAACUUUAUCCAUCUUGCUUUAUGAAGUGUUAUGGAAGGAAUGAACUUAAGUUGCCAUUUUUGAGGCUAUUUCUUCAAAAGGAACCAUAUAUGUGUUGCAUGAGUGUAAAGGUUUCACCUUUACGUGAUUAGUGGGUAUGGAAAGGUCAGAUCUAUAGGUUAGAGAAGCGGAUCUGAUCUCAGAAGGUCAUUUGAGUGUUGCCAUGGAUGCAACUCGCCGAGUUCAUAAGUGGACUCGACGAGUCGAGNAAGGGGACUGGGCGAGUCGAGUCGGGGUUGCCCCGCGAUUCGUGACAGGAGUAACCCGUUGAGUGAAGGGAUGACUUGACGUGCCAAGUGAGGCUAGAAGGAUUUAAAGGACCCGCAUGGACUCGCUGAGUCGACCAUGUGCACUCGACGAGUCGGGUCAAAGUUUGACCGUUGACUUCAGUUGACCUUAGGGUUUUGGUCAAGCUGAUUCAAGAAAGUUCUGGGAGGGGUAGAAUGGUCUUCUACCCAUCAUUAAAGAUGAGAUUAUGAGAGAGUAUAUAUUAGGGAUGUUAUUCUUAUAGGAGGAGGCUAGAUCGGGUAUCCGGGCACGGGAGAUUAUCCGAUAUCGUACGAGGUGAGUCUUCUCACUAUACAUUACCUAGAGUGGUAUCCAUGUGUAGACCAGAGGGUCUUGUGUGCUAUGUGUAUGUAUGAGAUUAUGUGCAUUUGUUAUAUGUAUGCUAUGUGUUGUAUAGACCGGACCAGAGGGUCCAACGAUAUAGACCGGACCGAAGGGUCCAACGAGCUAUGACUGGAGCAGAGGGUCCAACGAGUUACGGGACUGGAGGGUCUCGCUGAGACACAUCGAGCGAAGGGUCGUGCUUCAUCCUCGAGUGACAUAUAUGUUGUAUGUGGUAUUUUGGGGAACUCACUAAGCAUUUAUGCUUACCGUGUUGUGUGUUAUAUGUUUCAGGUACCCGUGAGGAUCGCGGGAAGGCGCCAACAUGAUCUGUACACACUUGCGGAGUUUUUAUGUAUUGGGAUCUUGGGAUUUGUUUUAUGGAGUUGUCAUGUGAUACUUUGAGAUUUGAUAAUAUUAUAACAGAAAUUAUGUUUUUAAAGUGAAAAAUUGUUUGGCAAAUUUACGUUGUUACAAGUUGGUAUCAGAGCCUUGGUUUGAGGGAUUCAGAUGCACCUUCGGGCGUAUCUGAACUCAAACUGAUGAUUUGAGAAAUUUUUCACAAUAAAAACAUUUUUUUCUAAAAAGGGUAAAAGGUUUUGAGACGAGCAGAGUGGAGCAGUGUGUACGAUCAGCCAGCGCCCGAACGGUGAUUUCCCCAAAUACCUUUACAUUAUGUGUUAUGAGAUAUGAUAUGAUAUGUUAUGCAUGCUAGAGUAGGCUAGGUAUUCAUAUUAGGACUAGAGUGGCCUGAUCUAUGAUGCCUUAGCCUAGGGGAUUUCUGCUACUAUGAGAUGCUUGAGAGUGAGUAGGUAGCAGCGAGGAGCUUAUGAUAGGUCUGCUGGAGAGUAGCCUAUGCGUAGCGAGAUUAGAGUACUUGUGAUCUGGGAUCCUAGGAGGAGGACUUGGGGUGAAUAUUGAUGUGGUGUGGACGGUAGUAUAAGGGCCCGCACUACUGAAAGCACCGGAUCAGUGCGCAGUCCAAGUAAGAAUCCUUAGGGUACUAAGGAGCAAGUAGGGUUGAGUUAUCGAGUGCGAGUAUGCUCGAGCGAGUCUCUGAUAUUCCUUAUGUUGUAUUUCAGAGGCAUCAUGAUUGGGACGCGCCCCAGACCAGGGACCAACGGUGUGAGUAACGAGAAGCUUCGUCAGAUGAUCCACGAUGAGGUGGUUGCGGCUAUCCGUGCAGAGAUUCCGGAGAUGUUUGGGUCUAUCAAGAUCACUUUGAUUGAGACAUUUGACGAGAGAUACGCAGCGGUUACUGCGGCUGUGGCUGUGGCUGCUGCUAGACCUUAGGGGGUGACUUGUUGCUGUUUCGGGAGUUCAGCAACACGAAGCCACCAGAGUUUGAAGGGACGCAUGAUCCAAUUGCUGCCAUGAGAUGGAUUUCUGAUAUUGAGGGAUGUUUCUAUACCUGCUCGUGUCCGGAGCAUUUGAGAGUACGGUUCGCGCCGAACCAGCUUCGCUUGGGGGCGAAUGACUGGUGGAAGUUUGUGUCGGCGGAUUUCACCACUGCUGAGCUUGCUGCGGUGACCUGGGAGAGGUUCACCGUUAUGGUUGUUGGAUUUCAGAAGUGCUAUAAUGUCAAAAUGGUCUUGCCCUCUGGUAUUUCAUGUCUGGCCCAUGUCUAUACAUAGUAGUUGAAAAGUAUUGUUUAACACUUAUAAAACAAUAACGCUCGUAAAUACUCGCUGUAAAUAUUAGACUAAAUCCUAUCGGUAAUGAUACCAGGUUUCGCCGAAGGAAAAUAUAAUUGUUAGAAGCGAAGCUCUGCACGAGUUUGGAAUCAUCACUUUAACGAGUGAGUGCAUAGUCCCUUUCAUGAACAUGAUUUUAAUACAAGUAUUAAUUAAAGUACUAAAUAUCUGUUAAAGAGUUAAAUAUUUUUUAAAGAGUUUAUAUGUUAGUACAUAGUCCCUUUCAUGAACAUGAUUUCAAUACAAGUAUAAAAUAUCUGUUAAAGAGUUAAAUUGUUACGCAUGGUUCUUGGUACGCAUUUAAAUUAUUAUUUAUUUAUUUUUGUAGAGCAACCCGACGGGUUGGGAGCCCCAAACUCAUCGAGUAGAAACAUAAUGGACGCGAGUUUUAAGUAACUUACUCGACGAGUUAAGAGCCCUUAACUCAACGAGUAGGGCUGCCAGAAUGAAACCCUAAUUUUGGGGUUUUGCACCCUAUUUAAGCAUCCUAAUCCCCACUUGCUGACCUCAUUUCCAGCUUCCAAGUCCCAAACCCUAGAUUCAGAAACCCUAAUGCAUUUGUGAGCUUAUGAGCCAUCUGUGAGUGAAACUUUGUGUGUUUUGAAGCUUGUGAAAGAAAGAGAAGCUUGAGGAUUCAAGAAGAAUCUAGUAGAUCCAGAGACUCCAAUUCUUCCUCAUCAUUUUCUGGUAACCAAGUCUCAAACUUGCUUAGUAGCUUCUUAGAGCUCUUUAUCAUUAUUUUAUUGGGUUUUUGGUCCAAGAAGCUUGAUCUUUGGGAUAAGGACGUCCCAAGUGAGUAUACCUUCAGAUCUGGAGCUAUGGAGGGCUUUCAUGGCAUAAAGGUGCAAACUUUAUGGCCAUUGAAGCCCUACGCAAGCCAUAGGAUGUCAUUUUGUCCUUUUAAGCUCCAAAAGGCCAUGCAUGGAGCGAAAGGUGGAAGCUUUACGUGUUCAUGUAAUGUUUAGGGUCUAGAUCUCUGUUUGUAUGCUUUAUUUGGAGUAUGGAUGGCUUGUGGACCAAGAUCUAGGUCCUAAAGAGUUAGGGUUUGAGCUAAACCCAUUAAGUAAAGGUAUUAACGGGUAAAGUUGGAAACUUUACCCUUAGAAGGAGAUUUUCAGUGUAUGUGAGAAGCAUGAAGCUUAGAUCUGAAGAGUAUGGGCUUAAUCCAUUAAGAUAGCCCAAACAGACUGAGGAACUCGUUGAAUCCAUAGAGGAACUUGACGAGUUAAGUUGAUUUGUCUCGAUUCUGAAUAGGAUAGAACUCAACCUAUCUAAGGAAGGACUCGACGAGUUGACUCGUUUAUCACGAGUACGAAUAGCAAGGGAACUCGGCGAGUUAGGGGAAUGACUCAACGAGUUGGAUCGCGAUGUCAGAGUUUUUAAUUUAUAGAACUCGACGAGUUGAUGGAUCAAAUCGGCGAGUUGAGUCAAUCCAGAACGUUGACUUUGAUCAGAAUUUUGACUUUAAUCAGGGGUAAAAUGGUCAUUUUACCCUAAGAAGGAUUAUUGGAUUUUAACUAAGUGUUAUUGUGAUAAUGAUAGCCGGGGAGUCGUUGGAGCAACAGUUAGAGAUUCCUCACCGCGAGAUUUCACAGUCAGCUUUGAAAGGUGAGUUUUCCUCUAGUAGGAAUGGGUCGAAGGCACCAAUGUCGGCCCAUUUAUGUUUGUUAGCAUAUGUCGAACUUCGGUCCGAUGUCGGGUUGUGCCCGAUGUAGGUUUAUGUGUUUCCGGACUUCGGUCCGAUGUCGGGGCAAGACCGAUAAAUGUUUGUAUGCUUGGUAUCUUCGUGAUGAUUCUUGCAUGUGUCUGUUAGAAUGUGUCACACCCCCAAACCAGGCGACAGAAACGACCGGGGGUGGAUGACUUCAUUUGUAGUUUCACAACACAUGCAUCAUAGUAAUCAAAGUACAAACAACCAUUGUAUUUAAAAAGUAUAAAUCUUUACAUGUGUUCAAUCACUGUAUAUUGAAACCAAAAUAGUUAUACAAAAGAAGAAGACAUGACUCAAAAUAGCUCCAUCUUCUCAAAAGUUUGGGGAGUACUUGUCUACUGAUUCCCUGAGAAUACAAGUAAUUUGAAAAGAGAGUAUCAACAUAAAGUUGAGUGAGUGCAUAAGUAUUUAUGUUUGAAAGUAUGUUUUCUGUUUCUUGAAUAUGUGAACUGUUCCAGAAAAUCCUAUAUUUUCUGCUGUAUAUGAAGAGUAGUUUUAAUCUCAUAAAACCGUUCUGUUUGUAAAAUAAUGUUCUAUAUUUAUAUUCCUUUAUGUAAAACUUCUAACUGUGAGUGUGCCUGGUUCCACCAGCUGUUAUUGUAAACUGUAAUGUAAUACUGUAAAUUUGUAUCUUGUAAACUAGUACUUUGAAAAUGUACUUAUGUUUAGUUAAUUAUACACUAACGUAUUGUUAAUAUCUUUUUUAAUGAGUUAUUAUAACCAUACUGAGACUAGAUAGCAGUCUGAGUGUGGGGUUGUCAACCCCAAUAUAGAUCUAUACACGCAUUGUUUUGAUCCCCGGCUGGAGAUUCUGGUUAUAAUGCUAGGACUUUAACUAUGUUGUUUAAAUGAUUUAAACAACCUGAACCAAAUGACUCAUAAAAAGCAUAUAGAAGUUUCAUGUAUAUUAGUUAUGAAAACUCAAUCAUUCUGAAAUGAAUGAUUGAUAGUAUGCCCUUGAAUUAGUAUAUGAAAAAUGUAUACUUUUGUUUAGUUUUAAAUCAAACAUUUGUUCUUGUAAAAUAGUGUACUUUAGUAUACUUGAAUCGUCAAUUAAUGUUCUGUGAAUAAUAAAUUAUACGUAUUAUAAUUUAUAUGUAAUUUCUGAACUGAUACCGAGUGUUCAUGAAUGCAACCCCUUGCUCAACAUGUUACAAAGGGUAUCUAAACUGAAUGAAAUAGCUUUUAUAUUUACAUACAUAUACAAUUAUAUAUAAGUAAAAUUUAAACGACAUUCAGACAAAUAACCGAUACUAUAGGCCCACAUCCAAACAAGAAAAAGGAACCAAAGUGAGUUAUCAGUCCUAAGACUNUAUAUAUAUAUAUAUAUAUAUAUGAUUUCUGGUUCGGGUGCAGCCUUCUGAUCUCGAGCUAAUACUUCAUAACACUAAUUUCUUAAGUGUACAAGGCUUAAAAGUCUAUGUAUGACCCUUAACACAGUUAGAAUAUAACAGAAACAAGUCUAACUUUUGAUUGAUUUGUUUGACUUACAAGAUAGAAAAAUAACGGGAUGUUACAUUAUCCCCCCGUUAGAGAGAAUUUCAUCCCGAAAUUUGGAUUAAAGAGAUAUAGAAAGACUAGAGAAAAAGAUGUGGAUACUUCUAUUGCAUUUGAUCCUCCCGCUCCCAAGUGAAUUCCGGUCCCAGUUUUGCAUUCCAGCAAACCUUCACUAUCGGAAUACGACUUUGUUUGGUUCUCUUUACUUCCCUGUCUAAGAUCUCUAUGGGCUCCUCCACAUAAUUGAGAUUAUCGUUAACCUCGAUCUCGUUAAGUGGGAUCACAAGAUUCUCAUCGAAUAAACACUUUUUCAAGUUAGAGACGUGGAAAGUAGGACGUAUGUUACUUAGUUCUUAGGGUAGUCAGAGUUUGUAAGCUGCUGGACAGAUUCUAGCAAGAAUCUUGAUCGACAUAUGUACCUUGGAUUCAGAUUGUCAUGCUUUCCAAAGCGUAUCACGCCUUUUCAGGGUGAUACCUUCAACAUGACAUGGUCACCAACCUAGAAUUCCAAAGGUUUUCUUCUUUUGUCAGCGUAGCUUUUCUGUCUAUCUCUAGAAGCUUUAAGUCGCUCCUGGAUUUGUACGAUUUUCUCCAUAGUUUCGCGAAUGAUUUUCGAACCAAUAAGAGUACUGCCAGGAUCCUUGACUUUUAGCUAGCUGUGUGUCACCCACUUCAGCCCAUCACAGAGGUGAUCUGCACUUGCAGCCGUAAAGAGCCUCGAAAGGAGCUGCCUUUAUGCUACUGUGAUAACUGUUAUUGUAAGAGAAUUCGACAAGGGGUAAGUGAGUAUCCCAUGCCUUUCCAAAGUCUAUCACGCAAGCUCGCAACAUGUCUUCUAAAGUUUGAAUCGUCCUCUCACUUUGUCCGUCGGUUUGUGGAUGGUAUGUUGUACUCAUGUCCAGCCUAGUUUUUAAGAUUUUUGUAAAGAUUGCCAGAAACGAGAGGUGAAUCUACUAUCUCGGUCAGAAACAAUAGAUAUUGGCACACCAUGCAGUCUAACGAUCUCCUUGAGGUAAGUUCUUGUUAGUUUCUCCAUCUUGUCGGUUUCUUUUAUUGGUAAGAAGUGUGUGGAUUUGGUUAAUCUAUCGACGAUUACCCAAAUAGUAUCAUAACCACCCAAUGUCUUGGGUAACUUAGUUAUGGAAUCCAUCAUAAUCCGCUCCAACUUCCAUUCAGGGAUUUCAGGUUGUUGCAAUAAACCUGAAGGUUUCUGGUACUCUACCUUGACGUUGGCACAAGUAAGGCACUUGCCCACAAAGGUAGCGAUUUCGACCUUCAUGUUAGGCCGCCAAUAUAGUUUCUUGAGGUUCAGAUACAUCUUGUCUGAACCUGGAUGAAUGGAGUAUCGAGUUUUGUGUGCUUCAUUCAUAACUACGUUUCUGUAACCACCGAACCUUGGUGUCUAGAUUCGGUUCAUGAAACAAUAUACUCCAUCAUCCCUGACUUCUAAGUUCUUAUCCAUUCCUCUCAGGGUUUCACCUGCCACGUUUUCGGGUUUUAAGGCCUCGAGUUGAGCCUCUUUGAUCUGUAUGGACAGAUGUGAAUGGAUUGAUGGUCAACGACUUUACUCAGCGCACCAAGUAUUCUUUUCUGCUAAGGGCGUCAGCUACUACGUUAGCUUUAAUAGGGUGAUAAAGAAUCUCACAUUCAUAGUCGUUCAGUAGCUCCACCCACUGUUGUUGUCUCAUGUUCAACUCUUUCUGAUCGAAGAUAUGCUCGAGACUUUUAUGGUCCGUGAAUAUUGUGCAUUUCGUGCCAUAUAAAUAAUGUCUCUAGAUCUUCAGAGCAAAUACCACUGCUCCUAGUUCAAGGUCAUGUGUUGUAUAGUUGACUUCAUGUGUCUUUAGUUGUCUUGAGGCAUAGGAUAUAACCUUUCCUCUUUACAUAAGAACACAUCCAAGCCCUUGAUUAGAAGCAUCACAGUACACUACAAAAUCCUCUGUCCCUUCAGGAAGAGACAUGAUCGGUGUACUACACAGAGCUCGCUUCAGCGUUUGGAACGUUGUUUCUUGCUUCUCUCCCCAGCUAAAAGUUACACCCUUUUGUGUCAAGGUGGUAAGAGGUUUAGCGAUUCGAGAGAAAUUCUGGAUGAAUCUGCGAUAGUAGCCAACAAGACCUAAGAAUUGACGGAUUUCUAUAGGUGUUCUAGGUGCUGACCAGUUCUCAAUUGCCUUUAUUUUGGAAGGGUCCACGUGUAUUCCUUCUGAACUGACCACGUGACCUAGGCAAUCAACUUUCCUGAUCCAAAACUCGCACUUUGAGAACUUCGCAUAGAGUUUCUCUGUUCUAAGAGUUUGCAAUAUUUGACGAAGAUUUUGGCCAUGCUCCUCUUCACUUCUUGAAUAGAUAAGGAUGUCAUCAAUGAAGACUAUAAUGAAUUUGUUCAGGAAUGGAUGACACACUCUGUUCAUUAGGUCCAUGAACACUGCGGGUGCAUUCGUCAAUCCGAAUGGCAUCACUAUAAACAUAAUGACCAUAACGAGUUCUGAACGCGGUUUUGGGAACGUCUUCCUCCAAAAUUCGUAAAUGGUGAUACCCGGAUGUUAAGUCUAUCUUUGAGAAGUAGUUCUCACCUUGAAGUUGGUCGAACAGAUCGUCAAUGCGAGGCAGAGAAUAUUGAUUCUUGAUGGUAAGUUUAUUCAGCUCGUGGUAGUCUAUGCACAUACGGAAUGAUCCAUCCUUCUUCUUCACGAACAAAACUGGUGCUCCCCAGGGUGAGAAGCUUGGUCUUAUGAAACCCUUGGUAAGGAGUUCGUUCAGCUGGCUGGAUAAUUCCUGCAUUUCAGAAGGUGCAAGACGAUAGGGGUAUUUGACUACAGGGGUAGCCCCAGGGAUUAAGUGUAACAUCCCAAAAAUACGAGCAAAAAAUUUCGUUUUUAAAACAUGCACUUAGCAAAACAUUUAGAAAUAAAUCAUUCAACAACCAUUUCAUUUCACAAAUGAUGUUGCAUGUCAGAAAACAUUGUAAUAAUCAUAAAAAUGUCAGAGUACAAUCUCCCAGGUAGAUGUCAUAAUGCGGAAUACAAACAGGUGUGUGUGUGAUGUACCGCUACCGCGCCAGCUCCUUCCCCUUCGACGAAGAGGUACCUGAAACCAAAACUGAAAACCAUAAGCACGAAGCUUAGUGAGUUCCCCCAUAAUACCUCAUACCAUGCAAGCAUACAACAUACAGCAAGGAGAUACGGGCCUCACCCACACUCAGGGAGAUACGGGCCUUGCCCACACUCUGCUAGUCGGGAGGUAUGGGCCUCGCCCACACUCAGCCGCUAACCCAUAAUAUACAAGUAUCACACAGACAACGAGUGUAGAGAUCUCUAUCAUACUGGAAUAUAUCAUAAUCAACUCAACCAAGAGAUACGGGCUCGACGCACACUCUAAUACUAAAGUCUCGUCUAUACGGGCCGGCCUUGGCGCCAUAGACCCGUUACUACUAGAAGAAAACUCACCUCAAGGUCCCUGCCGAUCUGUGUGGGAACUAACUGUCUGCUGCUACUGCCGCUCCGGAAAUCCUCCGGCUAUAAUUCCCACAAAACCCUUAGUCAAAUACUGCUAACCGACUUCAGGGUAAAUUGACCAUUUACCCUUACAAUCAAGAGUCAACUCACAGUCAACUGCCAGUUGACCAGACUCGCCGAGUUGGCUUGCCAACUCGCCGAGUCCCUUUCCCUUAGUUUGACCAUAAAUCCGUCUCUACUCGUCGAGUUAGACGUAGACUUGACGAGUUUUCCUUCUAUACCCAAGGCCCAUAGUCCUUCAUCCUACUCGCCGAGUUGUAUGAACAACUCGUCGAGUCUGUUCUUGAUCUAAGAAGGUUGCCUUGAACUCGCCGAGUCAUGACAUUGACUCGCCGAGUGACUUCAUGAGUGAGUCUAGCUUCCGACCCAAUGAGUCACACCUAAUGACUCAUUACUCCCAACUCGCAAAUGCGAAAAAGGGAAAAACUCGGGGACUCACGACUCGACUCGCCGAGUCAUCUGAACGACUCGCCGAGUCGGCCACAUGCAAAAACUACACACGCGAUUCUGCUUGGAUCCAGCUCAUGCCAUUCAUAGAUCUGGGUUCUUAGGGCAGGAUUUUCACGUAAAGUUUCCAACUUUACAUGUAGAAAUGCAUAGAAUGGGGAUUAUGUAACGCCCGGGUUUCAGGGCUAAGCAUUUUUGUCAAUGUAAUAGUCUAGGUCAACUCUUGUAACUCUUUUUGAAGUAAUAAAGAUGAAAUAUUUGAGUAUUAUGUGAAUUAUAUGUGUUUAUUAUUUAAUUAUAAAUGUAUAAUUAAUAAAGAAUAAAAAUGAGCGUCAAAAUUAAAGUGUGAGAUAAUCCCGAUAUCUCUACAUAAAGUUGUAGAAUAUGUCUCAAGGUUUCCGUGCAUAUAAGGAACGCCGAAAUCCGAGUUAUAACGAAGAAGUUAUGACCCGUCGAAGUUUCACGACAGAACCGGCACGAUACCGGGAAGCGUGAAUAGUGAAUUUACGAUAGAGCGAGAUUUAGCCUUAGUGAUCUAAACGAAAGUCGUAGAAUAUGUUAAACUAAGAACAUCGAUAAAAAGAACGCCCAAAUCUGACUUCGUAUGAAGAAGUUAUGAGAUUUUAAACAGACCAAUCCUGUCCCGGCUUGUUAAAAAUAUAACUUUAAAAAUAAAGUCAAAAUUAGCCGACGGAGUCUAAACGAAAGUUGUAGAGUACGUCUUCACCUACGCGUGGAUAUAAAGAACGUCAAAAACGGAGUUCGUAUGAACGAGUUACAAAUUAUAAUAGCAUAUUUACGUAUUAAAAUAAAGUAUAAAUCAUGUAUACGUACACAUAUAUAUACAUAUGUAUAUAUCAUUAGAAAGGUAUCGACGAUGCGGUCAUUAUAAGACUAAUGUUGAGUUCUUUCGACAUUAGUUUAGUACAAAUAUCAUUAAAUCCAUUUAUAAUAGUAUUAUAGAGGGGUGUUUAGUUGUUUAUAUAACUAAAAGGUCAUUAAGUAAUUAUGGAGGGUAGUUUUUGAAAAUUCAAUUAGUAUAAAUAAGAGCCUUGGGCUCUCAUAUUUCUUGCACCAUUCUCUUGAUUCAAGAGUCUUUCUCUCCUUAUCCCCCGAGCAUUUCGGUCCCUCGUGAUUCGACUUCUCUUUCUGUAGCUUAGUAUAGUAAGGUGAGCGCUGAAGCGCUGCACGAAUCUUUCUUAGAAAGAUUCAGCGACGAAGUUCUGCCCCUGCAGAGCCCGACUCCUAGCUAAAACCCCCUUGUAAGUAAGUUAUGCUUACCUUAUUUUAAUAUAGCUUAUAUUUAAAAUUAGUAUUGUUAUUAUGAACUUAUAAUAAAUAUUUGAGCUAUUAUUAUAACUUAUAUAAGUGUCGUUAUAAUAUUUUUUUUAACUACUCGCGGUACGGGGAAUCUGGUUUAAAGGGCCGCAUAGGGUUGUUGGAUUUCAGAAGUGCUAUAUGCCAAAAUGGUCCUGCCCUCCGGUGUUUUAUGUCUGGCCCCUGUCUGUACAUAGUGGUUGGAAAAUAUUGUUUAACGCUUAUAUAAUAAUAAUAAUACUAAGACUAAUAGUUGGUCACGGUAAAUAUUAGACUAAAAUUUAGCGAUAAUAAUGCUAGGUUUCGUCGAAGGAAAAUAGAAUCGUUAGAAGCAAGCGCUGCCCGAUUUUGGAAUCAUCACCUUAACAAGUGAGUGCAUAGUUACUUUCAACUUACACAUAGAUAUGAAGUAUUUUAUAUAAAUUACGUGCUAUGUGUGCAUAUUAUCUGAAUACUUGCUAUCUAUGCUAGAUGAACGUUGUUAUACAUGUUUUCAAUGAUUUAAACUGUAUAUGUAUUUUAUAUCUACGAAAAUGUUGGGGUAAAACAUGGGUAGAUGCAAUAGGUGAUGUGUGAUAAAAUGAUGAGAGGCCUCGAUGUUGAUGUUGUUGAUUCUGUCAUCUAGCGGAGUAUGGAUGACGACCACGGACUCUUCUAGACAGUCCAGUGGAACACUAGCAGGCUCGCAACCUGUAGGUGUUUGUGAACGAUAUGUUCACCGGUGUACUCCAUCCCCCACAUGGUUGCCUUUAGGACAUUUAUUGCUGAGGAAUCCCCUUAGCAGUAGUGUCCGUCCCGAUGAUGAUCCUUAGGCUAGGUCCCUUAUGAUAGGUGUUUAGGGACGUAAAGUGAGGAUAACGGGAACGGGUAAUCGGGUUAUUGUUGAUCGAUGAAAUUAAUAAACUUAUUUAUUGUGGGUUGAAAACCCUAUGUGCUCACCAGGCUCCCAAGCCUGACCCACUCAGUUUUAUGUAUUACAGGUAGUGGCGCAUGAGCAUAGGUGUGAUGUUUUGGACGAGGGAUUACGGAUAUAGGCCUGUAGAUAUGAAAUAAUGUAGUAAGGCUUAUAUUGUACUGUUUAUGCUUUUGAUCUGUACGAACAUGACAUCCCGAGUCUUUUAAUGAAAUACAUUUCUAUGGAAAUGCUUUUGAUAAAUCUUUAUCAUAUUUUUGUUUUGGGACAAAUUCCGCAACACUUUCAUUUAAAAUGUAACUCUGAUUUUUAAACAAAGCAUAAACAAACCGGUCUUUUCUGGCCGUGAUUUUGGGGAUGUCACAGUUGGUAUCAGAGCAUUAGUUUAAGCGAACUAGGAAUUUUUAGGAUUUCUAGACUUAAACUUAGAAUGCUAAGCGAUGAUUGUGAGGGUGAGCACUAGCUUAUUUUAGGAUUUCCACCAACAUUUCCAGCUUUCAGACAAUCUCUUUUGAAAUUCCCCACAUCACCGCAUUGAUAGCAUGCUUGACCUACUCCAACGGCAGGUACUUGGUUAAUCGGUUGAGGUGGCGAUCUACAGAAUCGGGCAGUAUGCCCUUUUCUGUUGCAGUUACGACACUGCAUUUCCCAACAAUUUUCAUUGUGGUGAAAAUUGCACUUGUUGCAUUUGGGGAGAUUACAAGCAUAAGGCUUAGAUGGUGCAGUAUUAGCAGAUACAGUAGAAGCAUGGACCGCCACUAACUGUUGCUUUUUCGAGGGUUCUUGUGAAGAUUUUCCCUUCCUCUUAUUCCAACCUUUCUUGUUGUUGUUGUUGUUGUUGUUGUUGUUUCCAUUGGGUUGUUCAGGGGUAACAACCAUAGAGUUUUGACGAGCUCCAUGGUCAAUGAGCGACUGUGCCAGUUCCUUGGCACCGUCAAAGGUAACAGGCCUGGAAGCUAUGACAUUUGGCCACUGUUGUAAAAAUCCCGACUAGGACCCGAUUAAUCCCUAGGCGCUACUCGACUGAUUAGAGGGCGCCUAGCGAUUAAUCAUUGCAUACAUAAUGAGUGAAGCAUUAUAAAAACGAUGAAUUUUUAACAUUUUGAAGAAGUUUUAUCUCAAUGGAAAUUAUUUGAGGCAUGAUUAGGGUUAUAUUAAUCAUAUUAACCUAUUUUGUUAUCAUAUUAGUGAUAUUUAUGAACUUUGAUAUGAUAUUAGUCAUAUUUAAUUUCUUAAAAUUCAACAAAUUAGCAAUUAAUGGUACCCGAUUGAUCCUCCGAUUAAUCUCCGUCUAGCCGAUUAAUCCCUUGACCCCAAUCCACCGACUAGCUAAUGUCGAGUGUUUUUUGCAACCUUGCAUUUGCCUGAAUCUGGGGUGACACCCCCCCAAAUAUACCUCUCUAUCAUUUUGCUCUCAAGGGCAACCAUUUCUGGACAAAGAAUCGCUAAGUUACAGAAUCGAUUUGUGUAGGUUGUUAUGUCCGAACCAACCAUAAAAAGACCCAGAGCUCUUGCUCGAGCUUAUGAAUUUCCCCUCACGGACAGUACUCCCGCAUCGGCAUGGUCUUUAAGUUCUCCCAACUUAUAGAGUUAGCCACUACCAGGGUCAGUGACUUAACAUGGCCGUUACACCAUGUUAGGGCUCUAUCAGCAAAGGUACAAACAACGAAUUUGACCUUGCUGCUCUCCGGACAAGAGGAGAUUUCGAAAAUUGCCUCUGUCUUCUCAAUCCAUUAUCUUAACGCCAUCACUCCUCCAGUCCCGUUAAAGGUCCUGGGUUUGGCGUUUGAGAAAUCUUUAUAGGUACACUCUCGUGAGUGCCCGUGACUCUCGACGUGGUUAGAGGGAUACACACCAACUCCUGAUCCACUUGCACCAGGGUUGUUUAUAUGAGACAUAGCAGCUGCAAUAGCUGUCGUGACCACCGCCUGAAACAUGGCAGCGUCGAAUUGAGGAGGUGGUGGCAGAGGUGGUGGCGGAGGUGGUGUUGGCGUUUCAUUAUCGGGGUUAUGCCUUGGGUUUCUCCGAGGAGGCAUCUUUUACUAUAAAAAUUAAAAGAUGAAACGAUGGUAAGAUAUCAAGAGUGAACAUGAAUUUGAUAUCUCUGAACUAAAACAUUUAGUUCAAUAUGAAUCUUGUAAUGAAUUGGAAAUAGAAGUCUACUACAAGUACAACUUGCAACAGGAUAAUAUGAAAUUGAAUGGUUAUUUUUCAAAUUACUGGCACAAUGAAUACAUAGAGUCUGAAAAAUUUGACCCUAAACAGGUCUACAAUACACCAAAUUACUGGAAAAACAUCAACAUCAAACCGACCUACCGAAAAUGAAAUUCUUCCGCGGUCGUACUGAAAAACUUGAAAACAACUCUAGAAUAUAUCCGUAGACUUAACUAUAACCAAAAGAGUAAACAGAGGGCGAGUAUAGUAUACUCUAUCUCUUAAACUAAAAGAAAGGAUGACUAGAGCAUCUCCUACUGGAGACGGGCACCACUUGGAUGAACCCUUAAUUCGGCCAGCUGACGUUCCACAUCAAGCAGGUGUCUUUCAUACAUUGUCUGGCGAGCUCGGAGCUCUAUGACUUCAGCUCGAGUUGCAGCUAGCUUUUGCUGCAGAGCCUCAUUGUCUCUCAUGGCUCUCCCAUGAGCAAGUUCAAGAUUGCGAAUACGAUCUGUAUUAGCGUUUUUUUCCGCAUCAAGCUCCACGGUUUAUUGAAUGGCUAUCAUUCCUAGCUCAACAUUUCAAGCCACUCGGCGAACCAAGAUGGGAAGAAUUUUGUCUGCAGAGCCUCCCUCACUUAGGUUAUAGAAGCUUCGGUCUCCGUUGUAGGGUAAGGGUUGACCCUACUCCUGGCUCCACCUACCCAAGUUCUCAGCCCACGAAGGUGUCGGGCCUUGAAAAGCCGGACGAGGGUUAGGAUUUGGGAUUGGAGCCACUAGGGGUAGAUUAUUGACUUCUGGCUCAGAGUCAAAAUCCUCUGGGAAAUUUUCUGCAAAAUCGUCAUCUAAAGGGAUUUGAUGAUUCUCUUCUUUCUCUGCAUCGAGCCAUCCACUAUUUACUUGGUCGGGAAAGUACGGGUCUCCGGGUAGAUGAAAUCCAGCCAUUGAUAUCUAAGCGAGGAUAGGGAUAAGAGAUAUAGAAUAUAACUAGUAACGAUAUAUUACAAAUCCAAGUUUCUACGAGAGUAACUUACAGUUAACAAGUAAUGUAUUCUGUAUGACUUGUUUUAGGUAUUACUAUAACUACAAAGUGUAUACUAAUUAUAUAUAACUUGGGUAUAAUCGACCUUCGAUUAAAUGCUCCAACUCUAAAUCCACAACCAAACAACGAAAAGGAAAUAAAGCUAGAUCACAUAUUCUAAGUCUAUAUAACUUAAAUUAUAUGUAACUGUAAUAUACCCUUAAUAUUUAUAGUUCUACCAAUAAUAGUUCUUUUGUUUUCACAUAUUUGUUAUUAGUAUAUAGUGCCUAAAAUACUCUUAUAGUAUUUUAAAUUUUAUGUUCUGUUCCGGAGUUCUUCUAUAUAUGUAUAGUUGGUAAGUUUUAGACAUGCCACAACACUUCCAUCACUCCCAAACACAUGUUGGUCAUAUCUCAAACCAAUAUAGUUGAUCAGUGUGACAUCCCCAAAAUCACGGCCAGAAAAGACCGAUUUCAUUUAUGUUUUUUAAAAUAAUUUCAGAGUAAAUCCUUUUGAUUUAAAAGAGUUGUGGAAAUUGUUCCCAAAACAAAAUAUGAUAAAAUAAUAUUUAUCAAAACAUUUCAUCAAGAGAUGCAUUUUCAUUAUAUAAUCAAAACUCGGGAUGUCUUGUUCCGAUACAGACCAUAAAGCAUAAACGAUAACAUUACAAGUCAUUCAACAAAUAUAUACAUAUACAGACUUGUAAACAAAACAACUCGAUGAUUCAUCCAUCUUAUGCCCUUGCGCCACUUCCUGUAAUACAAAUAAAACUGAGUGGGUCAGGCUUGGGAGCCUGGUGAGCAUAUAGGGUUUUCAACCCACAAUAAAUAAUUAUAUUUAAUUUCACCAACCAACAAUAACCCGAUUACCCAUUCCCGUUAUCCUCACUUUAUGUCCCUAAAACAACAUCUAUCUCAAGGGACCUAAUCUAGGAUUUUCAUCGGGACGGACAUUACUGCUAAGGGGUUUCCUCAACAAUAGAUAUCCUAAAGGCAACCAUGAGGGGGAUAGAGUACACCGGUGAACACAUCGUUCACAACACCUACAGGUUAUGAACCUGCUAGCGUUCCACAGGACUGUCUAGAAAGAGUCUGUGGUCAUUAUCCAUACUCCGCUGAAUAACUAGAUCAACAACAACAACAUCGAGGCCUCUCAUCUGUUUAUCACACACCAACUAUCUACCAUGUUCUACCCAACAUAUUAGUAGAUAAAAAAAAUAUAUUUAUAUACAUAGUUUAAAACAUGUAUAGCAUUCUCAUUCAAUACAUAUUCCACAUAACAGAUGAGGUACACCCACAUAACACGUAUUUCAUAGAGAAUAAAUCGGAUCUAUGAGAUAGAAGAAAGUGAAUAUACAUUCACACACAUAACAACAUAAUUAUACACAUAACACGUAUUUCGUAUAAAAUACUUCAUAAUUAUGCGUUAGAAGAAAGUAACUACACACUCACUUGAUCAGAAGAUGAUCGGACAGCACUACGACUUGCAGAAGUAGUAUUCUUCAGUAGAUCUGGAAGAUCUUUACAAAAAUCGGGCUUCUCGCGAGCAGGGCUUCGGCUUGGGAAUUGCACUUCUCGGGAUCUUCGGGGCUUCGGGACUUACUUCGGGGCUCGAGAUUGAUACCGGGGCUUCGGGGUAUAAAUGACACGCAAAUCAAGGCAAAAACUAGAGAGAAAGGAAGAAGACAAAAUUGCAAAAAUGGUCCCUGUGGUAUGCAUUUUUUGGGGUUUCAGUCCAAACCUUGGUUUUUUUGGAUUGAUGGUCCUUUUGGCCUAGUUUGUACGUAAAAUUGGUCCCCCGACUUAACUUCCGUUAAGUAGUUUUUGUUAACUCCCUCAUGUGCCUCUCACAUGAGGGUAUAUUUGUCUUUUCACUUUUAAAGGGUCAUUUUUGCAACUAAAAAAUAUAUAUCCUCUUUUUUAAAAAAAAUAAUAAUAAUUCCUAUUUAUUUAUUCUAAUAAUUAAAAAAAUAAAUAGGUCUCUCUCUCUCUCUCUCUCUCUCUCUCUCUCUCGAUUUUCUAAAGUCAAAAUCAAUCUGAUACCGAAUCUCCAUUUAGAACAAAUAGGAAAACCCAUACAAAGAAAAAACCCAUAAGAAACUCUUAGCCCCCACUUCCAACGUGGUCCUCCUGCUCCGCCACCCCUUUUCUUGUUGAAACCACCUCCAACGCCACUAUCAUUUUAGUAGCGACAUCAAUCUUCACCGUCAUCUCCCUUGUUCUUCAACUUAUCUCCUCACUAGUGCUUGUUAGAAAGAAGCGUGCUCCAAUCUAAUUGUAUUGACUGGAUUAUGUUUGUAAUUAACAGGAAAGCGGAGUAAGAAAGGAAAUCGAUUUCAAGUAGCAAGGGCUCGACAACAUCGUGUCAAAUUAUCUCAAAUCUAAGGUUCUACAGCACCCAGCUCUCGACGGAGGCGGAGAUGGGUGGUGGUGUUGGUUGGAAUAUGAAGAUUGGAAGAAGAUGAUGAUGUUCGUGAGGAAGAAGACGGGUGCACUCUAGGUGCUCGACGUUAUGUCUAGCUUACUCUUCGGUCCAAUUCCUCCGUUAAUUGGCUCUCUAAAUCAACUCAAUCUUCUAGGGGUGGCUUACGUCGGUGAUGGGUAGCAGCGUGAACGACAUCGGAGGUCGCAAGAGAAGAGAUAUGAUCAAAAGAUUCAUCUUUUGGUUUUGGGUCUCUCUCGUGCUUCUUCUUACCCCAUGUUUCUCGCUUAGUAAAUCAUCAAAAGAUUCAUCUUUUGGUUUUGGGUUAUCGAGAAACAUAAGUGCUUUCAAAUAGUCAUGAGAAGAGAUAUGAGUUUCAAUGUUAACAGAAGGAAAUCUAAAGAUUCCCUAGAAAAAUCUUGGGAUUAUGUGUUUCAUCUCGCUUCUAUAUGAGGUAACCUAACAAAAGUCAUCGGAACUUUUUAGAGUGUCGGCCUCGAUGGAUCAUCAAAAAAAAUCAAGAAGGGGAAACUCAUCUUUAUGUUGCUACAGGAAAUGGACACCCAUAUGUCAUAACAAAGUUUUUAAAACACCUUGAUUUUCAAACUGCAUGGUGUGUAUCCAUUAAGUACAUAAGUCUUAAGUCUCGAUAAACCAUGAUUUUAGAUGGCUUACCAUGUCUUAAAUUCAAAUCCCAAACCUAUAAUCUUUGAGGACCAUCGUGCUCUUUUGCACAUCUCUAUUUGUUUUGUAUAUAAUGGAACUUAUUAUACCUAGAACAAAAACCCCAUUUCAAAAUCAAACCAAGAAAUGGAAUCAUGGAAAAAUCUAAAAAUUACCGAUAACAAUAGAUUUUGAAGGACAAGGAUAAAAAGGAAUGGUAGAGCAAGACAUUGUAAGGAGGAGUGGAGAUGCAUCCAUAGCAAGAGGAAAUGAUAUGGAUGGUGGUGAUGGAAGGAUGACGUCUAUGAGAGAGAGAGAGAGAGAGAGAGAGACAUAUUUAUUUUUUUAAUUAUUAGAAUAAAUAAAUAGGAAUUAUUUUUUUUUUAAAAAGAGGAUAUAUUUUUUUAGUUGCAAAAAUGGCCCCUUAGAAGUGAAAAGACAAAUAUACCCUCAUGUGAGAGGCACAUGAGGGAGUUAACAGCAACUACUUAACGAAAGUUAAGUCGGGGGGACCAAUUUUACGUACAAACUAGGCCAAAAGGACCAUGAAUCCAAAAAAGUCAAGGUUUGGACUGAAACCCCCAAAAAAUGCAUACCACAGGGACCAUUUUUGCAAUUUUGUCAAGGAAGAAUUUGGCAAAAGAAUAAGGCUGCCCUCGCAUGCCCUUUUAUAGGAGGAUGAGGCAUCGCAUUACGCUGGGCGUAAUGCUCUACGCGGGGUGUACUCCUCCGAAAUCGUCACUGCUUAUGUAUCCGAAGAACUCGAAUGCGAGUCGCGUCAUGCUUCGCUGUACGCUGGGUGUACAGCCCUACGCUUGGCGUAACCCGGAUAAGUCUGGUGACUCCCCUUCGGAUAAUAUCGGAUUAAUAAUUAAAUUUAUAUAUUAAUUAUUUAAUAAACUUCAAAAAUUCGUAUCUUCUUCAUACGAAUUCCGUUUUCGACGUUCUUUAUAUCUACGCGUAGGUGAGACUACGUCUACAACUUUCGUUUAGACUCCGUCGGCUAAUUUUGAGUUUAUUUUUAUUAUUUAUUUUUAGUAGGCCGGGACAUGAAAACUCCGUUAUAAAUUCAUAACUUCUUCAUCGGAUGUCCGUUUUCGCCUAUCUUUUUAUCGUUUCACUAAAAUUAACGAGAUCUUCGAUUUUCGUUUAGAUUGUUUCGGCUAAAAACCGUUCGGUCUAAAAUCGAGUAUUCGGGCUGCAUACUGCUAAGUCGAAACUUAGAAAAAUCAUAACUUCCUCAUACGAAGUCAGAUUUGGACGUUCUCUUUAUGCACGCUCUCGGUUUAACAAACUCUACAUCAUUCGUUUAGAUCACUAGGGCUAAAUAUCGCUCUAACGUAAAUUUCACUUUUUACGUCAUUUAGCGUUGCCGGUUCUGUCGCGAAACUUCGACAGAUCAUAACUUCUUCGUUAUAACUCGGAUUUCGACAUUCUUUAUAUCUCCGGAAUCCUUGAUUCAACCACUACAACAUUAUCCAUAGAUAUCGAGCUUAUAUAACAUUUCAUUUUGACGCUUAUUUUUAUUCUUAAUUCAAUUAAGUCACACAGUUAAACACAAAACACAUAAUACCCAAAUAAUAUACUUCUAUUAUUUCAAAACGGGUUACAAAGGUUAACCUAGACUAUUAUAUCAAUCAUUAAUGGCAAGCCCAGAAACACAGACGUUACAAUCAGGUUAUAUUAAUCCCAGAUAUGAUUACAUAACUGCCCAAGUUUGACUGCAGUGUCCAACAUCCAAAUACUUUUAAGUUCUUAUGAUUGUGAUACUGUACUUGUAGGUAUGAGUGUUAGUAUACUUCUUGUAAAAUUACUUAAAUUUUUAAAAAGUAUACUUGUAGUCAGAGCUCUUAGCCCCAAUGCAUUUAUAGUUUGUAUAUAUUUUAUGGAUUAAUAUACUGAGUUCACUAUAAACAAUGCUCUGAUACCAAUCUGUCACAACCCGAAACCAGACGGCGGAAACAUCUGGGGGUGGAUGACUUCAUUGUAGUAUCACAACACAUGCAUCAUAGUAAUCAAAGUACAAACAACCAUUGUGUUUAAAAAGUAUAAAUAUUUACAUGUUUUCAAUCAUUGUAUAUUAAAACCAAAAUAGUUAUACAAAAGAAGAAGACAUGACUCAAAAUAGCUCCAUCUUCUCAAAAGCUUGGAGAGUACCUGUCUAUUGAUUCCUUGAGAAUACAAGUAAUUUGAAAAGAGAGUAUCAACAUAAAGUUGAGUGAGUGCAUAAGUAUUUAUGUUUGAAUGUAUGUUUUCUGUUUCUUGAAUAUGUGAACUUUUCCAGAAAAUCCUAUAUUUUCUGCUGUAUAUGAAGAGUAGUUUUAAUCUCAUAUAACCGUUCUGUUUGUAAACCAAUGUUCUGUAUUUGUAUUCCUUUAUGUAAAACUUGUAACUGUGAGUGUGCCUGGAUCCACCAGCUAUUAUUGUAAACUGUAAUGUAAUAUUGUAAAUUUGUAUCUUGUAAACUAGUACUUUGAAACUGUACUUAUAUUUAGUUAAUUAUACACUAACGUAUUGUUAAUAUCUUUUUCAUGAGUUAUUAUAACCAUACUGAGACUAGAUGUCCUGACCCAACGCUUUGGUGACUUGAUGUCAUUUUAACACAAUCUUUGAAAACAUUUGAUUUGAGGAUAUCUGAAAUCCAUUUUGAUAAGAUAUUUUGAAACUAUUUGUUUCUAACACAAAAACUUUGUGUUAGACUUGUAUCCCCCCCCUUAAAACAGUAAAUACUAUGAAAAUAUGGGGGUAUGAACUCACCUGUAGUGAUUGAUUUAAAUGAAAGAUCGGUAUAGGAUGCUAAGAAUGCCAAGUGACGUCUUGAACACAAAUGAAUCCUAUUAAGCUUAUAAUGACACAUAUAUGUGUAUAAUUAGUGUAUAACAACUAAUUGUGUAAGGUAAACAACCUUAGGUGUUAGGAAACACUUGAAAUGAAGUUGUAACACCCAAAAAUUUACGCCAAAUUUAAACUUUUAAUACUAACAAAAGAGUCAAAUAGUAAUUGUUUUUACAAAACAUUUCUAAUCCGUUUAUCAUCAGAGUGUCCUAAAAUAGAUCAUGAGGAUGAGGAGCGGUACGGUCACGCCUUCACCUUCCCUCGCUCUCCUGAAGUACCUGAAACAAUAAACGGACAACUGUAAGCCCGAGGGCUUAGUGAGCUACCCCCAAAAUACCAAUACCAUACUGACUAAAACCACAGCCAAAACGAUCAAUCAAACAACGUACAUAUUGGGCCAUUGGCCGGACUGGUACGCCCUACUGGGCCACAGUCUAUCUGAAUCUAUCCCGAGCCUUCGGCAUGACUGGUCCGCCGCGUGGGCCUACAGUCUUCCCGGGCCGCUCAGAGGGUGUGUUAGCCUUCAGCACAAAGCAGGAACGCCUCAACCCAAACAACAAGCAACUAACCAUGUACGCAUACAAUCAUAUACUGUCAUAUACACAUAGCAACAUAUCUAUCUUAUUAACCAUCAAUCAUAGAGUUUCACUCGUAACUUGAGUAUCGACCUAUCAUGUCACUAACAUACCGAUCCUUACGGAUCAUAAAGCAUACCCUACUAUCUAUCUAUCCUGAUUCCGAUCUAACAUAUCCGAAUCAUAUGUAGCGUACCAUAAUAAUCGAUCUAACCGAUCUCUAGUAUAGCAACCAUCCUAAACAGGAUGAAUUCUAACAAAGCAAUAACAUAACACCCAUCCGAAACCAGGAUGAAAUCUAGCAUGGCAAUAACAAGCAACCAUCCUAAACCAGGAUGUAAAUCAUAAAGGGCCGGCCUUGGUACCGUAGACCCUAUCAAUAUAGUGAGGAUAACUCACCUCGCAGAUGUCGAUUGAAAUGCAAACUCCAACUAUCAGAUCACUUAACACCGGUACCACCACCUAUAACCAUGGCACAAUAUACUCAUAAGUUCUUAUUAUUAUGAGACACCCCAAAACCUCUUAGUAAUUCCUGAACAAGGUCAGAGUCCUCAGUCAAGUUCAACAGUCCAUGUUGACCUCAACUCGCCGAGUCCGUGGAGCACAUUCCAACUCGCCGAGUCAUCGAAGAGACUCGUCAAGUUCCUUCGAAUCCUGAUAAAUCCUUAAGGGCCACCCGUCGAGUUUCCUCCUUGCAACUCGACGGAUACACACGCAUGCCUAUCUAAGGGAAAAGCCAUCCGACUCACCGAUCCAAAUCACAGAUCCAAGCUUCUAGAGCAUACUUACCACGUAAAGUUGCAAACUUUACGUGCAUGCAUGGUUAUAAAGGCUCCAAAUGUCUGUUUUAAGUUCUUAAUGGAGCUUCUAGUCCAAGGGGGACUNUGGACCCCACCCCCAACCAAUACAACAACUUUAUGACUCUAGCAUCCAAUGGGGGUCCAGAUCCGAAGUUACAACUUCAGAUCUAGCCCAUAGCUCAACAUCCCAACUUGAAAAUCCAUAAAAAUCCCUAGAAUCAACAAAAGGGAAGAAAAGGGAAGUAAGAAUGGUACUUUGAUACCUUCGAACGUUGCUAGCUGAGGCAAAACUCGCUUCCCACUCCUUUCUUGCUUCAAUUUCCUUUGCACUCUUAGCUUCCUUCCUCCAAGAUCCUCUUUUCCAAGCUUUAAACCCACACCAAGGCACACACACACGAAUUAGGGUUUCAAGGGUUCUCAAAGACUGUAAGGAGUCCCAAAGGAGGCUGAGGCUCCUUUAAAUACAGGUGCAAACCCCAGGAUUUAGGGUUUCCACUGCCAGCUCCUACUCGCCGAGUCCCAAUAGUGGACUCGCCGAGUAGGUCACUAACCACGCGUUCUCACCCCGCUGCUACUCGACGAGUAGGUCGACCAACUCGUCGAGUAGAGCUUUAUCCAGAAAUUCUUAAUUAAUUAAUACCUGAGGAUCGGGGCAUUACAAUUCUCCCCUACUUGAACUAGACUUCGUCCUCGAAGUCCGCUGAAGGAAACAAUGACGGGUAAUGCUCGCGCAUUUCUGCUUCCAGCUCCCACAUCCACUCAGAUCCCCUCCGAUGUUCCCACUACACCUUUACUAAAGGUAUUUCCUUAUUCCACAAAAUCUUCUUCUUCUUUUCCAAAAUAGCUACAGGUCUCUCCACAUUGUUCAGGCGCUCAUCGACCUGAAUGUCAUCCAGCGAUAUCACUGCCUCCUGGUCCAUGAAGCACUUUCGCAAUUGCGAAACAUGAAAUGUGCUGUGGAUCCGGCUAAGUUCCUCCGGAAGCUCUAGCCUAUAAGCCACCUUGCCAACCCUGGCAACAAUCCUGAACGAUCCAAUGAAUUGGGGACCCAAUUUUCCCCUCUUCAUGAGACGGAUCACACCCUUCCAGGGUGAGACCUUCAGGAGAACCAUGUCACCCACCUGAAAUUCCAACUAAGAUUGGCGUCGAUCGGCAUAACUCUUCUGUCGACUCUGAGCGGUCUGCAGCCGCUGUCUAAUCUACUAUAUCAUCUCGGUAGUUUGCAGAACUACCUCUGUCCGACCCAUCACCCUGUGCCCAACCUCGCCCCAACAGACUGGGGUCCUACACUUCUGCCCAUACAACAGCUAGAAAGGUGGGGCGCCAAUACUGGAAUGAUAGUUGUUGUUGUAGGCGAACUCUGCAAGUGGUAGGUGGGAAUCCCAACUUCAACUGAAAUCAAUGACGCAUGCCCUCAACAUAUCUUCGAGGGUCUGAAUGGUCCGCUCACUCUGCCCAUCCGUCUGCGGAUGGAACGUUGUACUGAAAUGCAGCCUCGUACCUAGUUCCUCAGGGAACUUCUUCCAAAAACGGGAAGUAAAUCGGACAUCCCGAUCGGAAACUAUGGAAACUGGAACCCCAUGGCGAGAGACAAACUCGCGGACGUAUAGGUCGGCCAACUUCUCCGCCGACGAACUCUCCCGUAUAGCUAGGAAAUGGUCACUCUUGGUCAAUCGAUCCACGAUGAUCCAUAUAGUAUCGAACACCUUUUCCGUUCUCGGCAAGUUGGUGAUGAAGUCCAUCGCGAUCUGCUCCCAUUUCCACAUGGGAAUCUCUAGAGGCUACAGCUUGCCAUGUGGCCUCUGGUGCUCGGACUUGACCAUCCUACAGGUCAAGCACCUCUCCACGUACCAAGCGAUUUCUCGCUUCAUGCACGGCCACGAGUAACUCAAUCGCAAAUCCCAGUACAUAUCGGUGUCCCCCAAGUGAAUAGAGAAGUGAGACUUACGAGCCUCCUCCAGAACAAUCUGUCUGACCCCACCAGACAUCAAAACCCAGACCCGACUGCAACGGGUCAACAAUCCCCGACUAUCCAGCACAAACUAGGUGUUCUCACACUUAAUCCUCUCAAGUUUCCAAUUCUCUUGUUGCAUACCCUCAGCCUGAGCUUCCCUGAUCAAACUCACCAGUGGAGAAUGCACUGAUGUCCUCAUACAUGUCGCUGGAGUAGAAGAUCCAGUUGACUUGCGGCUCAGAGCGUCCGCAACCACAUUCGCUUUACCAGGAUGGUAAAGGAUCUCGCAAUCAUAGUCCUUGACUACAUCCAACCACCUGCGCUGCCUCAUAUUCAAGUUCGGCUGAUCCAUAAUGAGCCUCAAGCUUUUGUGAUCCGUGUAUAUGGUACAACGGACCCAUUACAAAUAGUGCCUCCAAACCUUGAGAGUGAAGACCACCGUUCCCAGCUCAAGAUCGUGUGUGGGGUAUCUCGUCUCAUGCAGCUUCAACUACCGCGAUGCAUAAGCUAUCACUCGCCCCCUCUACAUGAGGACUUCCCCUAGGCCUGUGAUGGACGCAUCACAAUAUACCACAAAAUCCUCCACUCCCUCGAGGAGUGUCAACACUGGCGCCUCGCAUAAACGCUGCCGGAGGGUCCCAAAUGCCUUCUGCUGCUCCGGUCCCCACCGGAAAUCCACUCCCUUCCUCGUUAGACGAGUGAGGGUACAGAAACCUUGGAGAAAUCACGAAUGAAUCUCCGAUAAUACCCUACUAAACCCAGAAAACUCCUGAUGUAUGAGGGAGAUCUCAGAGUCUCCCACUGCAUAACCGCCUCCACCUUGGCCGGAUCGACCAAAAUCCGAUCCUGGUUAAUGAGAUGUCCAAGGAACUGAACCUCUCGCAACCAGAACUCACACUUCGAGAACUUGGCAUAAAGUCGUUCUCGUCGCAGCACCUCCAACAGCUCCCUGAGGUGCUCCUCAUGCUGCUCUCGGGUCUUGGAAUACACUCAAGAUGUCAUCUAUAAACACAAUGACAGAUCGAUCGUGCAUCGGUUUGCAGACUCGGUUCAUCAGAUCCAUGAAUAUUGCUGGCGCGUUGGUGAGUCCAAACGGCAUCACCGCGAACUCGUAAUGACCAUAACGAGUCCAGAACGCAGUCUUCUCUAUGUCUUCCUCCCUCACCCUGACCUGGUGGUAUCCUGAUCUCAAACCGAUCUUGGAAAACCAAGAUGCACCUUGCAACUGGUCGAAAAGAUCAUCUAUCCUCGGGAGCGGAUAAGCGGUUCUUCACCGUUAACUUAUUCAGCUCCCUAUAUUCAAUGCACAUCCUGUGUGAACCAUCCUUCUUCCUGACGAAGAGGAUCGGUGCUCCCCAAGGUGAGCUACUCGGUCAAAGGAACUGCUUACCCAACAGUUCCUACAGCUGAGAUGAUAGCUCCUGCAUCUUUGGCGAUGCCAGAUGGUACGGCGCCUUGGCAAUUGGGGCCGCACCUGGCACUAGAUCAAUCCUAAACUCGACCUGCCUCACCGGAGGCACUCCGGGUAACUCCUCCGGAAACACAUCAGCAAACUCUCUAACCACAGGGACCUCUGAAACUGAGAGCUGCUCCCUAACCCGCGUAUCUACCACAUACGCCAAAUAACCGGCACAACCGUGCUGAAUAUACUUUAAAUCCCUGGCCGCCGAACAAAACCCUGAUCCCGGCCUGUUGCCUUCACCAUAUACUACAACUUCUCCCCCACUUGGGGUUCGAACCACUACCCGCUGUCCCUCACAGUCGAUCAUGGCGCCAAAACGGCUAAGCCAAUCCAUUCCUACAAUCACGCAUACAUCCCCCAUAGGGAUAAGAAUCAGAACUAUCGGGAAAGACACCCCGAAAAUCUCCAAUUCGCAUCCUUGGUAGACCGAAGAAGUAGAAACCCCAUGCUCGUUGGCGAUCGAAACUCACAACGGACACUCAAGAUCAUCUAUCAGCACACUGAACCCUGUAGAGAAGGUCUGAGAUAUGAACGACCGACUUGCUCCCGAGUCAAAUAAAACCCAAGCAGGCAAAGAAUUUACUAAAAACGUACCUAAUCAUAGGCACAACUAAUAAGCAUAGUACAAAUACAAUAACUGAGAUAGAGAAUAGGAACAUACUUUAACCACAUCUGGUGCUGCCUUGGCCUCCUCGGUCGUGAGCUGGAAGGCGCGACCCUGAGCCUUCGGAGGCUCCAUAUUGACUGGCCUUCCAUCUCCAAUCCUCACAGUAGUUGGCGCGGAACCCUGCGCCGGCUUGGCGGCGAGCUGCGGACAGUUGGUCUUCAUAUGACCAACCUGAUGACAAUGGUAACAAAUCAUCAUAUCUGCUGGAGGGGCGGACUGACGGCAGUCACUGGCAUAGUGCCCCUCCUUGCCACAUUUGUGGCACCCCCUCCUGCUCGACAAACCCCUGAAUGAGCCUUGCCACACUUUCCACAAGUGCGGAUCUGAUGACCCCCGGACCGUGUAUCAGCUGUUUUAGACCGCUUAGGCGCUGGCUGAGACUGUGCCGGUGCCUGACGCCGCUCCUUCAGCUGCAGCUCUAUCUCCGAAUCACACCGCCGCACAACUUCCUGUAGGUCCAGGAGGGUAUCACAUCGCUGAGUAGACACAAACUGUCGAAUAUCCGUCUUGAUCAUACUCAGGUAACGGGUCAUCUGAGACUGAUCUGAAGCAAACUUCGGGCAAAACAUAGCCCUCUUCGUGAACAUACGGGUAAUCUCCAUCACAGACUCCCCAUCAUGUCUCAAGGUCAAAAACUCCUGAGCAAGCUGCUCCCAUUCCACGCGCAAAACGUAACGGGUACGAAACGUAUCCCGGAACUCCUCCCAGGUAAUAGCAGCCCUCUGAUCAUCAGUAUACAAACCCGUCGUCAGUCUCCACCAGUCCUUCGCCCCAAGCCUCAGCAGGUUCAGGGCAUACCUGACCUUCUGGUCAGCANAGGGCAUACCUGACCUUCUGUUCAGCAGGGCAUGAACACGUGAAGAAACAUCCCUCCACGUCAGAUAGCCACCUCAUAGCCCGAAUGGCGUCCUGUGUACCAUCAAAUGUCUGGGGCUUCGUAUUGUCGAAGUCCUGGUACUGGAAAGCCCUGCCGGCUCCUCCUCCUCCAACCCCUGCAACAGUUACAGGCGAAGUGGCUGCAGCGGCAGCAGUCUCUGCUAGAGCGACAUACCGCUCAUCAAAAUACUCAACCAUCGCGGUCUUAAUCGACCCAAACAUCUAUGGCAGGUGCGCUCGGAAUGCAGCAGCAAUCUCAUCGUGCAUGAUCUCCGAAAUUCGGGCAUCCAGCUCCUCAGUCCCUAUCUGAACCACAGGCUCAGGUGCUAUCGGCACCUCCAAUCCUCCGUCUCCUGACCCUGAUCUUGAUUCUGAUCUGGAUCCGGACCCCAAAGCAACACGUCUCGUCACCACCAUACUGCAAACACACUCAAUGUAUCAGACAGAUCAUAUAACGACGGAAACCAAUUACUCUCAAUUCCUAGGGGUUGUGACGUCCUUGAUACGCGUAUGGGUCCUGUGCUUUUAGUAGUAUGGGCCCCUACUACCUUCCACACCUACCCAUAUUUGUCUCAAGUAUCACCACAACGCCCUAAACUGUAUUUAACGUAAUAUGCGCUCAACCCUCACUAACAGAGGACAUCGCCUAACUAGUAACUGAUCCUGUAGUUCCGCACCACUCACACAUCCAUGAAACUUCCAUCAUCCCCUGCAGCGCUAGUGUACACUGGCUGCACAUAGCGCUGGACCCGAUAGACUUUCGAAUAUCCAAUCCCACACUAAGGUCGAAUCGGACAUUCUCAGGCUAUAAGAUCUUGACUAUCCACAGCCGUGGUGCAUACACUAAUCAUCUACAGUUAUGAUGUCAAUCCCAUUUACAAGAAAACCUAGGCUAAUAGGUAUCAUACAAUCAGGCCAAUCUAUCGUGCGAUUCCUGAAAAUACCUAGCCUAGCACUAGCAUGUUGUUCUAACAUAUCAGAAUAUCAAAUACCUGUAUGGUAUUUUGGGCCUUACUUACAGGCUCCGACUGAUCGUACCCUCUGCAUCCUCCAUCCUUUAUUUUGAAAACCAUUUUAAAAACUUAUUUUCCGAAAACCUCCUUAGUUUGAGACUGGUUUCACACAAGUGUUCCUCCAAUUCACUCAAACCAAGGCUCUGAUACCAAGUUGUAACACCCAAAAAUUUACGCCAAAUUUAAACUUUUAAUACUAAAAAAAGAGUCAACUAGUAAUUGUUUUUACAAAACAUUUCCAAUCCGUUUAUCAUCAAAGUGUCCCAAAAUAGAUCAUGAGGAUGAGGAUCGGUACGGUCACGCCUUCGCCUUCCCUCGCUCUCCUGAAGUACCUGAAACAAUAAACUGAAAACUGUAAGUCCGAGGGCUUAGUGAGCUACCCCCAAAAUACCAAUACCAUCCUGACUAAAACCACAACCAAAACGAUCAAUCAAACAACGUACAUACUCGGCCAUUGGUCGGACUAGUCCGCCCUACUGGGCCUACAGUCUAUUUGAAUCUAUCCCGAUCCUUCGGCAUGACUGGUCCGCCGUGUGGGCCUACAGUCUCCCCGAGCCGCUCAGAGGGUGUUUUGGCCUUCAACACAAAGCAGGACCGCCUCAACCUAAACAACAAGCAACUAACCAUGUACGCAUACAAUCAUAUACUGGCAUAUACACAUAGCAACAUAUCUAUCUCAUUAACCAUCAAUCAUAGAGUUUCACUCGUAACUUGAGUAUCGACCUAACAUGUCACUAACAUAUCGAUCCUUACAGAUCAUAAAGCAUACCCUACUAUCUAUCUAUCCUGAUUAUGAUCUAACAGAUCUGAAUCAUAUGUAGCAUACCAUAACAAUCAAUCUAACCGAUCUCUAGUAUAGCAACCAUCCUAAACAGGAUGAAUUCUAACAAAGCAAUAACAUAACACCCAUCUGAAACCAUGAUGAAAUCUAGCAUGGCAAUAACAAGCAACCAUCCUAAACCAGGAUGUAAAUCAUAAAGGGCCGGCCUUGGUGCCGUGACCCUAUCAAUAUAGUGAGGAUAACUCACCUCGCAGAUGUCGAUUGAAAUGCAAACUCCAACUAUCAGAUCACUUAACACCGGCACCACAACCUAUAACCAUGGCAUAAUAUACUCAUAAGUUCUUAUUCUUAUGAGACACCCCAAAACAGUCCAUGUUGACCUCAACUCGCCGAGUGCACUUGGCCACUCGCCGAGUCCGUGGAGCACAUUCCAACUCGCCGAGUUCCUUCGAAUCCCGAUAAAUCCUUAAGGGCCACCCGUCGAGUUUCCUCCUUGCAACUAGACGGGUACACACGCAUGCCUAUCCAAAGGAAAAGCCAUCUGACUCGCCGAGUUGUUCUUCAACUCGUCGAGUUUUAUGGUGAUCUUCAUUAGACUCGCCGAGUUGUUUAUCCAACUCGCCGAGUUCAAUGACCAUAUUCAUGUGACUCGCCGAGUCAUCCUUGAGACUCGCCGAGUCUAUCCAGUCCUUUAUCCAUACAGACCUAUUUUGAGCCAUGCAGCGGCUCCAAAUCACAGAUCCAAGCUUCUAGAUCAUACUUACCACGUAAAGUUGCAAACUUUACGUGCAUGCAUGGUUAUAAAGGCUCCAAAUGUCUGUUUUAAGUUCUUAAUGGAGCUUCUAGUCCAAGAGGGACUCCAACCACAACCAAUACAACAACUUUAUGACUCUAGCAUCCAAGGAGGGUCCAGAUCUAAAGUUACAACUUCAAAUCUAGCCCAUAGCUCAACAUCCCAACUUGAAAAUCCAUAAAAAGCCCUAGAAUCAACCAAAGGGAAGAAAAGGGAAGUAAGAAUGGUACUUUGAUACCUUCAAAUGUUGCUAGCUGAGGCAAAACCCGCUUCCCACUCCUUUCUUGCUUGAAUUUCCUUUGUACUCUUAGCUUCCUUCCUCCAAGAUCCUCUUUUCCAAGCUUCAAACCCACACCAAGGCACACACACACGAAUUAGGGUUUAAAGGGUUCUCAAAGACUAUAAGGAGUCCCAAAGGAGGCUGAGGCUCCUUUAAAUAGGGGUGCAAACCCCAGGAUUUAGGGUUUCCACUGCUAGCUCCUACUCGCCGAGUCCCAAUAAUGGACUUGCCGAGUAAGUCACUAACCACGCAUUCUCACCCCGCUGCUACUCGACGAGUAGGUCAACCAACUCGCCGAGUAGAGCUUUAUCCAGAAAUUCUUAAUUAAUUAAUACCUGAGGAUCGGGGCAUUACAGAAGUGUUACAAUCACAUGUGAUUGAAAGAAAGGAGUUCAUAGCCACACGAUAAGUGUUUACGGCCACACUCAUGAAGUGUUUACGACCAAGACUUGUUCUUAUGAAGGGUUUAUGGCCACAUGAUGAUCUUAUGAAGGGUUUACGACCCUUAUGAAGGGUUUACAGCCGUAAACCAUUGACGAUAUUGAAGAUGAUGAUGAAAGGUGCUGAAUCAAGGCUAGAACAAAGGGGUUUCUAAGUAUGAACAAGAAUAGGGAUGAGAUGCUUACGUUUUGGAGUGAAAAGUGAGCCUUCACUUGAUGAUACUUGAGAGAGAAUGGAUAGUUCACGGCUGGAGUUUGGAGAAAUGAACAAAAAAAUGAAGUAAUCUCUUAUAUAUGGAGGGUGGUUUACGGGCUAGAAGAGUGUUCACGGCCGUGAACAGGGUUUGCGGUCGUGAACCUCAUAUGAUGGGUUUUCUGGUUCGGGUGCAGCCUUCUGAUCUCGAGCUAAGACUUCAUAACACUAAUUUCUUAAGUGUACAAGGCUUAAAAGUAUAUGUAUGGCCCUUAACACAAUUAGAAGAUAAUAGAAACAACUCUAACUUUUUAUUGAUUUGUUUGACUUACAAGAUAGAAAAAUAACGGGAUGUUACAGAAUGUUCGCGGACUUCGGUCCGAUGUCGGGGAAAGCCCGUGGAAUGUUUAUAUGUAUGCUACAUGUUCAUGUUUAUAUGUAAUUGUUGAUAUGCUUAUGUAUACCAAGCUUUGUUUGAUGCCGAGCGGGGCCCGGUGCCGGAUUUCGGUCCGAUGUUGGGCGGGGCCCAAUGUCGGACUAUGGUUCGAUGCCAGACGGGGCCCAAUGUAGUGGGAUAGGCCUAAGAUAUUUUGUUAUGUGAUUAUGUGAUAUGUGCAUCGUAUGUGGUAUUUUGGGGAGACUCACUAAGCUUCGUGCUUAUAGUUUUCAGUUUUGGUUUCAGGUACUUCCGCUAGUAAGGGGAAGAGCUCGGGAUGACUACAUUGCACACACCACAACGUUUAGCCUGAGAUGAUUUACUCUGAUAUUUGGACGUGUAAGUUUGAUACAGUGCUUUGAUAUGAUGUUUUGACAUACUAUCACUUAUGUUUUUAUGAGACGAUUUUGGUUACUAUGAGAUUAUUUAUAAAUAAACAAUGAAAUUUUGGACUGUAUUUUUGGGAUGUUUCAUUAAUAUUUGUUAAAGAGUUUAUGUGUGAGUGCAUAGUCCCUUUCAUGAACAUGAUUUUAAUACAAGUAUUAAUUAAAGUAUUAAAUAAAUGUUAAAGAGUUAAAUAUAUGUUAAAAAGUUUAUGUUAGUGCAUAGUCCCUUUCAUGAACAUGAUUUUAAUACAAGUAUUAAUUAAAGUAUUAAAUAAAUGUUAAAGAGUUAAAUAUAUGUUAAAAAGUUUAUGUUAGUGCAUAGUCCCUUUCAUGAACAUGAUUUUAAUACAAGUAUUAAUUAAAGUAUUAAAUAAAUGUUAAAGAGUUUAUGUGUGAGUGCAUAGUCCCUUUCAUGAACAUGAUUUUAAUACAAGUAUUGAUUAAAGUAUUAAAUAUAUAUAUAUAUAUAUAUAUAUAUAUUUGUGUGUGAAAUAUUUGAUUUUUACUGAAAUACAUGUUAAGAGCAUAUCUGAUAAUAUAUGAUGAUUUAGGAUACAGAUUAAACCUAAAUUAAUUAAGAAGAAUAUUGGGUAGUAUCUCCUUAUGAGUACGAGCGAGAUAUACAUGGAGGGUAUAACUUUAAAACUUGUCAUUGAUCCGAGAGCAUGGAUUAGACUUAGUCAUUUGUCCUUAGCCCGAGAGUAUGGAGAGGAUAGAGUUAUUUUUCAUUAAUCCGGGAGCAUGGAUUAGACAUAGUCAAUUGUCCCUAGUCCGAUAGUACGGAAUGGGAAUAGUGAUCUCUCCUGGAGAAUGGAUUAGACAUACCUGAUCCGGGAGUAUGGAUUAGGUAAAUAGGUUAAUUUUAGAUCCGGGAGUAUGGAUUAGGUAAAGAGGUUAACUUUAGAUCCGGGGGUAUGGAAUAAGUAAAGAGGUUAAUUUUAGAUUCGAGAGUAUAGAUCGUGUCGUUGUUUGGAUCGACGGGGUGGGGUAUAAAUUGCUUAUAUGAGGUGAAAUUAUAUAUGUUGUGAGUUUUAAAACACACACACAGACACAGACACAGACACACACACACACACACACACAUAUAUAUAUAUAUAUACACGAUAUAACAUUGUGGGAUUGAAAUCCCUAUGUACUCACCAAGUUUCUCAACCUAACCCAUUCAGUUUAUUUGUAUCACAAGUGUCAAUACGAAGCUACAUUACACUGAGAGAUUAAAGGAGAUGUAGAUCACUAGUGUAAAUGAAUGUAAUGUCUGUUUAUGCUUAUGUUUUUGUAUUGAUGAUGACAUCCCAAAGUUUUAAUAUAAACAAAAUACAUUUCUUCGGAAAUGUGUUGAUGAUAUAUUUAUCCUAAAAAGGAUACUCUGAUUUUCUAAUAAGCAUAAAUAAAAUUUUUAAAAUGACCGUGGAUUUGGGGAUGUCACAACUUAGACUGCUAAACUUUGUUUAAAAUGCAUAUCUUUUUCAUACGACAUCUAUUCUUGAUUGUGUUUAUAUCGACAGACUCCUAUUUAUGAGAUCUUCAACUCUCAUUUAGAUUGUUUCGGCUAAAAAUCGAUCGAUUCAAAUUUCAAUUUCUAUGCUAACAUAACUGCAUUGAAACUUUGAAAAAUCAUAACUUCCUCAUAUGAAGUCAGAGUUAGGCAUUUUCUAUAUGCACGCUCUCGGUUUUACGAUUACUACGAAUUUCAUUUGGAUUGAUUAGGCUAAUAAGCAACCUAUCUAAAAUUCACUUUUUACAAUGCAUAUAGCCGUGUCAUUUUAAUCACGAGACUUCGAAGAAGCAUAACUACUUCAUACGAAGUUGCAGGUGGAUGCAUUGCAAUCAGUCCGUACCCUUCCCUUUUGAACUGAAGGUACCUAAAACAUGAACUUAAAUCGUAAUCACAAAGCUUAGUGAGUUCCUCAAAAUACCAUAUACCAUACAUACACAUCAAACAUGCAAAUCAUACAUACAUACAAGUCUAAAGUUGUAACGGGUCUGUUUCACCUCUAAGUCCCUUCCGACUCGUGACUCCCUUCCAAAUUGCGACUCCCUUCCGACUCGUGACUCCCUUCUGAAUCGCGACUCCAUUCUGACUCUUUGAGUCCCUUCCGACUCCUUUGAUAUCUUUCAACCGGUACGGGUCUAUUCCACCCCUACAACUAAGCAUACAUUCAUACUAGUAAGAGUCACAAAGACAUCAAGCACAUACAUACAUAUCAAAAAGUGUCACAAGGACCACUACUAUCAUAAAACAUAACCCAGUGGGCCGACAUUGGUGCCUUCGACCCACAAGUAAAGUGAGGAGACUCACCUCAAUCUGAAGAUAACCGAUUCACACAAGUGUUGCUGCUAUAAGGAUCCUCACACUGAACAUAUCCAAAAAUCACCCCUAAUCAAUAGUUAGGGUAAUAACUCAUAAUCAAAGGUCCAUAUUCUAUCAUGUUAAGGGGUAAAAGACUAUUUUACCCUUCAUGUACUUGACCCAUCUAACCAUGGCCUAAACCCAACAGGACCCAAGGCCCAAAUGGCCCUCAAGUGAGUAUGUCAUGCGUACCACCCAAUAACGCAGCGCAUACUCGGUAAUCACAGAAAAGGAAAAACGGGACCAGGAAGUUAUACGCGUUGCGUACUCCAAUUUAUGUAGGGGGUAAUCACAGGGAUCUCAAAACUCAUUUUAAGCACUUAAUACUUUAAGAUACAACAUCCAAUACUGAGAUCUAAGUCUUGGGAAGGUCUUAACUGGUAAAGUCAACAACUUUAAGCUUUUGCAUGGCUUAAUGAAACCCAAAACCAAACCCUAGCUUCUUAUUAACACUUAAUGGCCAAUAGCUCAUGCAUUUUUGUACCACAACCAUCAAGAUUCGAUUUUGAUGAAUUAAUGACCUAAAAAAUGACUAGAAAUGACGCCCAAAGGUUCUGGAGUAACUUCUACUCACAAGAUUCAAGCCAUGGGACCAAAACAUGCUCAUAACAUAUCCUAAAACUAGAUCUGUAUAAAAGAACCAUCAAGAUUCAAGCUUCAUACCUCCAGAAGAAAGAUCAAGGUGAACAAGGUUUGGAUCUACAAGCUCCAAGAUAACCAAAACUUCUCAUGUAAGCUCUUUCUUCUCCAAGAUGCACCAAGAACACUCCACAUCACUCAAAGGGCUCAAGAAUCUCAUAAAUGUGGAUAGGUUUCGAGGGAACUGCUUUAGAGGAUGGAGGCUAAAGAUAAGAAGGGUUUCCAAUAAGUUAAGGUCUUUAAAUAGGGUCCAAGACCCAAAAAUUUGGGUUUGACGCUGCCUCGCAUAUGCCCAACGUACUAGGGAGAAACACUGCGAUCAAUUAAGCCAAGUAUGCCCAGUGUACAUACCUUCCACGUCCAACGUAUAUGCCAAACCUUCUUUCCUAAUCUAAAUUUCGAAGGCCAUAACUUCUGCGUCCUAACUCCGAUUUCGACGAUCUUUAUAUGCUCAAAAAGUUGGACUAUACCAUGUGUCUGAGCUCCCAUAAGGUCAUAGUGAAGACAUUGAGUCAAAGUACAAAAAUUGAGAAAAAGUUAAGGCCAAGAUUUUCAAGGUCAACAAAUAAAAACAUAAAUAUUAUAUUUCAAAUGAAUUGUCAAAUAUACCCUUGGCUUGUCAGUUUACAUAUUUCUGUCUUAAAUUCAUAAUCAGGUUGAUGAAGAGAGACAAAGAAUCUCUUUAGGAAUGAAGGGAUCAUAUUUCGAUAUUGAAACACAACAAAUUCAUGAUUUUGAUGCACCUGAAGAUUCUGAUUCCGAAUCUGAUGAUCCUAUCACAUCCGAGACCUCAGAAUCACUGAUUCCACUCUCUAAACAUCCAACUUUAGCUUAAGUGGAAUCCAGGGCUUCUUUUCUUCCUCUUGAAGUUACAUUAUAUAAAAAAGCAGAUGAGUCACCUAUAGAGGAAGAACAAGCUCAAAGUCUAGAGCCUCUUGAUAACAAAAAAACUUGAAAAGAAUGAGAACAAAAGUAAGCGAACCAAAAAGAAAGAAACAGAUGAAAGGUAUGUACAUAAGUGUGACAACCCAAGUUGUCCCGUUACAUUUCCCCGUUACCGUUAACGGAAUAUUCCACUGUAUAAAAGUCCCGUUAGAUAGAGGGCAUCAAUUUAAUAAACAUUCCAUUUGGUUACCUUUAACAUGCCGUUAAGUCGUGAUAAAAGGGAAUAAAAACACAAGACACACAUUUUCAUUCAUUUAGAAAAUGUCAAGUUUUAUUAUUAUGACCACUAAAUCGGGUGCGACCAAAAGCCCCGUUUAGCGGCAGUAUCGGGUAAAAUUCCACUGAGCCCCGACUGUGAAACCCAUAUAUGGGUGAGUGGAGUCCAUUGGAGACUUUUUACACUCUCUCUCUAUACUCUCUCUCUAGACCCGUUUUCGCCCCGAAUUCGCAACCAAACGCUUCCAAAUUGUAAGUCCGCUUACCCUAACUUAUUCUAAGCGUAUUGAUUUAUGUUUAUAGCCCAAAAAUCAUCCAAGAAGGCAUAGGAUAAGGAGUUUACGGCCCAGGAACAUUCUAGGGCCGUAAACCCCUAAAAAGGUACUAAAUAUGCCUUUAAACUUGACCAUAAGCUUAGAAACUAAUAGGGGUUACAGCCUAGGGGUGUUUAAACACUAAAAUGCAUGGAUUUAGGACUCAAAGAAGAGUUUACGGCCCAAGCACAUGCUUAGGCCGUAAACUCCACAAGUUAGGGUCCCAAAUGUGCACCAAACUCAUCCUAGGGCUUAUUACAUAUUUUAGGGACUUAUUCCUUUGAGUUUAGGACACUAGAACACUCCAAAAUGAAUUAAAGAAAGGAGUUUACGGCCCAUGAAUAGUCAAGGCCGUAAACUCCCUAAAUCAUGCCCAAAAGUGUGAUUUUUGCCCCCCUAAUGGCCUUAGACAUUUACCAUAAAAUGCUAGAAUGGAAUUAAAGGCUUAAACACAAGAAAAAUGAGACAUUUCUUGGAGUUUACGGCCCAAACAUUAUCUAGGCCGUAAACUCCCCAAAACCCCCUCAAAUGUUAGUUUUAAUCCUCCAAAAUAGCAUCACACUUCAUUAGAAAUCACUAGAAAGGCAUUAGAGGCUUGAAACUUCACUAAACUCAAAGAUUGAGAGUUUACGGCCGUAAACUCCCUUGGGAGAGUUCUUAGGCCGUAAACUCCUAUAAAAUACCUUUAGAAGCCUCAAAUCCAAUCAUGCCUUUGAUGAAAAGUGCUUAGAAUAAAUCAAGGAACAAGCUAGAAGCAUCAAAACCCCAAGAAAUUGACCUUGGGAGUUUACGGCCGUAAACUCCCUUAGGUUGGGCCGUAAACUCCUUGUUUGGUCCAUAUUGAUGCUUUAAACCCCUUUACACCCUUGAUACUUGAGCAUAGCAAAGUCCCACAGCUGAUAGGAGACCCUUAGCACCCUUAAACGCUACCCGGGACCCCAAACACUCAACCAAAAGUGUUUUCCACUCCUUUGAGUGUGUAUAAUUGUUUAAUUAGUAUAUUAUAUGCUAAUUGUAUGUGAACAUAUGUUAUCAUAUGUUAAAAUAGGUCCUUGUGUGUGUUCAAGUCCUUGCGUGACCCCGAACGCCCAAACGGCACUUCCGUCGGACCUACUUAUACCAGGUGAGUUCAUACCCCUGAAUGAACCUUUUUAAUGCUUUUAAAUGUUUUCAUAGGGGGGGAUUACAAGUUAAACAUGCCAGUUAUCAUAUCAAUCACAUGUGAUUGAUAACCCGCAUGCACAAGAUUUUACCACUGUACACUGUUUUACCGAGUAGGACACUAUAAAUGGCUUUCAAAAAGGGUUUUUAAAUUGUUCAAGUUCUUACUUUCAUAGCUUAUCAAAGACUCAUUUCAACUGAUUUAUAAAAGAUUCUCAAAGAUUUCUAAAGAUUUUCACACCUAUUUUAUCAAAGAAUACAAAUGCGAUUUUCCUGAGUAACAAAAUCUUUAAGGGUUUUUCAUGAAUACUUUUAAUUGUUAGAUACCACUGCUUCGCUAAUACUUUUUUAAUGCUCCAACUCUGUAAUGUUUUGCUUAUACCUGAAGUCACUUAUACUUGAUAACGCUUAUACUUAUUUACCCUCUUACUUAGUGAUACGAUUCUACUUCGCUUGUAUUUGAGAUCGACUUUACUUCACUUAUACUUGAUACGCUCUUACUUCACUUGUGGUCAUAUCUACUUCGCGAUGCGCCUAUACUUAUUCGACACUUAUACUUCACUUGCGACCACUCUUGCUUCACUUAUUAGACACUCCCACUUCACGAGAAUCACUUUUACUUGAUACCCACUUAUUCAUAGUUAGAUGUAUGUCCGUACUUAUAUAGGUAUAUAUAAGUAAUGACUGAAAGACUUAGGAAGGCUCAUCGGCCCUAUUUCCUUUUCUUCGUUGAGAUGUGGUCUGGUGGGAUCAGGUAGCCGUCCGAAGGUCGUUUGGUCCAUUAGUUAAAUACUAUGUAUAUGAGUAUGGACAUAUAGGGAAUUCUCUAGUCAAGUCAAUUAAGAGUCUCUUCAUCUAUUCUACACUUACUUUAGAAACACACUACCCACUGUUUGGAAGUCUCUACCUCUAGUAUAUCACUUGUAUUAGAAACCCACUCCCCUCAAGAAACACACUAUUCUCUAUUUGGGAUGCAUCUUCGGGACGCGGCCUUCUCCGUCGUCUAGUUGGUAACCAGAGUCUCCUGUAGGGAGAGCGGACAUUGUGUGUAUAGGCCUAUACGGGAUUGACAACCCCGCACCCUGACUGCUAGCUACAGUCCACGGCCCACCAAGCCAAGGGGUGACAAAUGUCAUAUUAUAUAGAUGCUUGUAGGGCGUCUGGAACUCUAGUCAGUAUGGUUACGAGUAUCCUGGGUUGCCUUAUAAUUCAUGGCUUUAAGGUAACGGUAUUUUCGUCAGCAAUUUACACUGUAUGCUGAUGUCACUUUUCAGAGUCACUCUGUUUCGACCUUGCUAGCUGUAUCUUUCAUUUGAUACUGUCUGGGGUCUAUAGUCUCUGUUUCGACCUUGCUAGCUGUAUCUUUCAUUUGAUACUGUCUGGGGUCUAUAAUCUCUGUUUCGACCUUGCUAGCUGUAUCUUUCAUUUGAUACUGUCUGGGGUCUAUAGUCUCUGUUUCGACCUUGCUAGCUGUAUCUUUCAAUUGAUACUGUCUGGGGUCCGUAGUCUUUGUUCUGACCUUGUGAGAGAUACCUUUCAUUUGGUAUCGUCUUCGGUCUAUAUUUACUGUUUUAGACCUUACCAGCUGUACCUUUCGUUUGGUACCUUCUGGGGUCUAUGUCUCCCCUUUGUUAGACUGAACCAGGCGUGUCGUCAGUUCGAUACCCUCCUGGAGUCUAUGAUUCUUUACCUUAGUCAGCAGUCCUCACUGCUGAGGCAUAUGUUAUUCCCUGAUGUCUCCUGCUUUCUUAAAUAAUCAAAUUCAGUAUUUUGAUAACAAUGUCAAUUAAGGGAAAACUACCUCUUACCACAAUGCACUGAAACAGUCUUGGUAGAAGGCUGCUUAUUUAAAGAAAAUAUAGGAUUUUCUGGAAAGGACACUGAAGCACUGAAAGCACUUAAACUACUACUUAUUAAAGUUAUUUGACUAAAUGACACUAAAUGCUUAUGAACUCACCAGCAUUUGUAAAAAUGCUGAUACUCGCUUUUCAAAUAACUUGUAAUCUCAGGUAAGCAAUUAGACAGGUACAUCCCCGUAGCUGCUGAUGAAGAUGGCCUAAGUACCUUGCUGCACUUUAUAUAUGUUGCUUGUAUUACUUUGACACUAUGUAAUGUAACCAUGUAAAAUUAUUACUAUUAAUGCAAUGUUUUGUUGUACUUUGAUUACUAUAUGCAUGUGUUGUGAUACUUGACAUGACGUCAUCCACCCCAGAACGUUUCCGCCGUUCCGGUUUUGGGGUGUGACAAUAAGCUAAUAAUCUCUCCAUUCUCUUUCUGAAGGGCAAUAUCGUAAUUUUUAAUUUUUUGUAAACAAGGAACUAGAAAUUAGGGUUGUAGGGGAGAGACUAUUGCAGAAAAAUGUUCCAAGAACGGUUGAUGAUUAUGAGAAGAUGAUAAGAAGCUCUCCAAAUAGCAGCUUUAUCUGGAUAAAAUACAUGACAUUUUUCUCUCGUUGAAUGAAGUUGAAAAGGGUCGAUUAAUGGCUGAAAGGUAUAAAUGUUCUUCAUAGUUCAUAUCAAAUAUUAUUUAAAUUAUGUAAAUUUACAUUGUUGCUACUUGAUUGUGUUGUUUAGGGCUUUGAGGACAAUUAAAAUAAGAGAAGAGCCAGAGAAGCUAAAUGUUUGGGUUGCUUACUUUAAUUUAGAAAAUGAAUAUGUAUAUGUAUAUUAAUAAGUAUAUGUAUAUAUACAUAUGCAUAUGCAUAUACUUAUUUUUAUUCAUACGCAAAUACUUAUUUAUAUGCAUAUCUAUAUAUUUAUUCAUAUUUGUAUGCAUAUACUUAUUCUUAUGCAUAUGCAUAUCCAUAUGCAUCUACUUAUUUAUAUGCAUAUACUUGUUCUUAUGCAUAUAUUUAUUCUUAUGCAUAUACUUAUGUAUAUGUAUAUGUAUAUGUAUAUGUAUAUGUAUAUGUAUACGCAGAAACAUAAUCAUAUGUAUUUAAUUAUCAUAUGCGUAUAUAUUUAUUCUUACGCAUAUCCAUAUGUAUAUGUAUAUGCAUAUGCAUAUUCAUAUGCAUAUAUUUAUUCAUAUGUAUAUGUAUAUGCUUACUCUUAUGUAUACAUAUAGAAGUAAUAAAUAUGUUUUUUUUAAAUAAGCAUAUACACAAAAAAAAUUAUGAAUAUGCUUUAAAAUGCAUUUUUUUUUGAAUUUUUUUAGUUACUAAUUUCGAAAUGUAAGGAACAUCUUUACUGAUUUAAAAUUUAAAAAAAAAAUAAAAAAAGUAAAAAUAAAUAAAUAAAAUAUUUUUUUUUCCAAAUAAGUAAAAAUAUACCUUAUCUUUCAAAAUUAAGAUUUAAAAAAAGAUUUUUUUCAAAAAAAUGCAUUUUAAUGCAUAUUCAUAUUUUUUGUGCAAAUAUACAUUUUCAAAAAAAAAUGUCCAUAAAUACAUGCAUGUAAUUUUUUUUUUGCAAUUAUCUUAAGAUAUAUGUAUCUAUAUAUGUAUGAAAUUUGAUACCUAAAUNNNNNNNNNNNNNNNNNNNNNNNNNNNNNNNNNNNNNNNNNNNNNNNNNNNNNNNNNNNNNNNNNNNNNNNNNNNNNNNNNNNNNNNNNNNNNNNNNNNNNNNNNNNNNNNNNNNNNNNNNNNNNNNNNNNNNNNNNNNNNNNNNNNNNNNNNNNNNNNNNNNNNNNNNNNAUAUUAAAAAUCCUGAUUAAUAUUAUAUGUCUCAUAUAAUGUCAUUUGUCAACAUAUUAAUUAUUAAUUUUAAAUUUUAAAUUUUCCAUCCUAAUUACAUUAAAUUUUAAUUUUAAUUUUUUUUUUACUUUAAUUGUAUUAAAUUAAUAACAUUAGAUUAACAAAUAAAAUAAAAUUAAAACAAAUUAUACGGUAGUAUAACUUCAUGUAUUUAUUUAAAUCAAUUAUUAUAAUUAUAUAUAACUAUAAAAAUAUCUCUUAAAUAAUAAUUUAUUUAAAGUAAUUGAUUAAUAGUUUUGAUUUUUUAAUAUGAAAGUUUAAAUAAUUUUAUAAUUGUGGUUCUUACGGGUUAUUCAUUAAAAACCCAAUAAACUUUUUUUCAUAGCACAUCCAAAAAAACCAUGCAAAUGUACAUAUGAUGUAUAUAUGGUAGGUGCCAAAGAAAAUUAUAAAACCUACUAGAAGUCUAAUAUAAACAAAACAUUUGAAAUACAUAAAUGUUGAGGAUAAAUUAUUAAAUCGGACAUAAUAUGAACUCAAAAGCAAUAGGAAGAAGCUAACAAUAAAAAAAUUUAUGUAUUUAAUCAAAAAUAAAUCAUUUNUAACUCUCUCUCUCUCUCUCUCUCUCUCUAUAUAUAUAUAUAUAUAUAUAUAUAUAUAUAUAUGUUCGUGUUUAUUCAAGUACACCAUCCAUCCUUCACGUUCACAUCUCUAUCUCUCUAUCUUCUCUAUCUAGGAAAUGUCAACAUUAAGCCAUCUCUUUGACCUUCAGCAAGAACAAAUUUGCUAUGUUCAAUGUGGGUUCUGCACCACUGUUUUGCUGGUAAACCCCUAUGCAUGUUAACUAAACCAAAUUAGUGUUUACUAGCUGUGGCAUUUCUAUUCCGUUUGAGUUUUUAUUUAUUCUCAUUCCCCACAUGACAAUUUAUAUUGUAUCUAUAUGUCUACAGGUUAGUGUACCAUGUAGCUGCUUAUCCAUGGUGGUUACAGUCAAGUGUGGCCAUUGCGCAGGUCUCCUUUCAGUGAACAUGAUGAGAUCCUCUUUUCUUCCUCUUCAUCUGCUUCCUUCUAUUAAUAACCAAGAAGAGGUGUGUGUUUUUUUUUUCAUUUUCUUUCAGUAUAUUAUACUAUCUUUAUCAUAUGUAUGCUGCAUAGUAUCGGUUUUAUGAAAUCUGCUUCUCUCAAAUGAAGCCAACGGUGGAAGUUUGUAAAGAAGACGAAGAAGUAGCUAAACCACCAGUGAGCAAGCGUAGCUCUUCCCCUCUCAUCUCAACAUCCUCAUCAGAUGAAGACAACGAAGAUGAUCUUGUUUUAGUUAACCAUGUUGUCAACAAGCGUAAAAUUUACUUAAAUCUUAUUUAUAUACAUUAAGAACUAGUCUUUAAUUACCUUUCCGACAUGAUAAAACAAUGUGUCUUUCCACACACAAGCCCCAUAUACCCAUAUCCUGAUAAAGGAAAACACUGUCAUCAUUUAAAUUACUUCAAAUAUUACUGUAUCUUCCUGAUGAGCUCAAUUAUGAUUUUGUUUGCAGCCCCGGAAAAGAGGCAACGUGCUCCAUCCGCAUAUAACAAAUUCAUCAAGUAUAGUAGUACUCAUUUAAGUUUAUAAUUUUUGGGUAGAUACAUGUAACUAUGCUUCAACUCAUGACUAUGUGCAUUAUCAGAGAAGAGAUCAUAAGGCUGAAGACACAGCAUCCCAACAUUUCUCAUAAGCUAGCCUUUAGUACAGCAGCCAAAAAUGUAUGCGUUCUAUGAGUGUACAUAUAUUUAAGGAAACAACCUAGUUAAUAACAAACACACACACACACACAUAUACAUACAUACAUAUGAUGAUUAUCAUGAACUUAGUACGUGAAUUUGAUUCUUGUUUCAGUGGGCUCAUUCACCACCAAGUCAACAGAACCAAGGAGAGAAAUCAAAGGCUUCGGGUAAUGAACCCACAGUGAUGAUUCAGGAGCUUGGUUCGGAGAAGCCUUCUUAAGUUAACACACUCAUACAAUGCAAGCCGAAGAACAUGUUGCGGAUUAGAGGCUAGCUAGUGACUAAGUAGUUAUAAGUUUCGUUCUAAUUAUGGCCGGUGAUAAUUUCAUUUGAUUUGAAGCCUUAAUUAAUCUAUAGCCAAUUAACGUAACACCACCUUUAAUUUAGAUACCUCGAAAAAUCAAUAUAUGUUCUUUUUUCUUUUGCCUUUUGCUCAUAAUAUAUACGAGGUUUCAAGAACGUAGCCGAUUCCUAGCCAAAACCACCCAUGGACCUCGAGUGUGUGAGCAAGCUGUUCUUGUGUAUAUGACAACCAUUUUUUAUUUUGAGUUUAUUGAAUUAUUCUAUUGCUUUGGGCUUAAAAAAUUUCUUGUGCUGUUUUGCACGAUCAUAUUUCUUUUAAAGAAUCUGAUCGUGGUGAAAAACAGUUAAACUUUAUAAGUUUACAGGAAAGAAAAAAAAAAAAAAAAAAAAAAAAAAAAAAAAGGUAAGCCUCAGUUUUUGCUCAUUAAACUAUAGAUACCUAGUCACUUUCAUGCCACUAAAUGAGAAGUUAGUGACAUAUUCCUACUAGCUAGCGUGGUAUGAAAAGACGAAGAUGAUCGAUUAAAGCUUAGUAUAAGAGGAGUACUUUACCACAGAGAUAGGAGCAUGGCUUUCUGUUGCAAGAACUUGCAGGUUCCUUCACAAGGUAAUGGUGUCUUAUAAUGGAAAGUAUUGAAGGCAUCCUCUUUAAGAAAAAAAAAGCCCUUUAAAUGACAUUUGUGUAACUGACCCCAUUGAAUUAAGAACCAUUAGUUGUUCUUUCCAUUUUAAGAAGAUGUUUGGGGUUCAAUAAUGUGCAUAUUAUUGAUCUUCUUAGGCACGUAGUAGCUGGCUAGAUGCUCUUGGGGUUUGGAGUACUUUGUGAUUUAAGAGCUUCAGUUCUCGAUUUAAGAGUGACAACUGCCUGACAAAACCUUCUUGUGCCAUUUUUAAGUUGAACCAAAGUUGUUUCUUAUUAUUUUGUUUUAGAAAUGGUUAGACAAUCAAAUAUAUCUAAUUUUUGUAUUUAUUAAUGUUGAGCAUGUAUAUUUUUCUAUAAACAUACGCGGCCAUUAUUGGUUGUUAGACGAGCUAUGGUUCGACAAUAUCAGUGUCAAUAUAUACAAUAGUCUUUGUGUCGAGGAAGUUUUGAGUUCGUUGAGAGUGAAUAAAUUCGAAAACUCUCAAAAUCAAGUCUCCAUACUUCGACAUCACAUCGACUAGUCGAGGAAUGUUGGCAUUAAAAGCACAACAGAAAACAGUAAAGUAUGAUGUUUAACUCGCAUGUAAUUUUAUUGAAGUAAAAUUGUAAUCAAUUACAUGAUCUUGUCAAUUAUAUAUGUUAAACAGAAAACAAAUCAGAAUAUAACUAGGAUUCCUAAAUGUAAUCAAACAAAAUUUUCCAUGUAAAUAAUUCCUUGUGGCUUAAGGAAAACUCUAGAACCUUGGACAACACU